RNAcentral lists this long non-coding RNA (116904 nucleotides) under Populus trichocarpa (black cottonwood). RNAcentral describes it as "long non-coding RNA (PTRI_LNC004300)". The stretch from base 113409 to 113498 matches the Rfam family "MIR478 microRNA precursor family". The record is from RNAcentral. Lineage: Eukaryota; Viridiplantae; Streptophyta; Magnoliopsida; Malpighiales; Salicaceae.
AAAAACGCAAGCAAUCCAAAGAUGAAGAAAACGAUUCAUCCUCGCGAAAGAGAAGAAAAGCUGACCUCAGUAAGCCUGUCAGUUUUGUCUCCACAGGUAAGGCUGAUGCGUGUGUCUAUAUAUAUAUGUGUAGGAACUGCUGAUUCGAUUUGAAUAUGUUAUUUGAUUAGUCUGAUCAUAGGAUAGGUUGAGUCUACUACUACUUCUGCCUUGCAUUGACUCGAAAUUCCUGGUGUUUUCUCCUGCAAAUGAAUAGAAAUCACAUCCUUUCUCCUUGUAGGAACUCUUUGUUAUAUUGUUCCAUUGGUAAUUGAUAGUGCCUUAAGUUCUGCAGCUGCCAUGACAGAGCCAGAAUCUUCUCGAUCUAGACCAGAAGGGGCCUAUGAUGUCUUCUUGAGUUUUAGAGGAGAAGACACUCGCAAGACAUUUACAGAUCAUCUAUAUACUGCCUUGGUCCAAGCCGGAAUCCACACUUUUCGAGAUGAUGAUGAACUUCCUAGAGGAGAAGAAAUCUCCGAUCAUCUCCUCAGGGCAGUUCAGGAAUCAAAGAUAUCCAUAGUUGUCUUCUCAAAAGGAUAUGCUUCUUCUAGAUGGUGUCUCAAUGAACUUGUAGCGAUUCUGAAGUGCAAAAGGAAGAAACGUGGUCAGAUUGCUCUUCCUAUAUUCUAUGACAUUGAUCCUUCAGAUGUGAGAAAACAGAAUGGCAGUUUUGCAGAAGCAUUUGUUAAACAUGAAGAGCGUUUUGAAGAGAAGUUGGUGAAGGAGUGGAGAAAAGCUCUUGAGGAGGCUGGAAAUCUAUCUGGAUGGAAUCUCAAUGAUAUGGCAAAUGGGUAUGCCUUUUUUCCAAAUUUAUGGAGUCAAUAUACUUUACAUUUUUCAAUGUGAAACAAUAAAAUACUUAAUUGACUCGCUAUCAAUGACUGGCUUUUGUCUAUGAGCAGGCAUGAAGCAAAAUUUAUCAAAGAGAUUAUCAAGGUUGUGUUGAAUAAAUUGGAACCCAAGUACUUAUAUGUUCCUGAGCACCUAGUAGGUAUGCAUCAGCUUGCUCGCAAUAUUUUUGACUUUCUAAGUACUGCAACAGAUGAUGUACGCAUUGUGGGCAUACAUGGGAUGCCAGGAAUAGGAAAGACGACUAUAGCAGAAGUUGUAUUUAAUCAACUCUGCAAUGGAUUCGAGGGAAGCUGUUUUCUUUCGGAUAUAAAUGAAAGAUCAAAACAAUUUAAUGGUGGUCUUGUUGAUUUACAAAAGCAACUUCUUCAUGAUAUUUUAAAUCAAUAUGUUGCAAACAUCAAUAGUGUUGAUGGAGGAAAGGUUCUGAUCAAAGAACGACUUCGUCGCAAAAGAGUUCUUCUUGUUGCUGAUGAUUUGGCUCACCUGGACCAGCGAAAUGCUUUGAUGGGAGAUCGAAGUUGGUUUGGUCCUGGAAGUAGAGUAAUUAUUACAACAAGAGAUUCAAGUUUACUUCGUGAAGCAGAUCAAACAUAUCAGAUCGAAGAACUGGAACCAGAUGAGGCCCUUCAGCUUUUCAGCUGGCAUGCCUUUAAGGACACCAAGCCAACAGAAGAUUAUAUUGAGCUUUCGAAGGAUGUAGUUGAUUACUGUGGGGGACUUCCUUUGGCUCUUGAGGUUAUUGGUGCUUGUCUGUCCGGGAAAAACAGAGAUGGUUGGAAAUCUGUAAUUGACAAAUUGAAAAGAAUUCCAAACCACGAUAUUCAAGGAAAGCUUAGAAUAAGUUAUGACUCACUGGACGGUGAAGAACUAAAAAAUGCAUUCCUUGAUAUCGCAUGCUUCUUUAUUGAUAGAAGGAAAGAGUACGUCGCAAAACUGCUAGAAGCCCGUUGCGGUUACAAUCCAGAAGUUGAUUUGCAAACUCUCCAUGAAAGGUCUCUGAUUAAAGUAUUGGGAGAGACGGUAACCAUGCAUGAUCUAUUACGAGACAUGGGAAGGGAGGUCGUUCGUGAAUCGUCUCCAAAAGAACCUGGAAAGAGGACCAGAAUUUGGAAUCAAGGGGAUGCAUGGAAUGUGCUUGAGCAGCAGAAGGUAAGAGCUCAAAGCAUACACGAAAGCAUGGUCAAUGUUGUAUUUUCUAGUCAUACUUAUUACAAAUAAUCGUAUGAAAGUUGUAUUGAUUUUUUUCAGGGUACGGAAGUUGUAGAGGGUCUUAAACUGGAUGUCAGAGCAUCAGAAGCUAAAUCACUGAUCACAGGAUCAUUUGCAAAAAUGAAAUGCUUAAAUUUACUCCAAAUCAAUGGAGCACAUCUCACCGGAUCCUUCAAACACCUUUCUAAAGUGUUGAUGUGGAUUUGUUGGCAUGAUUGUCCUUUGAAAUAUUUUCCAUCUGAUUUUACCUUGGACAAUCUAGCUGUUCUUGAUAUGCAGUACAGUAACCUCAAAGAACUAUGGAAGGGAAAAAAGGUGUGAAACAUGCUAUAAUCCCCAAAAUUUAUCUAGUAUGUAAUUUAUAUUUACAUGUUAUGACUUUCUAUGAUUAAUUUUUAUUAUUUUGCACUAUAUCAUACAGAUUCUCAACAGACUAAAAAUCUUUAAUCUCAGUUAUUCUCAGAACCUUAUUAAAACACCAAACUUGCACAGUUCAAGUCUAGAGAAACUAAAGCUGAAAGGUUGCUCGAGUUUAGUUGAGGUGCAUCAAUCAAUUGGAAAUUUGACGAGCCUCGUUUUCUUGAAUCUGGAGGGAUGUUGUAGUCUGACGAUUCUCCCUGAAAGCGUUGGCAAUGUAAAGUCUCUUGAAACUCUGAAUAUUUCUGGGUGUUCACAACUUGGAAAAUUGGCAGAACACAUGCGUGAUAUGGAAUCCUUAACUGAGCUGCUAGCCGAUGGGAUUGAAAAUGAGCAAUUUCUCUCUUCAAUUGGACAAUUAAAGCAUGUCAGAAGGUUAUCAUUGCGUCAAAACAGUUCGGCUCCACCAAGUUCUUCUUUGAUUUCAGCAGGUGUUUUGAAUUGGAAACGUUGGCUGCCAACACCUUUCAUUGAAUGGAUAUCAGUGAAACGUCUUGAGCUUUCAAAUGGUGGUUUGUCUGAUCGCGUAACUAGUUGUGUUGAUUUCAGUGGUUUGUCCGCUCUAGAAUUUUUGGAUCUAACUGGAAACAAAUUCUCUAGCCUGCCUUCUGGGAUCGGCUUCCUUCCCAAGCUACAGGUCUUGUGUGUUCAGGCAUGCGAAUAUCUUGUAUCAAUCCCAGAUCUUCCCUCAAGUUUACGUUGUUUGGGUGCAACUCAUUGCAAAUCAUUGGAAAGAGUGAGAAUACCAAUCGAGUCAAAAAAAGGACUAUAUAUAACUCUACAUGAAAGUCAUUCGUUAGAAGAGAUUCAGGGCAUCGAAGAUCUAAGUAAUAGUUUCUGGUAUAUUAACGUUUAUGGCCGCAGUCAUUCACCAAAUAAAUUACAAAAGAAUAUUGUUGAGGUACUAUUUCUUUCGGUCUCUGUUGCACAAAAAUAAACACACAUACAUUGAUUAAUAUCUAAAAUCUCAGUAUUCCUUGAAAUCAAUAUGUAUACAGGCAAUGUGCAACGGUGGUCACCGGUAUUGUAUUUUCUCCAUUCCUGGUGAGAUGCCAAAUUGGUUGAGCUACAGUGGAGAAGGAUGCCCAUUGUCAUUCCAUAUACCUCCAGUCUGCCAAGGCUUAGUUGUUUGGUUUGUCCGUCCACUUGAGAAGGAUGAUCAUUAUUACUUACGGUCUGACACUAUUAUUAUUAUUAUAAGAAAUAAAAGCAAUGGUAUUCAAUUGUUUGAAGAUAUACGAACACCACAAACUGCCAUACCAAAUAUUGGGGGAUGGAUAAGAUACAUAAGUAGAAGUGAAAUGGCAAUGGAAGAUUACUGUGGAGAUGACGAAUGGAAGAUUACUGUGGAGGUGCGCACCGGUCAUUCAUUCGAACCCGUACACGUUAAAGAAUGUGGGGUCCAUGUGAUCGCAGGGAAGUUAGAUUCAUUUGAAGAGUCGGCAGUGGAAAGAGAUACAGUGAUGUCUUCAUCACCGCUGUAUCAUCUGCUUCCUCAUCCCCAUUAUGGUUCAAUUACAGCGUCUACACCAAAGCAAUGGAGUGACUAUUUAUGUGCGAAGCUGCAUAAAUAUAACCUCAGUUUAGCUCUUAAAAGUAAGAACAAAUAUUUCAUUUAGUUAUUUCUAUUUUGUUAUAUUUAAUUUAAGAGAUUAAAUAUUAUCUUUAAUUAUUUUAUUUUUCUUAUUUAAUCUAAAAAAUUAAAUAUUAUCUUUAAUAAUAUUUGUUAUUAAAUAUUUAAAGUCUGUUCGGUAAGAAUACAUAUUUCCUUUAGUUAUUUCUAUUUUAUUCUAUUUAAUUUAAGAGAUUAAAUAUCAUCUUUAAUUAUUACAUUUUCCUUAUUUAAUCUAAAAAAUUAAAUAUUAUCUUUAACAAUAUUUUUUAUUAAAUAUUUAGAGUAUGCUUGGUUUUAUUUUUUUUCUUGAUUUUAUGAUAAUAUUUUUCUUAUUUAAUAUAAAAAAUAAAUAUUAUCUUUAAUAAUUAGAUCUAUCCAAUAUCACUUAAAAAAUAAAUUAUAACUUUAAUAAUUAUUUUUUGGAAAAAUAAAGGCCAACAAUCACUAACAUAUUUUAUUAAAAUCACUUUAGUUUAUUUAGAAAAUAUUGAAAAUUGAUUUUUGUUUUUUUACAUUAAAAUAAAAAAUUGAAUAAUGUUUUUAUAUUUUAUUUCAUACUCGAUAUUUUAAAAAUAAAAUGAAAAGGAUGUGAUAUUAACCUUUUUUUAUUAUAAAGUAAGUUUUUUAAAUUAAAAGGGAAGGGGAUUUGUUCAUAAUAACAAAAUACAUGUACAAUCAUGCACGUUUAACUUUAUUUCCAAACUUGAAAGUUCUAUUGAAUUUGAUGGCUUUUUAAGGUACAGAAGACUUGGAUUGACGUGAUAGUACAAGAUCAUUUUACAUAUAGAUGCUUGAAGUUGCUUCAAAUCAGUACGAUACUUCCAUCGGACAUGUUGACAUGUAUUUGUUGGCUUCAAGAUCAUUUUCCAAGCUUGGAAGUUUUAUUGAAUGCUCUUUGAAAUCUUUUACAUCCGCUUUUAUACUGGACAACCUAGUUGUUAAUUAUUAUUUAUGAAGUAAUUUAUAUUUUCAAGUUACAAAUUUUGAUGAAUAAUGUUUCAUUUUUUACCUCACUUCAAAAGAUGAAAAUCCUUGAUGUUAGUUAGAAAUAAAUUGGUUUUCUAGGAAGAGAUUAUUGAUUGGGAUAUUGUAUUUGAUUUGGUUCUUCAUCAUUUAAUGUUAUAAUUUAAAAUAAUUGAUGAAUUGAUGAAAGUUAUGAGAGCAUCCUUAAUUAGUCUAAUAAGUAAAGUGUUGUUAGUUUUGGCUAUAAGAUCUUGCUAUGUAUUAUUGCAUGGUUUUUACUAUUUUUUGGCGUUUUUCUUUUUGUAUAUACAACUUUAACAAAACCGAAACUAAAGGUCCAGGAUCAUUGUUAUGUCUUCUUCGCUUGCUGAGGUUUGGCCUGAUUUUUAGUUGCUGCACAAUCUUCUACGUGAUCAACGGAUCUCAAUUCAAUACACCCCCUCAACCGAAUGGGCAACUCUUGCACAUGAAGGUUGGUCCGUAGAUGAUUAAACCGUGCAACAGUCAGAGGUUUAGUCAACAAAUCUGCGAGCUGAUCACGUGUGGACACGAAGGAGACAUGAAGUUUCUGCUGCACAACUUGAUCUCGUAAGAAAUGAAAGUCAAUUUCAAUGUGUUUCGUACGAGCAUGGAACUUUGGAUUAGAUGAGAGAUAAGUUGCACCAAUAUUAUCGCACCAAAGAGUUGGACAACGUUGGAGAGGCAUUUUGAGUUAUUGCAACAAAGAUUAAAGCCAUUGCAUUUCACCAAAGGGCUGCUGCGUGCCACUGUUUGUUGUUGUUUGCAGCUCUAGCUAAUUAAAUUGGAUCCAUGAAAGAUACAAUAUGCUCCUACACUUCGCCGGUCAUCAUUGUCACCAGCCCAAUCGGCGUCACUAAAUCCUUGUAAAGUAUGAUCAGACUGAUGAGUAAUAUGUAAACCAUAAUUUACAGUGUAUUUGAGAUAACGAAGUAUACGUUUCACUGCCUGCCAGAGAACAUCUUUGGGCUGAUGCAUGAACUUGCUCACCUUGUGAACUGCAAACGCAAUGUCAGGUUGUGUAAAACCGAGAUAGUGUAAGGCACUGACUGUACUUCGAUAUAAAUAAGGGUCGUCGAAAUCAAUACCCUCAAAUUUGGAGAGUGUGCAGGUUGUGGACAUUGGUGUGCUGCAAGGUUUUACCUUAUGUAGCUUGAGUCUUCGUAACAAGUUAAUUACAUAUUUUCGUUGAGUCAGAAUCAGAUCACCACCAUCAUGCAGAGUUUCAACUCUGAGAAAAUAUGAUGACGGUCCCAAAUCUUUGACAGGGAAGGCACGUCCAAGGUAAGAAAUUAAUUUGUUGACUUCCUCAAAGUGAGAACCCGUGACAAUUAUGUCAUCAACAUAUAUAAGUAUCAGCAGCUGGAAACUUGCAGUCUGUAGAAUGUAAAGUGAAGGAUCUGAUUUUGAGCCUACAAAACCAUAUUGAAGCAAUUGAUCUAUCAAUCGAGAAAACCAAGAACGGGGAGCUUGACGAAGACCAUACAAACUUUUCUUUAAGCGGCAUAUACGAGUGGGAAAAUCUAGAUGAAUAUACACUUGAAGUUGACACAUAUAUACCUCUUCAUCUAGCAGUCCAUGAAGAAAGGCAUUUUGAAUGUCUAGUUGCCGAAUACACCAACACUGGGAGAGAGUGAUAGAUAACACUAGCCGAAUGGUUCCUUGUUUAAUGACGGGGCUAAAGGUUUCCAGAAAAUCAACACCAUGUUGUUGAUGAUAGCCUUUAGCUACCAGCCGCGCCUUGUACCGCUCCACAAUGCCAUUAGCAUGGGUCGUGAUACGGUAAACCCAUUUAUUUCCAACAAGAUUGAUGUUUGAUUUAGCUGGUACAAGAUCCCAAGUAUUUUUUUGUAAAAAAGUAGUAAAUUCCAUGUUCAUUGCUUCCCUCCAUUUGUGGUCUUUUGAAGCAUCAGUAAAAGAUGUUGGCAAGAUUGUGCAAGAAGUGCAUAAGGCAAUGGGUAUUUGAUGAACCCAACAUAUGGUUGCUUUGGUUUGAGAGAGUUUGUCUGAGAUCUGGUAGUCAUUUUUCUUGAUAUGUUGGAAGGAGCAAGUGCAUCAGCAAAAGAUGUAUGAACCGCAUGUAGUGCUGGAGUUGGAACCUCAUUUGAAAUAACAUUUGUAAUAACAAUAGCUGGAAUGAGAUCAGAUUCAUGUGGAGAGACAUGAUUGGCAUUUGUAACAUCACCUGCAAGAAGAGUUAGGGAAUUCGAAACACUUGGUUGUAAAUUGGCUGGUAAGGUGAUAGCAGUGGACUCGGGAACUAAGGACACAGAUUGGGGAGAUUUGUAAGGAAAGAAAAGUUCAUCAAAUAUGACAUGUCGAGACACAAAGAUUUUGCCAGUAGACAAAUCGAGACACUUAUACCCCUGAUGUGAGAGACUGUAGCCAAUAAAAAUACAUGUUUUCGAUCUGUAAUCAAAUUUAUGUUUGUUAUAAGGACGUAAAUUUGGCCAACAAGCACAACCAAACACACGCAUAAAGUUAUAAUUCUGUUUUUUAUGGUAAGCCUUUUCAAAAAGAGAGAAAUGAUUUAAAAUUUUAGUGGGAAGACGAUUAAUUAUAUAAACAACCGUUAAAAAUGCAUCCUCCCAGUAUGGUUUUGGAAGAUUAGCAUAAGCCAAUAAUGCUAGACCCAUUUCAACAAUUUGACGAUGUCUUCUUUCAACAGCUCCCAUUUGCUCAUGUGUGUACGGGCAAGCUAGAAGAUGUUGAAUACCAUAUUUGGAAAAAUAUGUAUUUAAUCUAUGAUACUCACCUUCCCAAUCAGUUUGAAUGACCUUAAUUUUGGUAUUAAAAUGGUGUUCAACAUACGUUUGAAAAUGUAAGAAAAUAUUUUCAACAUCGGAUUUUUGCUUAAGAGGAAAUAACCAAAUAUAUUUUGUGAAAGCAUCCAAGAAACAAACAUAAUAGCAAGAGCCGUAGCUGGAAAUCACGGAACUAGGCCCCAAACAUCUGAAUAAUUGAGUUCCAAGGGCUUAGUAACAUGAGGUACAGAAACGGAAAAAGGUAAAUUAUGGCUUUUUGCCAUCUCACAUUCAGGACAUAUCUUGUGUCUUUUAUUGGAAUGAAAGGAAAGAUUAUUUGAGCAGAUAACAUGAUUGACAGUGUUGUAAGAGGCGUGCCCAAGAUGACAAUGCCAAUCUGAGAUUGAAACACGAACACCAACAAGAGCUUUGGGAUAUAAAUGCUGAAGAGGCUGUGAAAAAUAGUAGAGACCAUCUUUGACGACACCCUUAUGCAGGGUGUUUCCCGAGUAAUCCUUGAUCAAAAAACAGGAAGCAUGAAACUCAAAAUAAACAAAAUUAUCUUCAAGGAAUUUUUUUUUAUAGAAAUAAGAUUUUUUGUAAUUUGAGGGACAACUAAUAUUUGGUCAAGGAUAAAAGAUUUAGAGUGUGCAGAUAAAGAUGUCUUGCCUAAAUGAGUUAUGUGCAAACUUGUGCCAUCUCCUACUUGAAUCUGAUCAUUUCCAGCAUACUCUUCACUACGAACAUUAAGGUUGUUGAAGUUAUUAGUCAAAUGGUGCGUAGCUCCAGUGUCGGCAUGCCAUUCUUGCUCCAAUGAGUGCUGAAUGUGUUGGUUGGAGGCAAUGUUGGCUUGAGGAUUUGGUUGAAAAGGUUGAGGAAGAAACUGACUGUCAAAUCUCUUAAAGCAUCGAGCCGCAGUAUGGCCAGGUUUAUCACAGAGCUGACACCAAUGAUUAGUGUAGUUGUUAUUUGGACGAGAAGCAGUUUGGAAAUUACCUCUACCAUGAAAGGAGGGAUGUACACGCCCCCUGCCUCGGAAGGUAAAAUUGUUGUUGCGGACACGGGAUCUAGAAAAGGAUUGUUGCUUGAUAGCAACAUUAGCUGAUGGUAUGGAAGACAGGAGAGCUUGCUGAUGAUGCUACACACGUGCCUCACAAAUGAGCAACAUAGAGUACACCUCUUCUAAGGUGACAUUUUCUUUAAUUGAAAUGGUGGUGAUAAGAAAAUCAUACUCAGGUCCUAGACCAGUGAGUAGGUGAAAAUUUCAUCUCAUUUGAGUGCCUGACCUGCCAUAGCUAGUUCUUUAGAGAGCUUUUUCACAUACAAGAAAUAUUUUGUAACAGACUAGGUAGUUUUAGGAGCAGUAGCAAGCGUAGUGCACUGUGCUACUUGCAUGAGUAUAUCAUCAAUAAGAGACGCAUUAAUACAACUGAGAAGAAAUAUUGAAUUGAGAUCUGUUGAUCACGUAGAAGAUUGUGCAGCAACUAAAAAUCAGGCCAAACCUCAGCAAGCGAAGAAGACAUAACAAUAAUCUUGGACCUUUAGUUUCGGUUCUGUUAAAUGCCUUGAUUUACGUCUUCAGAUUCUACUUUUAAAUUUUGUAUAGCAAAUUAGUAGGAGUGAUUUACUCACAGUUGUAUUAUAAAAUAUUUAGACUCUGUACACAACAAACAAUCGAAAUAAGAAAACAAUUCUACCUCAUCUGUCUCUGUUAAAUUCUACAUGGUAUCAGAGCCAACAAUUUACGUCCUCUCAUAAAGAUUCUUCUCUGUCCAUUACUUUCAUCUCUUCCUUCUAAACUCCUUUCUCAGAUUCCUCUUAGCUACCAUGGCCGCCUCUCCCCAUUCUUCCCUUACUUCUAACAACACUUUACCUGUCUUCAAUCCUUCUUCCAGCAUCAAUAUCACCAAACUUACUGGCACCAAUUUUCUAAAUUGGAAAGCGACCAUGCUUCCCUAUCUCAAAGGUCAAAAAGUGUUUGGCUAUGUUGAUGGCAUUAUUAAAAUGUCUGCAAAGGAAAUUCCUCACGGUGAUAGCACCAUGCAAUCAAACCCAGCCUUUGAUAUAUGGGAAACCCAUCACAAUCUUCUACUUGAUCAACGAAUCUCAAUUCAAUAGUUUUGAGUUCAAAUAGACGUUUAAAAAGGGAGUUUUUUUCAUGAAUGCAACCCUUCAUGUAUUCAAUAUGAAUGAUGGGAGAUUUUAAUGUCUCGUGAAUGCAUUCAUUUAUAUAUGGAUGAUUUUGCAAAGAAUUGGUUGGUAAAAAACUUAAUUUCGAUAUAUAAAAACUGAAGAGAGAACAAUAAAUAGAUAAGAAUUGGUAUGAAAAAAAUAAUUUGUAUGUGUGUAUCGACUACAUUUCAUGUGUUGUAUCUUGAAAACACAAUCUCAAUAAUCUUAAUGUGAGGAGUGAUUUCGCUUUGCCGUACUGUUUAUCUUCUUGGCAUUGUUCAAAGGAACCCAAGGGGCGUGGCGUGAUGGCAAAGAGUUUGAGAUCUGCACAGCAGGUCUCGAGUUCGAGUCAGGCGUGCACCUCUUGUAAGAGCCUGGGACAGCCGGGGUUUUACUCGCUCAUCUGGGCUCACAAAGUGCGCUUUCCGGGGGGUGGGGUUUCCUUAAAUCCAAAAAAAAUUCUUGGCAUUGUUCAAAGGAACGCAAAAAGACAUUCCAAGCGUGAAAGUGUAUUAUUGUAAUAAAGUUUUUCAAACUUCCAAUAUAGAGAGUGAAAUAAAGAACUAUUAUUGUCAUAAAUUCUCUAAGUGCAUCAGUUCCACAAAUCGCUAGCAUGUAAUUCACCGGAUCUAUUGCAAACAAUUCCCUCAUAUGUCUAAAUUCCAAACAAACCAACCACCACCAUAACAUAGGAAAUCAGAGACAGAUUCAAUAUCUCCUUUUCUUGGACAUUCAACAGAAGAUUAAAAAUGAAGUAAUAAAACAUUAUAAGUUCCAAAAAUCCGCAAAAAAAAAAAAAAAAUUCCUGAAAACAAUACCUGAAUACCAUGGAACAGUAAUCCUUCCAUCUGAAAUCCACAGAUUGAUGUGGAGGCGUAGACUUUGAUCCUUCCGGUGGAAACCUCGUCCAGAACUUUUCUUUAGGAUCAAAAUCACUGUGUCUUAGUUCCCUCAUUAUUGCAUCAUGCUUCCCCACAGAAUGACUACCAAAAAAGAGAGGAAACAAACUAUUAAUCCAAACUCAUAUAAAAUCCCACCAAAGAAACCCCAUAUUGACCAGUAAGAGAGUACCUGAUACCCAGUUGAAGAUUAAGCAUCAAACCAUAAUUCUUGAGCCCUUUCGAAAUCGUUUGUCCUUGUUUCUUAUUAACCUCACCAUCAACAGAACUACAAGGACUUCUACCUCGCUGCAGCUGCUGCUGCACAUUACCCUCACAUCCGCCUCCAUUAUCAUCAUUACCAUCUCUAUAAAACAUAGAAGCCUCCACAUUAUCAACAAUAUCACAAGUAAUAUCACCAGCCUCCCCAUCCAACUCCCAAAUACAAAUCUGAGGAAAAUUCCCAUCCACUGGUGACCUCUUCCUCCCUCCCCCAACCCCAACUACUGGAUCCAAUGCCACCCCUUUAAAAUCCUCUCCACCACCACCAAGAACUCUCCCAUUCCCAUUCCCACUACCAAAUGUAAACAUUCCUUUCCCUUUAGGCACCCCAUUUUCCUAGUACCCUUAAUACCUCUUCCCAUUAGCCCAAACCAAUACCCCUUUCCCAGAUAUCACCCCAUGUUUCCACUCACCUACAUGCUCAUUCCCAUUACAGCACCUAUACUUCCCUUCCCCAUCUUGCAAAUUAAACUUCCACAAACCUUGAUAAACAUCCCCAUUGGCGUACCUAUACUUCCCUUCCCCAUCUUGCAAAUUAAACUUCCACAAACCUUGAUAAACAUCCCCAUUGGCGUACCUUACCAAAGCCUUGACAAACCUUGACUUGGAGUGACAAAAACUCAUUUGCACAACUUAUCCAUUAUGUAAUUUAUAUUUUCAAGUUACAAUUUUUGACGAGCCUCGAGUUUAGUUGAGGUGUAUCAAUCUGUUGGCUAUUUGACGAGCCUUGGUUACUUGAAUCUGAAGGGAUGUUGGAGGCUAAAAAUCCUUCCACGAAGCAUUUGUGAUCUGAAGUCUCUUGAAACUUUGAAUAUUUCAGGGUGUUUAGGACUAGAGAAGUUGCCGUAUUGCAUAGGUGAUAUGGAAUCCUUAACUAAGGUGAUGGUGGAUAGAAUUGAAAAUGAGCAAGUUCUCUCUUCAAUAGGACAAUUAAAGCAUGUCAGAAAGAUAUCAUUGUGUGGAAACACUUUUUAUCAGAACUCAUCGUCAUUUACAUUUUGGCAUCCACCAAUUUCUUCUUUGAUUUCAGCAAGUGCUUUAUAUUGGAAACGUUUAAUGCCAAAAGCUUUCAUGGAUUGGAGAUUAGUGAAAAGUCUUGAACUUUCCGAUGAUGGUUUGUCUGAUCGCGCAACUAACUGUUUUGAUUUUAGAGGUUUGUCCUGUCUAGAAGAAUCGGAUCUAUCACAAAAUAAAUUCUCUAGCCUGCCUUCUGGGAUCGACUUCCUUCCCAAGCUAGGGACCUUAAGUGUUGUUGGAUGCGACAAUCUUGUAUCAAUCUCAUAUCUUCCCUCAAAUUUAUACCAUUUGAAUGCACUUUAUUGCAAAUCAUUGAAAAGAGUAAGAAUACCAAACCAGUCAAAAGAAGAACUACUUAUAGAUCUAAAUGUUUGUCCUUUAUUAGAAGAGAUUCAGGACAUCGAAGGUCCCAAUAAUAUUUUCUGGUCUAUUUAUGUUGAUUUCCCUAGGGAUUCAUCAAAUAAUUUUCAGAAAAGCCUUGUUGAGGUACUAUUUGUGUCUCUCUUGCACCAAAAUAAACACACACAUUUGAUUAAUUUUUAAAAUCUCAGCAUUACUUGAAAUCAAUAUAUAUUUAUAAAAGCAUUGUGCGUCGAUGGUUACCAGUAUUGUAUUUAUGACAUUCCUGGUGAGAUGCCAAAUUGGUUGAGCUACAUCAUUUGUUCCUAUAUUUUCCUUGUGACUUAAUAAGAGCGUCUACACCUGAGCAAUGAAGUAAGUAUUUAUUUCCGAAGCUGCAAAAACAUAAUCUUGAUUUAAUGCUUUUUGGUAAGAAUAAAUAUUUCAUUUAGUUAUUAUUAUUUUAUUUCAUUUCAUUUAAAACAAAAAUUAUCUUUAAUUAUUUAAUUUUUCUUAUUUAAUUUUAAAAAAUAAAUAUCAUCUUUAAUAAUAUUUUUUUUAUUAAAUAUUUAGAGUAUGUUUGAUUUUAUUGUUUAUUUUUUUAUUUUAUGAUAAUAUUUUUAUUAUUAAAUUUAAAAAAUUAAAUGUUAUCUUUAAUAAUUAGAUCUAUCCAAUCUCACUUAAUUAAAUCGUUAUUUUAUUGCUAGCAACUUAUGAGUCUUUUAAGCCAAAAGAAUUGUAGGAAGAGCUAAAAUUAGCAAGGAAUAUUUAGAGUCUAUUUGAUUUUAUUGUUUAUUCUUCGAUUUCAUGGUAAAAAUUUUAAAUUUUGAAAAACAUAAAUUGAAGACUUAUAUGUUUUGAACUUUUUUGUUUUAAAAAAAAAACCAACAGUCACUAACAUAAUUUCUUAAAAUCACUUUAGUUUAUUUGAAAAAUAUUGAAAACUGAUUUUUUGUUUUUUUACAUUAAAAACAAAAAUUGAACAAUCUUUUUAUAUUUUACUUCAAAUAUGGUAUUUUAAAACAAAAAUGAAAACGAUGUGAAAUUAACCAUUUUAAUUAUAAAGUAAGUUUCUUAAUUAAAAAUGAAGGUGAGUUAAUUUGUAAUAACAUGAAUUUUGCUGGUUUUUCAUGGAACGCAAUAAGUAUUGGACCUUUCAGAUUUCUUUCUGACAACUUAUCCAUGAUGUAAUUUAUAUUUUCAAGUUACAACUUUUGACUAAUACUUUUUCAUUCUUUUAUCACUUCUCAAUAUUCUCAACAAAAAGAUGAAAACCCUUGAUAUUAGUUAGAAAUAAAUUGGUUUUCCAGGAAGAUAUUAUUGAUUGGCAUACGGUAUUUGAGUUGGUUCUGCACUGUGUUUGGUAUUGCAGUAGCUGUUCUAGUUGAGGUUUGAAAAAAGUUAUUUUAUAAAAAGUAUUUUUAGUUGAGGUUGGUUUGGAAAAAUAUAUGUUUGGUUAAAAUUGUGGUUGAAAUUGAGGUUGAACAAAACGUAGUUUAAUGUGUUUGGUUAAGAAUGCUUUUGAAAUUGAGGUUAUAAAAUAAUUUUAAAAAAUAUAUAUUAAUAUUUAUGGUUUUUAAUUUAAAUAUUGUAGAUUUAACUCUUGCUCUUACAUCAUGAAAUAAAUAAUACUUUAUAUAAAAUAUUUUUUAUUGUUCCAUUAAAUUAUCUACAAUUCCAUUACGUAUAAAAUACAUCCGACAAGGACUACAUCUUUCACAAAUUUCUUAAGAGUGCAAUAACAUCAGGUAAAAUAUAAUCAGGAACAAAAUUGAGAUUGCAAUCAAAUUCUGCAAAUGCUACGUCAUCAAGCGAUCUUCGUUUAAUUUAUGUAGUGUCAUUGAAUAAUGUUUAACACUAGUUUUUCAAAUAAAAUACAAUUAAAAAUAUAAAAUAUUUUUUUAUUUUAUUGGGUCGGACCGGUUCAAUGUAUUUUUAGCUUUGAACCGGACCGGUCCGGCCGGAACAGUGGAGGCAUGCUCCACUGUUCAUUGAAGAAAACCCAUGAUCAAUGGAGCAUGGCUCCACUGUUCAUGGGUAAAUUCUCAGCACAAGAAGCAACAAAGAGCUGCUUCUUGUAAACCUGCGGCACACCCUCAUAAAGGGAUGGCUCCACUGUUCAUGGGUAAAUUCUCAGCACAAGAAGCACCAAAGAGCUACUUCAUGUAAACCUGCGGUACACCCUCAUAAAGGGUGGGUCCUACCAAAAAAAUUAUGGCCUUUUCUUAUAACCAAACAAUAAAAACUGUGGUUGCAAGUGAACCUCAUCCGUAGCCACAAUACCAAACGACCACUUAGUGUUAUAGCUCAAGACAAUUGAUAAAAACUACCAAUACAUUAAAAAAAAAGUACUUGUUCAAAAAGCAUUUUUAAUUGGUAUAAUAAAGAAAUUUUUUGCUAUAAAAUCUUUCUAUGUAUUAUUGCAUGAUUUUUAAUAUUAGCACCAAUUAAUAAUAAAUCUUUGACUAUUAUUAAAAAGGAAAAAGAAACUCAUGCUUGAAGGGUGCUCAAGUUUAACUUAGUUAUAAAAAUCUAAUUUAAAAAAUAAUUAAUUUGUCCUUAUAGUCUUAGAAAAUAGUAUUUAAUCCUUAUGUUUUUUAUAUUCAUCUAUGAUUUAAUUUUUUUCCAUCAAUUUCAUUUUCUUAUUUAUUUUAAUCCUGAAAUAAAUAAAAAAAUCAAAAGGCAUAUCAUGAAGACCAAUUCAAAAUAAACAAGAUGCUUAAAAAAUCUUUUAGUAUUGUCAUAACCCAAUUUUUGACCCUUUUAAUAAUGAUGAAAAAAAAUAAUGACGAUGAAAAGCAAGUAAAAUGAAAUAAAUGAAGAAUGAAUUAAAAUUUGGGUUAAGGGCAACAUGAUUGAUAAGUUUUGAGACUUAAUUGAGCUUGAAAUUAAUUUAAUUAAUCCAAUCAAGGGUUUAAUUGGAGAAUUGAUAAGUUUUGAGAAUUAAUUAAGCUUGGAAUUAAUUUAAUUAAUCAAAUCAAGGGUUUAAUUAAUUGGAUAAUUGAUAAGUUUGGAGACUUAAUUGAGUUUGAAAUUAAUUUAAUUAAUGAAAUCAAGGACUUAAUUGAAGAAAUAUCAAAGUUUGGAGUUUAAUUGAGGUCUAAAUUGCAAAAAUUAAAAUCCAAGGACCAGCUUAAAAAUUACGCUGAAAUGAAGGGGUCUAAUUAAAGUUUGUCCAGGGGCUUGCUCAUGAAAAAUCCAAAACGUCAAGGACAAAAAGGCAAAUGGCCAUUAGCAAUCGAACGGCAUUGUUUCAGGAGAACUGUUCGUCUUCUUCCGCUCACCAAACCAGAGAAACGGACGCCCCUGCCAUCACUGCUCCUGCAAUAAACGGUCCUGAGUCUUCAUUACCAAGGGAAACGCAUGCCAUUCGACGACAAUAAAAAACCAGAGAAGGGAAGCUAAGCCCGGACACGAAAAAGUCAGGCAGAACCGAACUAAAAAAAAAAAGCAGAGGAAGAAAGGGCAGAACCGAGGGGCCAAUGGAGAGCAUGAACGAAAACAGAGAGGGGACCUAAAAACAGAGAAAUAGGGAGAGAGCAAAAGGACAGCAGGCCUGCUUUGCUUUUGUUCUCAAAACGCAAGUGAAGUGCAAGGAAACUGCAAGCGUUGGUCAGCCUAAUUAUUCGUCUCCAGCUACACACUCCAAACCAUCGGAAAGAAAACUGGAAAAAACCGAGGAAACAGAGGAUGGACGAGCAAAAGAACCAGAGGAGAAAACACGAAAAAAGAAAACUAUUAGAGAGAGAGGAAAGCCCAGGAAAUAAAUACACAAGAAAGAACCAACAUUUCAUCAUCGUCUUCGUCCCUUCCAUCUCAAUAACCGGGGCGACGAGCAGAGUUAAAAGCAAAGGAAGAAGUCUAAAACAGAAAGACAGGGGAAGCAAAGGGCAAACGCAAGCAGGAGACACAGAGACCAACAUCAACAUCCUCAUCGUCUUCAUCGCCUCCAGCAACGUCUGCAGAUCAGGUAAGUUUGUUUUCGUUCCUUUCUCUUCCAUUUUUCAUUGUAAAGUUACUGUGCAGCUUGGAUUUAAUUAACUUUUGCACGCACGCGUGGUGCGUGCCUUUGCCCAGCCGGGUCACUGCUUGGGCCAGUGACCAGGCCGGGCUGGCUGGGUUCAGCCCAGCCCAUGUGGGCUGAGCUGGGCCCAGCCCAAAAAAUGAAAAAAUAAAAAAACAGAAAAGUAAAAGAAGGUAGAAAAAAUAAAAAAAAUGUGUAUGGAUGAAUAAAAAUAAUGUAAAUUUAUUGGUUUAUUCACUGACGCCAGAGUCAGGAAUAAAAAUACUGGUUUAAAUUUAUAUUAUUUUUAUUCGGUGUAUUUUAUUUUAUUUAGCUAGAAAAAUAAAAAAAUAUGUGCAUGCGUAAAAAUCAAUUUAUUUUUAUUUAUUUAUUCACUGGUGCUAGAGUAGGGAAUACAAAAUAUUGAUCUAAUUUUUCGUAGCUAUGAAUUUUUACCAACGCCAGAGUUGGAAUUAUUCGAGCUUGAAUAUUCACUGGCGCCAGAGUCAGGAAUAUUAUAAACAAAUCAUCAUAGCAUAAGCGAAUAAAUAUUUAGCAAUUUAAGACAAAACCAGCAAUGCAGUCUGCCUCAGGCAGAACGUUUAAGGGGUGAUAAUAUCUUCUUUUUUACGUAACCAAUCCCGAGCCAUAGAAUCUCUGUUGACCAGUUAGGGUUCUUAGUGACCAUAAUACUAGGUGGCGACUCCUCAAACAAGACCUUUUCCCCUUAAAGAACCAGAUGCCAGAAAUCUGUUCUUUGUCCAUAAUUCAAGAUUUAUUUUUAGGGCCGCCGCGAUGUCGGGUGCGACAAGUAUGACACCUUUUUUUAAAAAAAAUAAGACAACAACAUAUUUAAUCAACCCGAGUUUUGUGGCCUAACCACACCGUGACAAUCAUAUAAAAAUUAAAUUUUAAAAAAUCAACCCAUAGAAACAAAAAUACAUUGAAAAAACAAAUUUAAAAUAAAUCAAAUGAUUAAAAAAAGUUCAAUAAAACAUAUUUUGUAAAAAAAUAUUACAGACAAUAAUAACAAUUAUCAAGCUAAUAUUCAUACUACUCCAUAUGAAGCCUUACAUGGUCAACGUUGUCAAUACUAAUAUAUUGAUACGAAGAUGGUGAAAAGAAGCUCAUUGGGCUAGAAGUAGUGCAAAUAACUUCUGAAAAGAUUAAAAUAAUUCAAACUAAGCUCAGGAAGUACAAAAUAGACAGAAGAGUUACGUUGAUCAUAUAUGACUGGAAUUGAAAUUUGUUGAUGGUGAUUAUGUAUUUUUGAGAAUUUGAAAAGAUUCUAUAUUGGGCCUUUGAAAAUUUUGAAGAGAAUUGGUACAGUUCCUUAUGGAUUAGCUCUUCCACCCAGCUUUUUCAUCUAAAUAUCCAGUGUUCCAUGUAUCUCCGUGCUCCAUCACAUAUAUUAGAGCCAUAAACAGUAGCAUUUCAAGAAGAUAUGUCAUGUGAGAUUCAACUGGAGAGAAUUGUGGAUAGACAAAUUAGAAAACUUCGUUCUAAUGAGCUAGAUUGCUUCAGUGAAAGUAAUGUGGGAAGGUCAUUGGAGCGAUGAAGCAACACGAGAACCUGAGAAGAUGGUACAUAAUAAAUAUCGUUAUUUCUUCAUUCAAUCAAGCUAGUUAGUUUUAAUUCGAGGAUGAAUUUAUUUUAAAAGGGGAGGAGGAAAUGUAAACAUUAAUAAAUAUGUUUAAGUCUCGAUUAACUGUUUGAUACUUGUUAAAAAACUAGUCAUGAGGGCAUGAAAUUGAGUCUCAAACUACAAAAUGAACGACAACUUUGAAGCAAGUCGACUAAGGUAGCAUAGAGUGCCUUGAUCAAUUGGACUAAAUUUUUUAUUUGAUGUAGAAACACUUUUUUCCUUUGUGAGAAAAAAACAAGUUAAAAAAAAAAGCAGAAAUUUGAAAAAAAAAGAAGAUAAAAAAGAAAUAUGCUUUAGUUUUUGUUUCCAGAUAUUUUGAUUACGUAGCUUUUUUUUUUUUUUUGCCUUUAUUCACCUAUAUUGGCGCUAUAAAGUUUUUUUGAUUGAGGUUUGGUUAAUAAACUCUUAUUUCAUCUUUACUGCGCUAUAAAGCUAUUGCUGUUGAUAGCUUUUGCUGGGUUGAUCUUUUUGGUUUAUCUCUAUCAUUCUGGACAAAAGAUGAUUUUCAAGCACAUUAUGGCCGUUUGAUUGGAAUUGAUAAUGCUAAAAGCACUUUUGCAAAUUUGACAGCAGCAAGGGAAGGGUGUUAAUCUGCAGAACUCCGAAGGAAAUUAUUUUCGACGAGAAUAGAAUUGACCAUGUUGUUUCAUUGUCAGGGAAAGCACUUAUUUCUUUAAUGUAUGUUUCCGGAGAUUAUUGCGGUGGCCGGUGGCAAAUGUUUUGGCAGCUAAUGCAAUUCACAAUGACCUUGGUCCUUGAGAUCUUUACCUAUUUUGGUUUUGGUCACCAAACUUCAUUUUUUUUCAAUUACAUCCUUGCAAGUUCUAUUAACACGGUUCUAUUUGUUGUUAUCCACUUCGAUUUUCAUGUUCUGGCAUAUAUCAUAUAUCUUUAAAUAUCCCUACAUUGAAUUAGAAAUCAAUUUUUUUUAACCCUUCUAACCCAGUUGCUAUUAAUUAAGGUUAGUUCUCCACCUGCAUGUUCUUCCUUCUCAAGCGUGGCAUCGGUCUUUAGCUACACUUACUUAGUCCCUGUUAUUUAUAAAGCUUAUAAUUUAGUUCAAGUCAAUAAAAGGUUAGCAAUUUAAUACAAAAGCUCAUGGCCAAGUAAGAGAUGUUUAUUUUGGAUGUAAUAAAUAUUCAUAUUGGAACAUAAUAUUCAUCUCUCAAAUCCCUAAUCCAGUUGAUCAUAUAAAUAAUUGUGUUAAUUAAUAACUAUAAGAAAUAAAACCCCUUACUAGUUGAUUACUUGAAUAAAAACUCAAGAUUGUCGAGCAAAGUAAAUAAAUUACUUACUCAGGGUUACUAGAGGAGUUAUUUGCCAAGAUAUUUAAAAAUACAGUUGAACCGUGUUUUCUAAGAUUUUUUUGGAUCAUUCUGAUAUACUGAUAUCAAAAAUAAAUUCUAAAAUAUUAUUUUAAUAUAUUUUUAAUUAAAAUUUUUUUGAAAAAUAAUUUUCACUGCAAUCCUACACAGGUUUAGAAGUUUUUCAAAUAUAUGGAUUAAUGUUGACUCUCUAGUCAUUUUUUAUAAUAAGUUUUGAAUCCAAACAAGUGAAUUUAUAUGCAUGCUUGGACAGCUUGAUUUUCUCUUUAAUUUAAUCAACAAUAAUUUUUCAUUUUCAAUAAAAAAUUGAGUUUAUUAUUCGAGUAAGACAAACUCUGUAUUUUAAAAUACUAUUGCCAAAAGAUUCUCUUUAUAUGAAUCAAGACAACAGUAUCAUUCAAAUGUUAGGAAUAUAAUAACUUUUACAUAUUUUUCAAGUUUGGUAGAAUAGUAGUGGAAUAAUUCUUUUAAUAUUUAAAAAUUAAAAAAAUAUUGUGUAGCUGUUUUGUAUAAAUUGUAAAGUAAAAGCACAGAGAGAAGAACGGUCCGAUAAUAAAGGACCUCAAUAAUGCUAACGCGUGGGACCCAGUUAUUGCAACCACCACGAAAUUAGCGCUCCAAAUUCCAGCUCAAUAUUUACCAGUACUACACGCUUGAGAAAUUUUAUUAACAAGCUUAGAGUAGAAAUUUUAUUAACAAGACAAAUUUAAAAUAAACCUAGAGAUUUACAAGCUAUCAUUAACAAAGCACAAGAUUAGAUUUACAAGCUUCAUGUCACUUCAUGACACGCUUGUUUUCAACGUUUUAUAUUAUUUUAUUUUUUUUGUUUUUAUUUUUUAAAAAUAUUUUUAAAAAAUUUUGAAUUUUAUUUUUAUUUUUUUUAAUUUUAAAUUAAUAUUUUUAAUGUUUUUAGAUUAUUUUAAUAUGUUAAUAUUAAAAAUAAUUUUUAAAAAAUAAAAAAAUAAUUUUUUAAUAUAUUUUUAAAUAAAAAAUAAUUUAAAAAACAAACACAACGCUUUUACAUUUUAAAAGAAGGGUUCAAGGGAGAACAAUAAUGAAGGGGAAUCAAAAUCUUUGUUAGCAAGAAAAAAUUAUAAAAGUUUAAUAAUUUUUAAUAGAAAUAAAUAAAAUUUCUAAACUAAAUAAAAAUAUUUGAUAAAAAUAUUUUCUAUCCCAAAAAUUCUUAUAUUAAAAUCUCAUUUAUCACAUUUUAUAUCUAUAAAAAACUAAUUUGUCACAUGUACAUUUUAAAUUAAUUUCAAUUCAAAAUAACAAAAUAUGAUGGACAUUUUUUAGUAAAUUAAAUUCAAUUCAAAAUAACAAAAUAAGAUUUCUUGAGGCUUAUCGUUAAACCUCGUUUUGGGAUGAAUUGAUCACGAGAAUAAGAAAUUAUGUGUAAAUUAUACAAAAUUUAUUAUUAAUCAUCAAGAUUUAUUAUUUAUUAUCAAUAUUGAAUAAUGAUUUAUUUUAUAAUAUAAAUUAUGUUUAAAAUAAAAUUGAUAAAAUUAAAAUACAUGAAACGAGGUUGUAUAUUUUGAAACUAAAUUAAAAUCAUUUUCUUUUUCUAUUGUAUCCUUCAAAAUUAUUUAUUUUAUAAAAAAAAAACUUGUUAGCUUGCAAGUACACAUGUCAUGAGUCUCCACUGCAUCAAAUUUGCAAAAUCAUAUGGCCCAUUGAUAGAAAGGUGUGUUCGAAAAAAUGUUAACGCUUGAGAAAUUUCCUUGCUUUUUUUCCUCUACGUGUUCCCUUUUACCUCUUUUAUAAUUAUGAUUAUUGCAUCGCUAAUAAUUUGCAAGAAAGAUGAUGAACAUUUUUUAGUGAAUUAAGUUCAAUUCAAAAUAACAAAAUAAGGUUGGUUGAGGUUUUUUUAGAACCUCGUUCAGGGAUUAAUUAAGGAGAAUAAAAAAAAUCAAAUUAUACAGGAUUUAUUAUUAAUCUUUUAUAUUUAUUAUUGAUCAUCAAUGUUGAAUAAUAACUUAUUUUCUAGUAUAAAUUAUGUUUGAAAUAAAAUUGAUAAAAGAGUACAUGAUACACAAUUAAUGAUGGAAUCGUAUAUUUUAUAUAAAAAUGAUUAAAUUGAGAUUUAUUAAUUACCUUUAAACAUAUUAUGGUUUUAAUCGGUGGAUGAUGUAAAUUAUAAAACAAUAUUUAUUUUUCUGAUAUAUAUAAUUAAACAGUCUCUCCUGAACCAAAUAAUAAAAAUAUUGUAUAACUUUUUUGGAUGAAUUGUUAAAAUGUAGGGACUGUUUGGGUUCCUGACAUGGCUGAUUUUAUUUGAAUAUAUUAUUUGAUUAGUGUUGACUCUACUAUUGCUGCAUUGACUGGAAAUUUCAGUAUUCAAUAACCUUGCUUUACUCUGCAGCUAACUUCUCUGUCCCAUUGCUGCCAUUUCAUAGCUAACUCUUUGUUAUAUUUAACUUCCUCUUCUUUGCUUCUUGCUCAUAACGAUAACUUGAAAGCCUUACGUUCAGAUAGAUAAUCAUUGACAAGUCCAUCCUAUAUCAUUCUAUUUAAUUUAGAAAUGCAGAAAGAAAAACGCAAGCAAUCCAAAGAUGAAGAAAAUGAUUCAUCCUCGCGAAAGAGAAGAAAAGCUGACCUCAGUAAGCCUAUAUAAAGAAUACAAUUAACCUCAUUUCAAUAUCAUAGCUUUGGAAUUUCAUAGCUAACUCUUCGUUAUAUUGCUCCAUUGGUAAUUGAUUGUGCCUUGAUUUCUGCAGCUGCCAUGACAGAGCCAGAGUCUUCUCGAUCUAGACCAGAAGGGGCCUAUGAUGUCUUCUUGAGUUUUAGAGGAGAAGACACUCGCAAGACAUUUACAGAUCAUCUAUAUACUGCCUUGGUCCAAGCAGGAAUCCACACUUUUCGAGAUGAUGAUGAACUUCCGAGAGGAGAAGAAAUCUCCGAUCAUCUCCUCAGGGCAAUUCAGGAAUCAAAGAUAUCCAUAGUUGUUUUCUCAAAAGGAUAUGCUUCUUCUAGAUGGUGUCUCAAUGAACUUGUAGAGAUUCUUAAGUGCAAAAAUAGGAAAACCGGUCAGAUUGUUCUUCCUAUAUUCUAUGACAUUGAUCCUUCAUAUGUGAGAAAACAGGAUGGCAGUUUUGCAGAAGCAUUUGUUAAACAUGAAGAGCGUUUUGAAGAGAAGUUGGUGAAGGAGUGGAGAAAAGCUCUUGAGGAGGCUGGAAAUCUAUCUGGAUGGAAUCUCAAUGAUAUGGCAAAUGGGUAUGCCUUUUUUCUCUAAGAUUCACUUGCACACAUUUAUGGAGUCAAUAUACUUUACAUUUUUCAAUGUGAAACAAUAAAAUACUUAAUUGACUCGCUAUCAAUGACUUGCUUUUGUCUAUGAGCAGGCAUGAAGCAAAAUUUAUCGAAGGGAUUAUCAAAGAUGUGUUGAAUAAAUUAGAUCCCAAGUACUUGUAUGUUCCUGAGCACCUAGUAGGUAUGGAUCGGGUUGCUCACAAUAUUUAUGACUUUCUAAGUACUGCAACAGAUGAUGUACGCAUUGGGGGCAUGCAUGGGAUGCCAGGAAUAGGAAAGACGACUAUAGCAAAAGUUGUAUUUAAUAAACUCUGCUAUGGAUUCGAGGGAAGCUGUUUUCUUUCGGAUAUCAAUGAAAGGUCAAAACAAGUUAAUGGUCUUGUUCCUUUACAAAAGCAACUUCUUCACGAUAUUUUAAAACAGGAUGUUGCAAACUUCGAUUGUGCUGAUAGAGGAAAGGUUCUGAUCAAAGAGCGACUUCGUCGCAAAAGAGUUCUUGUUGUUGCUGAUGACGUGGCUCAUCUGGACCAGCUGAAUGCAUUGAUGGGAGAUCGAAGUUGGUUUGGUCCCGGAAGUAGAGUAAUUAUUACAACAAGAUAUUCAAGUUUACUUCGUGAAGCAGAUCAAACAUAUCAGAUCAAAGAAUUGGAACCAGAUGAGUCCCUUCAGCUUUUCAGCAGGCAUGCCUUUAAGGACUCCAAGCCAGCAAAAGAUUAUAUUAAGCUUUCGAAGGAUGCAGUUGAUUACUGUGGAGGACUUCCUUUAGCUCUUGAGGUUAUAGGAGCUCUUCUGUACAGGAAAAACAGAGGUGAAUGGGAAAGUGAAAUUGACAACUUGAGCAGAAUUCCAAACCAAGAUAUUCAAGGAAAACUUCUAAUAAGUUAUCACGCACUUGAUGGUGAACUACAAAGAGCAUUCCUUGAUAUUGCAUGCUUCUUUAUUGGUAUAGAGAAAGAAUACGUCGCAAAAGUGCUAGGAGCCCGUUGCCGUCUCAAUCCAGAAGUUGUUUUGAAAACUCUCCGUGAAAGGUCUCUGAUUCAAUUUCAUUGGUGUAACAUUAAAGAUGAAAGGCAGUUAUUUGGAGAGAUGGUAGCCAUGCAUGAUCUAUUACGAGACAUGGGAAGGGAGGUCGUUUGUAAUGCGUCUCCCUUGCAUCUUGGAAAAAGGACCAGAAUUUGGAAUAAAGACGAUGCAUGGAAUGUACUUGACCACCAGAAGGUAAGAGCUCAAUGCAUACACGAAAGCAUAGUCAUGCGUAUUUUCUAGUCACACUUAUUACAAAUAAUUGUAUGAAAGUUGUAUUGUUUUUCUUUUAGGGUACGGAUGUUGUAGAGGGUCUUGCACUGGAUGUCAGAGCAUCAGAAGCUAAAUCACUUGGCGGAGGAUCAUUUGCAGAAAUGAAAUUCUUAAAUUUACUCCAAAUCAAUGGAGUACAUCUCACCGGAUCCUUCAAACUGCUUUCUAAAGAGUUGAUGUGGAUUUGUUGGCAUGAAUGUCCUUUGAAAUAUUUUCCAUCUAAUUUUACUUUAGACAAUCUAGUUGUUCUUGAUAUGCAGCACAGUAACCUCAAAGAAUUAUGGAAGGAAAAAAAGGUACGAAACAUGCUACAAUCCCCAAAAUUUCUCCAAUAUGUAAUUUAUAUUUACAUGUAAUGACUUUCUAUGAUUAAUUUUCAUUAUUUUGCUCUCUAUCAUGAUAGAUGCUCGACAAACUAAAAAUCCUUGAUCUCAGUCAUUCUCAGCACCUUAUUAAAACACCAAACUUGCACAGUUCAAGUCUAGAGAAACUAAUUCUGGAAGGUUGCUCGAGUUUAGUUGAGGUGCAUCAAUCAAUUGAAAAUUUGACGAGCCUCGUUUUCUUGAAUCUGGAGGGAUGUUGGAGGCUGAAGAUUCUCCCUGAAAGCUUUGCCAAUGUAAAGUCUCUUAAAUGUUUGAAUAUUUCUGGGUGUUUACAACUUGAGAAAUUACCAGAACGCAUGGGUGAUAUGGAAUCCUUAACCAAGCUUCUAGCUUAUGGGAUUGAAAAUGAGCAAUUUCUCUCUUCAAUUGGACAAUUAAAGUAUGUUGGAACUUUAUCAUUGCGUGGAUGCAGUUCGGCUCCACCAAGUUCUUCUUUGAUUUCAACAGGUGUUUUGAAUUGGAAACGUUGGCUGCCAGCAUCUUUCAUUGAAUGGAUAUCAGUAAAACAUCUUAAGCUUUCUAAUUGUGGUUUGUCUGAUCGCGCAACUAACUGUGUUGAUUUCAGUGGUUUGUCUGCUCUAGAGUAUUUGAAUCUAGAUGGAAACAAAUUCUCUAGUCUUCCUACUGGGCUCGGCUUCCUUCCCUAUCUAUUAACGUUGAUUGUCGAUGCAUGCAAAUAUCUUGUAUCAAUCCCAGAUCUUCCCUCACGUUUAUGCAUUUUGCAUGCAAAUCAUUGCAAAUCAUUGAAAAGAGUAAGAAUACCAAUCGAGCGAGAAGAAGAACUAUGUAUACAACUAGGGGGAAGUCAUUCGUUAGAAGAGAUACAGGGCAUCGAAAGUCUAAGUAAUAGUUUCUGGUAUGUUUGUGUUGGUGAGCACAGUCAUUCACCAAAUAAAUUUCAGAAGAGCGUUGUUGAGGUACUAUUUCUUUCAAUCUCUUUUGCACAAGAAGAAACACACAAUUGGCACAUAUAUUGAUUAAUAUCUAAAAUCUCAGCAUUACUUGAAAUCAAUAUGUAUACAGGCAAUAAUCAUUAUUAUUAUUAUUUUAUUUUAAAAAAAUAAAUAUCAUCUUUAAUAACAUUUUUUAUUUUUCUUAUUUAAUCUAAAAAAAUAAAUAUCAUCUUUAAUAAUAUUUUUUAUUAAAUUUAAAGUCUGAUUGGUUUUAUUUUUUAUUUCUUGAUUUUAUGAUAAUAUAUUUAUACAGGCAAUGUGCAACGGUCGUGACCCGUAUUGUAUUGCCAACAUUCCUGGUAAGAUGCCAAAUUGGAUGAGCUACAGGGGAGAAGGAUGCUCAUUGUCAUUCCAUAUACCUCCAGUCUUCCAAGGCUUAGUUCUUUGGUUUCAUAAGGAUUCUCAUUGUCACUUCCACAUUGACAUUAUUAUUAUUAUAAGAAAUAAAAGCAACGGUAUUCAAUUGUUUGAAGAAAAACAAUUACCAAUAGACACGGUACGUGGAAGGGUGGGAUGGACAAGAUACAUAAGUAGAAGUGAAAUGGCAAUGGAAGAUUACUGUGGAGAUGACGAAUUGGAACUAUACGUAUAUUCAAAGCCAUCAAUACUUGCGGUGUACAGAGGUUGGCAAUUAAAACCCGGACACAUUAAAGAAUAUGGGGUCCAUGUGAUCGCAGGGAAGUCAGAUUCAUUUGAAGAGUCGGCAGUGGGAAGAGAUGCAGUGAUGCCUUCACCACCGCUGUAUCAUCUGCUUCCUCAUCCCCAUUGUGGUUCGAUUACAGCGUCUACACCUAAGCAAUGGAGUGACUAUUUAUCUGCGAAGCUAGAAGGACAUAGCCUCGAUUUAAGACUUGAUGGUGAGAACAAAUAUUUCAUUUAGUUAUUUUUAUUCUAUUAUAUUUAAUUUAUGAGAUUAAAUAUUAUCUUUAAUGAUUUUAUUAUUAUUAUUUAAUCUAAAAAAUUAAAUAUCAUCUUUAAUAAAAAAAUAUUAAAUAUUUAAGGCUUUUUGGUAAGAAUACAUAUUUCCUUUAGUUAUUUCUAUUUUAUUCUAUUUAAUUUAAGAGAUUAAAUAUCAUCUUUAAUUCUUACAUUUUUCUUAUUUAAUCUAAAAAAUUAAAUAUUAUCUUUAACAAUAUUUUUUAUUAAAUAUUUAGAGUUUGCUUGGUUUUAUUUCUUUUCUUGAUUUUAUAAUAAUAUUUUUCUUAUUUAAUAUAAAAAAUAAAUAUUAUCUUUAACAAUUAGAUCUAUCGAAUAUCACUUAAAAAUAAAUUAUAACUUUAAUAAUUAUUUUUUGAAAAACAAAAGGCCAACAAUCACUAACAUAUUUUAUUAAAAUCACUUUAGUUUAUAUAGAAAAUAUUGAAAACUGAUUUUUGUUUUUUUACAUUAAAAUAAAAAAUUGAAUAAUGUUUUUAUAUUUUAUUUCAAACUCGAUAUUUUAAAACAAAAAUGAAAAAGAUGUGAUAUUAACAUUUUUUAUUAUAAAGUAAGUUUUUUAAUUAAAAGUGAUGGGAAUUUGUUUUUAUUGCAUGUACAAUCAUGCACAUUUAACUUUCUUUUUAAAUUUGAUGGUUUUUUAGGACGGAAAUGGCUUGAAGGUGGUGAAGGCUUUGAUUGACAUGAGAGUACAAGAUUAGUUUACAUAGAGAUGCUUGAAGUUGCUCCAAAUCAGUACGAUACUUUCAUCUGACAUGUUGAUAUGUAUUUGUUGGCUUGAAGAUUAUUUUCCAAGCUUGGAAGUUUUAUUGAAUUCUCUUUGAAAUCUUUUCCAUCCGCUGGACAACUUAUAUUAUUAUGCAUGAUGUAAUUUAUAUUUUCAAGUUACAAAUUUUGAUGAAUAUUGUUUCAUUUUUUUCCUCAUUUCAAAAGAUGAAAAUCCUUGAUCUUAGUUAGAAAUAAAUUGGUUUUCUAGGAAGAGAUUAUUGAUUGGAAUAUAGUAUUUGAAUUGGUUCUUCAUCAUUUACUGUUAUAUAUAAUUUAAAAUAAUUGAUGAAAAUACAUAGAAAAGUUUUGAGAGCAUCCUUAAUUAGUCUAGUAAGUAAAGUGUUGUUAGUUUUGACUAUAAGAUCUUGCUAUGUAUUAUUGCAUGGUUUUUACUAUUUUUUUGCAUUUCUUCUUUUUGUAUAUACAACUUUUGUUUUUCUUGCCGCUUGUCAUUAGCUUUAUGGCACCAACACCAAUUAAUAAUAAAUCUUGAACUAUUAUUAAAUAAAGAAAAAAUAUAAAUAUCGUUAAAAUACCAAACUUGAAUUGCUCAAUCCUAAAGAAACCCUAUGACAAUAAUCUAAUUUAGAAAAUAAUUAAUUUAUCCUUGUAGUCUAAGAAAAUAGUAUUUAAUUCUUAUGUUUUCAUAUACAUCUAUGAUUUAAUAUGUUGAUUGAAAUUGGCAAGUGAGUUUACUCACGUAUUGUUAUAUUGGUUUUGAGUUCAAAUAAAUGUUUAAAAAGGGAGUUUUUUCAUGAAUGUAACCCUUCAAUAUAUGAAUGUUUAAAAUUGUAUUCAAUAUGAAUGAUGGAUGAUUUUGCUAAGAAUUGGUUGGUAAAAAACUUAAUUUCGAUAUAUAAAAACUUAAGAGACAACAAUAAAUAGAGAGACUAGUAAAGAUUUUAUGUGCUUUCUUGUUUUUUUUUUUUAAUUGGAUUACCUUUGUCUUUUGUUUCAAGUAAAAUUCUAGUAUAUAUCACUAAAUUAAGAAUUAAAGGUCUAAUUAUAUGAAACACAAUUUUAAAGACUACAUCAACUACAUUUCAUAUGCUCAACUCUAAGCAAAUUGAAAUUUCAAGGCCAUUUGUAUCUUGAAAACACAAUCUCAAUAAUCUUAAUAUUGAAUUAUUAUUUGUUGAGUUGGAAAAUAGCACUAAGGAACACAAAAGCCGUACUGUUUAUCUUCUUGGCAUUGUUCAAAGGAACGCAAAAAGAUACUCCAAUUGUGAAAGAUUAUUAUUGUCAUAAAGUAAAACUUUCAAUAUAGAGAGUGAAAUAAAGAGCAAGAGCAAAAAAAUAAUUCGUGUGUGUAUUAGCUAAAUGAAAUGAAGAUUAGAGUAAAAAGGAUAAAAAAAAAAAAAAAAAAUAGAGAGAGAGACUCGUUAAGAUUUUAUGUUGGUGCUCAACAUGUUCUUUCUUAUUUUUUUUUUUUUUUUAAUUUUAUCUUAACGAGUGAAAUAAAGAAACACUCCCCCCAUCUUUCUUGUUCCCUUUCCCUUCUUUACAUGGCUUACUCAGUGAAAAAGCAAUUAAACACCCCAUUUGAUUUUCAAUCAGUAUGAGAGUGAGAGAGAGAGAGGCCAAGGUGGUCCUUGAAUAUUUUCUUCUUUUUUGUCUCGCUCACUGGGGCAAACCAUUUUUUCCAAAAUUUUGAAUAGCAUGCGAUCAAAAAGAAUUUUGAAUAGCAUGCCAUCAAAAGGAAUUUUGUUCAAUCCCAAUCCCACAUUGUCUGUAGAAGUAUUUACUUUUGACUGUACACUUUGUUAUUUUCCAAUCCCUCCCCAGUUCUGCAACCAUUUCUCUACUUUCUAUGCUCUUGGCUUGCUAAAAACUAAAGAAAACACAUUGCUCUACUUGCCUGCCUUCACUCUUCAGAUUGCUCAACAAAUCCCUUGAGACCUUCUCCAUAGUUAACACAUCACAUAAUGGCUACUCUAAAAAAUUUAGCCAUAAACAUUGAACACCUUGAGCAAUCAACGUGCCUUCCUUCACAAUAUCCAUCACCCAUAAAUCUUUCUUUUGGGAUGUCGCCGGGAGUUUAAUUUCCGUGUAAAAAUUAUGUAUAAAUUUCCAUUCUUUCCUUCCAUCCAUUACUUGUCCUCUAUGAAGAUUCUAUGUAUGAAAUCUCGGAAUCUUUUCGAGUAUAACUUGGGAUCAACAGCUGAGAUAGACGUGGGAUCCACUUCUAAGGACUUGUAUGCAUGCUCUAGCUUUUUGCUGAUAUCAUAAUCCUAGAGAUACCAAAGUGAAGAACUACAUCUCACAAUCACCAAAAUUCAAAGUAAAGUAACGGAGAAGAAAAUCUGAUAACAAUGAAUGAUCACUCAUUAACCACAGCGAAUCUUACGCUUUGAAAACACUUUUCACCAUCAAUUUUCCUUUUCUCAUUGAUUUUAAAUCUUCCAGGCAGAUAAAAUAGCAUUGGUUUUAUUCAUCAGCUUAGGCAUCAACAACAUGUUGCAUCCACAAUCUUACUACUACAUUAUAAUUAUAAACAAAGCUAAAAAAAUAUAUAUAUGAGGACAGAGUUAACAGACAUGCACUAAGAGUUAACAGACAUGCACUAACACACACUGUGCAAAUCAGUGUACAGCUGUUAUAACAAACAAGUGUACAAUCUGUUUUCUCCAACCUUCCAGCAUUAUUCUCCCGAGCAUAUUCUGUCAGCUCAAGAUUAGGCAAUUCUGUUAACCAUUCUGUUAGCUCUGUUCUCUUUUGUUGUAUAUAUACUUGAUUGAUUGAUUGAUUCAAUAACAUUAUCUUUCUCUCUUCUCACCUGCCCCCUUUUUCUUCUCCUUUUACCUCUAGCUUCCAAUGCCUAUCAACACCACCAUCCUUAACACAAAUGAAUCUCACAGCAUGUUGAUUACCAUCAAUGUAGCAGCCCAAACUCCAUUAAAACUUAUCUCCACCAGGCACCAACUAUCUAGCCUGGAAACUUUGUUGGGGAUUCCGGCUCCCCCAUGCGCGGACCGGGGGUGUACUGAUAGUUGCUCAACGGAGGGUAAAGCACACUGAUACAAUAUUUUACGUGGUUCGGCAAAACCGCCUACAUCCACGGGAGAGUCCAUAUUAUUAGAGAUAUAUAGAGAAAGGAUUACAACAUACAUGGAGGAGGAGGAUCACUUCACUCAAACUCAAUUCCCAGCUCUUUUGCUACACUUACAGCUGCUGCAAUGGCAGCAGCCAUUGCAGCUCUCUCUUUCUCUCCACUCUCUUGCACACACUCACGUUCUCUCUCUCUCAUUUUUCUCUCAAAUAUAAGCCUCCUUUAUAGGCAUUUCAUGGUCAACAUGGAGGGGCCAAUAGCCUUAAAGCAUGGCAUGAAUUGUGGCACAAUUCAUGCUUCCACUUGCUUAGUGGUGGGGUAUUGCCACAAAUGGCAAUAUCCUAACAAUCACCCCCUUUGCCAUUUGUGUGGGCAAUUGUCCUCUUGCUUCUUCAGCACAGGCUUGCAUCUUGCAGCUCUUCCAAGCUUACCAUUCUGAGAGCGUCUUCAACACAACAUUCCCUUUCGAGUGUAUCAAUCAUGCUCGGUCCGGAAUGAUUUUUCAAGCCUUACACCAAGGCUUACAACACCCCCUCAAAUAGAUAUUUCUAAGUGCGACAGUCAUUUAGUAUUUCAAUGUGAUCACAAGCUCACCACUCUUCCAAGAGUCUACUCAUCCAAGAGUUGUGCCUGCCCUCUGUUCCACCCUAGGAACCACGUCUUACUUCUCCGUGAGUCUCUCGCUCUUAGUCGUAAGAGUCCAGGUAGCUCUCCACCUUUAACCAUAGGGGCAGCCCAUUAAAGGUUGAUUCAUAUCUGUCUUCAUACUCUGAGUAUUACAAUGCCAUUACCGAGCUCACCACCUUAACAAGAGUCAACUCGUUCUCGGAACCUGCGCAUGCCCUUCUGCUUCUUCAUAGCAGCCGCGUCUUAAUGCUCCACAAGUCACACACUUAUUGUCCAAGGCAAAUGUCUUCUAGCUCAUUGAUCUUUAGCAUGGGGGCAAUAUCCAUGAAAGUCAAUCCUGCAUUUGUCUCCAUACUCAUCAUAGCCACUUCAUUGGCUAUCUAUACACUUGUCCACUUGUAUCUAGCCAUCACAUCGGCUUUGGAGCGUUCUGAACUGGGCUCAUAUCAUGGCCCUCACACCUUCUCCUCAGGUGUCUCCGCUCGUCAUCAUGCGACGGUCUGAACUGGGGCUCCUCUCAUAGCCCUCACACCUUCUCUACGGUGUCUUCGCCCGUUGUCAUGGGGCGGUCGCAUCCUUCUUCAGCUGGGAUGCUUCAAAGUGGCUCCAAAAUUCUCUACCACCAUGUGCACUAUGGGAGAGAUUAUAACCACUGAUUACAUAGAAAGAGAAACUUGCGGUAUACUCCUCGCAAUCCUCCACCUCGAUUUCUAUGUUUGGAGCUUUUGUGUCUUUCUACUUGAUAGCUCCACCUACACCAACUCUCUUUGGUGUCUUCGCCUUUCAUCAUAGGCGGUCGCCUUUUAUCACAGGCGUUUGCACCCCCUCAAUUAGGUGCUUCUACAACAGCUCUCUUUCCAUCCUUGCAUGCAUUGGAAAGGUCUUCGCCUGUUGUCUUCAUCAAGAGCAUAAGAGACUUCCUGUUGUACAAACUUUAACAGUCUCUGCUCUGAGCUUCAUCUGGGAACACUUCUUCUCCUUGCACCUAUUGUCUCAUUACAGUACCUCGUUGGAUCCUACGGGUACUCCUGCACAAUCUCCGUGUGCCCUCGUGCAAUUUCUGUUCUCCAGAUUUCUCCCUAUUUCUUGCUUAUGUUUGACAGCAGCUCAUCCUGUCACAACACCUGUCCAAGUCAAAAAUAUGGUGCCAAUCUUUAUCCCCUUGCUGUAUUCCUCUUCCAUUAUCAGGGUCUUCAUCAGUUCUCCCCUCGAGAAAUCACAGUCACCGAAUCUAACUUCUUUGGAGAAAUCACCACUCCAUCAGAUCCUUGAACCUUUGGAACCCAACUAUUCCCUUGUGCCGUCAUCCUGCUAGCCUUCAACUGUUUCAUUACAAACUGCUAUAUAUACAAAAAUAGUACCGUAUGGAUAAUCCUUCCACUAAGCAAGUUCCCAGGAAAGAUUGGAGGGGUCACACUGGUCCCGCUUAAAACCCAAUCUCCUAGACAGAACUUCUUAGGACAUAUCUAUCCAUCGUACUGUCUUUUUGUAUAUACAACCAUUUGCUAGCUUUGUUGCGGCUUUCCUUUACAAGUGAUCUGGGGUAUCCCGAUUUUAUACCUGAUUUCUCAACAUCUGGCGAGACUACCAGUUCUUAGAUUCGUCAAGAUUGGUCUUUAUCAAUUUUCACUCUACACCUCUAAUUGUCCACUUGAUCGGGUGUCUAGAGUGUCCCAAUUUUGCCUUCCCUCAAGGCAGUUAAAUUUCUCCCAACUUAGCAGCUCAGCACAUGUAAUUGGGUAAACAUGUGCACCUUCUUCUUCUUCUCUUCAACGACCACCAUGAUAACCUUCAGAUGCCUCCUGAUCGGGCAAUCUCUUUUGUUAAUUCAUCACUACCACUUUCGGUCUCAAAUCUCAACGAUCGGACCAUACCAUUGCAUCCGAAACGAUCAAAUUAGCUGGAAACAAGUCUGAAAUCGUCCAAAUCGCACUUCAGACGGCUAAGAUUUGAUCAAAACAAUUCUGGCCUGAUCAAUGGCUCAGAUUCAAUCUCAGAUCCGGUUGCACGUAGGAUCAGCUACACUGGAUCCUGUCCCUCGGCUCGCGGCUCGGCUCCAAUUAGGCUCGGCUCGGCUUGGCUCGGCUCGUGGCUAAUGACGUGGUUGGUGGGUCCCACUUUGCUGACGUGUCAGUGACUGUACGCUGACAUGGCAUGCCAACUGUGCAUGCUGACAUCACACUUACAUCAGGCUGAUGUCAUCCCUGGCAUGCCUACUAUGCAUGUUGACAUCACAAUUAUGUCAUACUGACGUCAUUCAUAUCCGGGUCAGCCAUGUGGGUCGGGUCAACUGGUAUUUGGGUCGGGUCAGCCCAUCCGGGCGAAGAAGACGCGUGGGGUGCGUCUGCGCGCGUGGGCAGACGCCUUGCCGGAGAGUGAUGGAGAGUACGGCCAUGUCCGACGUCCGAUUUUGACGCCGUUUUCACCAGUGGCUUCGUCUCGGCCUCCUCUACACGGUGGUAUAGUCAAAACACCAUUUUGAGAACUUUCAUUUUUGAGCAAAAAUCAAACACCCCUUUAAACCAUGUGCUCUGAUACCAGUUGUUGGGGAUUCCGGCUCCCCCAUGCGCGGACCGGGGGUGUACUGAUAGUUGCUCAACGGAGGGUAAAGCACACUGAUACAAUAUUUUACGUGGUUCGGCAAAACCGCCUACAUCCACGGGAGAGUCCAUAUUAUUAGAGAUAUAUAGAGAAAGGAUUACAACAUACAUGGAGGAGGAGGAUCACUUCACUCAAACUCAAUUCCCAGCUCUUUUGCUACACUUACAGCUGCUGCAAUGGCAGCAGCCAUUGCAGCUCUCUCUUUCUCUCCACUCUCUUGCACACACUCACGUUCUCUCUCUCUCAUUUUUCUCUCAAAUAUAAGCCUCCUUUAUAGGCAUUUCAUGGUCAACAUGGAGGGGCCAAUAGCCUUAAAGCAUGGCAUGAAUUGUGGCACAAUUCAUGCUUCCACUUGCUUAGUGGUGGGGUAUUGCCACAAAUGACAAUAUCCUAACAAACUUCAAUUCCAGACUCUAUUCAUAGGACAUUUGAUUGAGGUCUCCACAAACAUUGAAACACCGCAAUUUUUCAUGAUAAAAUCCAAAGGAUUGGUACUUUGGUGUUUGAGGGGCUGGUAAAUGAAAGAACAGAUCAAGAGAUGACAUCCCUCUAUACCGCUGUUAUUCCUUUCAAGGUGCGUAUCAGGUGUUUGAAAAACUUCCUCAACUUAAAAAUAAAAAGGUCCUGUUUACAAUGUUUUUUAGUCCUUUACAAAUCUUCCAAUGUGUUGCGUUUACUGAAUAUGAUAGUGGGAACUUAUUUAUCAAGAAUUAACUACUCAGAAGAAAAUGUAAAGACGCAAUAAUGAUUUUUUUAUUUUAGAUUCCAUAGUCUACAAACUUGGAAGCAUACGGACCAGUCAGAAGACAACAUGUUUAUUGUAUAUGAUAAACAAUAAUAAACAUCUCAUUCUUAAAAUGAUGGUAAAUCAGAAACAACCAUCCAAUACUUGAAGAUCUGUUGAAGAUAUUUGGCCUUUGGAAAUUUUGAAGAGAACUGGAGCAGUUGCAUAUGGAUUAGCUCUUCCAUCCAAUCUUUUCAUCUAACCAUCCAGUUUUCUAUGUAUCCAUGCUUUAAAAGUAUCUUCGUGCUCCAUCACAUGUAUUGGAGCCAUAAACAGUAGCAUUUCAAGGAGAUAUGUCAUGUGAAAUCCGUUCUAAUGAGAUUGCUUCAGUGAAAGUAAUGUGAGAAGGUCAUCCAAGUGAUGAAGCAACACGAGAACCUGAGAAGAUGAUACGUAAUAAAUAUCGUUAUUUCUUCAUUCAAUCAAGCUAACAAGUUUUCUACUUAAAUUCGAGGAUGAAUUUAUUUUAACAGGGGAGGUGGAAAUGUAAACCCACCCCAUAAUAUAUAACUCAUUAUUGUUUUAUAUGUUGGCCCGUUAAUUCAAGUCAUUUUCUUCUAUCUCUCUUAUAGGAAUGUUCCUCCUUCUCCCUUUUACUGCAAAUAUUCCCCCACGAUCCCAAACCAUCAAUUGACCCUAUAACUCUCUUGUUUUGAGUAGGUUUACUUCAACUUUAUCAAGUGUUUAUAAUAUUGUUUUAUGUUUAUUUAUUUAUAUAAAAUUGUUGAAUUCUAGGCGUUAUAUGAUAUUAGUUGAUGUUAUAUGGAAUUAUUUAAAUUAAUUUGUGUGUGGGUAGUAAUAAGUGUAUAUGAAUAUGAAUUGGAGUAAGGUCAUAGAUGGGUUGGUGUGAAGCUUUGAUUAAUUGAUAUAUUUUGAUGUAAUGAGUAAAUACCUUAAGAAAUUUGAAUAUUUGAAAGAUAAUAGGUAAAUAUUGAAGAAUUGUAUAGAAAGAAUCAUAUUGAAAUUAUGAAAAAUAUGUUUUGGGGUUGAUGAUGGAAGAAUUACAGUUUGGUCCUUGCUUUUGAGAAAUUAAGAUUUUGUCCCUAAAUUCUAAAACAAUUAUAGUUUAGUCACUGGUUGUAAAUAACAAUUUUUAAGAUAUUUUCCUGAUAAAUAUCUGAGAAAUAAUGAUCAUCUAUUAUCAAUUUUUAUUGUUAUCAUUUAAAUUUAAAAUUAAUUGUAUUAUCUACGAGCACAAGUGGUACAGUUAUCAAUCGAAUUUUAGCAAAAUCAAGGAUCCAAGAAUUGGCCUCUGUAACAUAUUAGGAAACUGGCAUGCAAACCCGACAAGAUAAAAGGCAAGGGACAAGAUAAAAUGAGAAAUAAGACACAAGAAUUUACGUGGUUCACCCAAUUUGGCUACGUCCACGGGCAAGUAUAGAAGGAUUUUACUAAGUAAUGUGGGAAUUACAACCUCUCUCUACUAAUAGGAGAACAACUGAAAUCUCUCUAUUAAUAGGAGAAAACACCUCACUUACUCUCUCACAAAUACCUCACAAUUUUGUGGGAUUACUUUCCCUCUCUCACUCUUCUCUUCCUCUCUUAUGAUGUGCAAAAUAAGCUUGGAUGCACUGCCUAUUUAUAGGCAAGCAUCCAAGCAAAGGACAAAAAGGCACCAAUUGGUGCUGCAAGUGGCACCGAAUUGGUGCCCAACAUUGUUGAAUUUGCAGCACAAAUUUGGUGCCUAACAUUGUUGACUUUGCCAACAAUGCAGCUGGCUUCACAUUCUCCCACUUGAAGACUUUGAUGAGUGAAUCAAGUCUUCACACUUAAUCAUCUGUGAUUCUUCUAUCCUUUCUAUACUUGUCAUCUUCAUGCUGCUUACAUUUCUGUUAGGCCAUAAGAGGAUCUGCACCAUAUGUACUUGUCAGUGUUGACUGGUUUGGUUAAAGCAUCUGCUGGGUUUUCCUUCGUGUGAACCUUUUGAAAAUCUACACUUCCAUCUUCCACUACUUCGCGAACAAAGUGAUACUAAACAUCUAUGUGUUUUGUUCUUGAAUGAAACGCGGGAUUCCUUGCAAUAUGCAAAGCACUCUGACUAUCACAAUACAAAAGAAUGUUCUCUUGUUUGUGCCCGAGCUCCUCCAUAAGUUUCUUCAUCCAUAUUGCUUCUUUACAAGCUUGUGUAGCUGCCAUGUACUCAGCUUCUGUUGUGGAUAAAGCUACAACAGUCUGAAGUUUAGAGACCCAGCUCACAGCUCCUCCUGCAAUUAUGAACACAUAGCCUGUAGUGGAUUUUCUUUUCUCAAGGUCGCCAGCAAAAUCUGAAUCAACAUAACCUCUGACGGUAAAUUCUGAUCCUCCAUAUCAUAAUGCAACAUCUGAGGUGCCCUUGAUGUAUCUCAAGAUCCUCUUAAUAGUAUUCCAAUGCUCUCUACCAGGAUUUGCCAUGUAUCGACUAGCUACUCCCACUGCUUGUGCAAUGUCUGGUCUUGUACAUAUCAUGGCAAACAUUAAGCUUCCCACUGCUGAUGCAUACGGUACUCGAGACAUCUCCAUCCUCUCUGCUUCAUUGCUAGGAGACAUACUUGAGGAUAAUUUGAAGUUAAUAGGAAGUGGGGUGGAAAUUGGCUUACAAUCUUGCAUGUUGAAGUGUCGUAAGAUCUUAUUCAAAUAAUUCUUCUGAGAAAGCCAAAUCUUCCUCUUACUUCUGUCUCGGUGAAUUUGCAUCCCUAGAAUCUUGUUUGCUGGUCCCAAGUCCUUCAUAUCAAACUCCCUAGCCAACUGUGCCUUCAAUUCUUGGACUCGAUCUUUGUUGGAGCCUAUUACCAACAUGUCAUCCACGUACAACAACAAAAUGAUGAAAACAUCAUUUUCUUCAAACCUCUUGUAAUACGUACAAUGGUCUGAACUGAGUCUGUUGUACCCAAGGCUAAUUAUGAAGGAAUCAAAUCUCUUGUACCAACAUCUCGGCGCCUGUUUGAGACCAUAUAGAGAUUUGUUCAACCUGCAAACCAAGUUCUCCUUGCCUACUUCAGCAAAACCCUCUGGUUGGAGCAUAUAAAUUUCUUCUUCAAGUUCUCCAUGAAGAAAUGCAGUUUUCACAUCUAACUGCUCUAAGUGAAGAUCAAAUAUAGCACACAUCGCCAAGACUACUCUGAUUGUAGUAAGUCAUACCACUGGAGAAAAUAUCUCAUUAAAAUCUAUUCCUUCUUUCUGAGCAUAUCCUUUCACCACCAAUCUUGCACGAUACCGCUCCACUUGAUUAUUGCCAUCAUGCUUUAUCUUGUAAACCCAUUUGUUGCCAAUGGCCUUCCUUCCUUGUGGUAGCGGAACAAGAUCCCAAGUGUUGUUCUUGUGUAGAGCUUCAAUCUCCUCUUGCAUCGCUGUCAUCCACAUAGAUACAUCUGUGCUUUUGAUAGCCUCAUGGAAAGUUGAUGGCUCUCCAUCCUCUGUUAGAAGACAGUAUGCAAUGUUGCUCUCAGUAACAUAUUCUGAGUGCCAAGCCGAUGGUCUUCUUUCACGAGUUGACCGUCGAACUUCAGGAGUUUCAGAUUCUAUUUGUUCUUGUUCUUCAUGCUCUGGUACAGCUUCAGAAGAAGUAUGAUUCUGAGUAUUUUCCAUCUGGACUGCUGUAGUCUCCUUUGGAAUGCUAUUAUGUUCUUCCAUUUGUAUUUUACCUUCUGCAAAUAUAACAUCUCUGCUGAUGACUAGCUUGUGGGAUUGGGCAGUGGGAUCCCACAAGCGAUACCCCUUCACUCCAUCAGCAUAUCCCAAGAAUACACAUUUUCUGGAUUUUGAAUCCAGCUUGUUGACUUCUUGAGUAUUGUACAUCACGUACACAGGACUUCCAAAUAUAUGUAAUUGAGAAUAAUCAGCUGACUUUCCAGUCCACAUCUCCAUCGGUGUCUUCAGCUCAAUUGCAGUUGAUGGAGAUCGAUUUAUCACAUAACAGGCGGUAUUGACUGCUUCUGCCUAGAAUGACUUUCCUAGACCUGCAGCCUUCAACAUUGCUCUCGUUCUUUCUAAUAGAGUUCUGUUCAUCCGCUCUGCCACUCCAUUUUGCUGUGGAGUGUAUGCCGUUGUGAACUGCCUUUUGAUACCUUCAUGUUGACAGAAGUUAUCAAAUUCAUCACUGGUAUAUUCUCCUCCAUUGUCAGUCCUCAAACACUUGAUCUUCUUUUCAGAUUCAAGUUCCACCCGCGCUUUGAAAGUUUUAAAGAUUGCGAACACAUCUGCCUUCCUUCUAAUUGGAUGCACCCAACAUCUCCUGGAGAAGUCAUCUAUGAAUGAUACAAAGUAUCUUGCUCCUCCCAAGGAUACAACCGGUGCUUGCCAAACAUCAGAGUGAAUCAAGUCUAAGAUGCAUUUGCUCUUAGUUGUUGAUGUGCCAAACUUCAACCUGUGUUGUUUACUUGUAACACAGUGCUCCCAAAAAGGUAAAGUAACCUUUGUAAGCCCAGGGAGUAACUUCUGAUCAAAGAGAACUUUCAAACCUUUCUCUGACAUGUGGCCUAGUUUUUGAUGCCACAUCAUCGUCUUCUUUUCUGCAGGACUGGCUGAUGCGAUUGACGCUUCUGCCCUAUGAUGUGUUUCUCCCAUUAAUACAAACAUGUUUGCAACUAUUUUUCUCGCCUUUAAAACUACCAACGCUCCUUUGACAAUUUUCAUUAUUCCAUUGUCUGUUCGGAUCUUAUAGCCAAGACUAUCAAAUUGUCCCACAGACAAAAGAUUUUUCUUUAAGUCUUUCACAUGACGCACUCCUGUAAUAGUACGAAUUAAGCCAUCAUACAUCUUCAAUUUGAUGGUGCCAAUGCCAGCAAUCUCUAAAGCAUGAUUAUCACCCAUGAACACUUUGCCUCCAGAGAUGGGUUCAUAUGUAUGGAACCAAUCUCGAUUAGGAGUCAUAUGCCAUGUUGCUCCUGAAUCCAUUAGCCAGACCUCAGUAAGCUCUUCUCUAUCUGUAGAGAUUGUCGCUGCUUCACUAUAUAAAACCUCCCCAUCUUCUGAGGUGCUCGCAACACAUCCUUGAGGUUUUGAUGACUCUGCAGUAUUCUCUAUACCCCUUUUAAACCAACAAUCCUUUUUGAAGUGCCCUUUUCUGCCACAGUUGUAGCAUUUCACAAUCUUCUUACUUCUUGAUUUGGACCUCCCUUGCCUUUGACUCCCACUGGAGCCACGCUCCGUUGAUCUCCCUCUUGACAUCAACAAUGCCUCUGCUUGGUUUGAACUAUUUCUGUCUCCUUUAUUUUUGCGCCUAUUUUCUUCUUCCAAGAUAGCGGCUGCAACAUCAUCAAAGACUAAAUAGUCUGUGAGGAUAUUAUUGGUCAAGUUGAUAAUGAGCUGAUCAUACGAAUCUGGGAGACUUCGAAGUAGAAGUUCUGCACGUUCACUUUCCUCUAUUUGUUGACCCAACGUAGUGAGUUGUGAAAAUAGAGUUCUUAUUGUGUUGAUGUGGUCAGUCACUGCCGUGGUUUCUGCCAUUCGAAGGGUAUAAAGUCUCCGCUUUAAGAAAAUCUUAUUGUGCAAAGACUUGGACUCAUAUAGCUUUGUUAGAGUCUCUCAUAUCUCCUUAGCUGUUUUCUUCUCCGCUACACUUGAUAAUACUUCAUCGGCUAAUGCUAAAUGUAUGUUAGCAAUAGCAUUGCCAUCCAUCUCAUUCCAUUUUGCAUUAUCAGUGAUCUCCGCGGGCCGAUCCCCAAUUGCUGCCAAGCAAUUGUCUUUCCUUAAGAUUGCUUUGAUUCUCAUUUUCCAGAGUGAGAAAUUGCUCCCAUUGAACCUCUCAAUCUCAUACUUUGCUGCCAUUUUAUUCACCGUGAUCUAUUCAGCUAUCACUGUUUCACAGAUCUGUAACGUAUAUAGAAAUAGUAUCGUGUGAAUAAUACUUCACUAAGUAAGUUCCCAGGAAAGAUUGGAGGGGUCACAAAUGGUCCCGCUUAAAACCCAAUCUCCUUAGACAGAACUUCCUAGACUGUAUUUAAUCACCGCACUGACUUUCUAUAUACGCCAACAGUAACGUAUGUGAAUAGUGCCGUAGACGUGAAUAGUAACCGUAUACACGAAUAACUUUUGUGUAUUAACAACACCAACCAAAAGGCUCUGAUACCACUAUUAGGAAACUGGCAUGCAAACCCGACAAGAUAAAAGGCAAGGGACAAGAUAAAAUGAGAAAUGAGACACACAAGAAUUUACGUGGUUCAACCAAUUUGGCUACGUCCACGGGCAAGUAUAGAAGGAUUUUACUAAGUAAUGUGGGAAUUACAACCUCUCUCUACUAAUAGGAGAAAACACCUCACUUACUCUCUCACAAAUACCUCACAAUUUUGUGGGAUUACUUUCCCUCUCUCACUCUUCUCUUCCUCUCUUAUGAUGUGCAAAAUAAGCUUGGAUGCACUGCCUAUUUAUAGGCAAGCAUCCAAGCAAAGGACAAAGGGGCACCAAUUGGUGCUGCAAGUGGCACCGAAUUGGUGCCCAACAUUGUUGAAUUUGCAGCACCAAUUUGGUGCCUAACAUUGUUGACUUUGCCAACAAUGCAGCUGGCUUCACAUAACAUAGUUUGUAUUCUGAGCCAAUCUGGGGUGGGACUUGAAACAAAUGUUGUAUAUUGUUUGCACUGUCACUUUGCUUACCCUCUUAGGUUUUUAUUGAGAUUAGGGAUUCUAUUGUAGCUCUUUUUUCUCCUUUUAUUAUAAUAAAAUAAUAUCUAUGGAUUAAUUUUGGUAUAAUUUAAGAAAGUAAGUCCUUUAAUCAAAUUUUAGAUUGACCAUCCUCUAUGUGUUAAAAGUAAAUGUUAAUUUAUAAAAUAAUAACUAUGUUUAAGUCUUGAUUAACUCAGAAGAUGUCUUCUAAGACGCAUCUCUGUCUUCUCUUCUCUUCUCUUCUUCUCUAUAAAAUUCCUUUUUAGCUCUCUGAUGUACUUAAUGUCCCGGAGGUGUGGCUUCUUCAUAUGAAGAAAAUGUUAAGAUUCAAUUAUGAUUUUAGAUUUUAGAUUCCAUUGUCUACAAAUUUGAACCAUGAUGAUGAAGCAUACGGACCAGUCAGUAGACAACAUGUUUAUUAUAUAUGAUAGAGGUCCUCAAUGUAUUUCACGUUUCUAUGAGAAAUUUCACGAGACUAUGAGUACUCGAAUUGAUCUUAGUACAACAUUUCAUUCUCAAAAUAAUGGUUAAUAAAAAAGAACCAUUCAAAUACUUGAAGAUAUGUUGAUAGCAUGCAUACUUAAGUGGAGUUUGCUGGAACAAAUAUGUACCAUUGGUGGAGUUCGUUAAGAGGGGGGAACUAAUUCCUCGAUAUAUUAGGCCUUUGGAAAUUUUGAAGAGAAUUGGUGCACUUGCUUAUGGAUUAGCUCUUCCACCCAGCUUUUUCAUCUAAACAUCCAGUAUUCCAUGUAUCCAUGCUUUAGAAGUAUAUUUGUGCUCCAUCACAUGUAUUGGAGCCAUAAACCGUAGCAUUUGAAGAAGAUAUGUCAUGUAAAAUUCGACUGGAGAGAAUUGAAGAUAGACAAAUUAGAAAACUUCGUUCUAAAGAUUGCUUUAGUGAAAGUAAUGUGAGAAGGUCAUACCUGAGAAGAUGAUACGUAAUAAAUAUCGUGAUUUCUUCAUUCAAUCAAGCUAGCAAGUUUUCUAAUUAAAUUUCGAGGGUGAAUUUAUUUUAACAGGGGAGGAAAUGUCAACCCCACCCAUAAUAUAUAACCCAUUAUUGUUUUAUUGGUCCAUUUAGGUAGCCCAUUUGUUAUAUACAGAAGGAGAGAGGUAAGGACAUUGUUAGUCAUUUUCUUCUUUCUCUCUUACGGGGAAUGUUCUUCCUUCUCCCUUUUACUGCAAAUAUUCCCCCACAAUCCUAAACCACCAAUUGACCAUAUAACUCCCUUGUUUUGAGUAGGUUUACUUCAACUUUAUCUAAGUGUUUAUAAUAUUGUUUUAGGUUUAUUUCUUUAUAUAAGCUUGUUGAAUUCUAGGCCUUAUAUGAUAUUAGUUGAUGUGAUUUGGAUUUAUUCUUAAGUUAAUUUGUGUGUGGGUAGUAACAAGUGUAUAUGAAUAUGAAUUGAAGUAAGUACCUUAACAAAUGUGAUGGGUUGGUGUGAAGCUUUGAUUAAUUGCUAUAUUUUGAUGUAAUGAGCAAAUACCUUAAGAAAUUUGAAUAUUUGAAAGAUAAUAGGUAAAUAUUGAAGAAUUGUAUAGAAAGAAUCGUAUUGAAAUUAUGGAAAAUAUGAUUUUGUCCCUAAAUUCUAAAAAACAAUUAUAGUUUGGUCACUGGUUGUAAAAACAAUUAUAUUUUCAAACUUUCAAUAUAGAGAGAGAAAUAAAAAUAAAAAGGAAAAGGAAAAGGAAACAACCCCCAGCUUUCUUGUGCCCUUUCCCUUCUUUACAUGGCUUCCUCGAUCGAUGUAAAAAAGCAAACGCCCCAUUUGAUUUUCAAGCAGUAUGAGUGAGAAAGAUAGAGAGGACAAGAGAGGACAAGGGGGUCCUCUCUCUCUUUCCUUGCUUUUUUUAACGCGUGGACCCAGCAGUUGUUGCCACCAAAUUCCUUCCUCAAUAUUUACCAGUGCUACACGCUUGAGAAAUUUCCUUGUUAUUUUUUUUAUUAAUGAAAUAUUACUUUUACCGUAUAGCCAUUGAAUUCUAGAUCAAUUUAUCGGGUAUUGGGCCGGUUUGGAUUUAAUAAUUAUGAUUCACAGACAUACAACUAGUACUUGCAACUAUUAAUAUUUAUUAUUUUCAUUAAGUUUUUCAAACUUUCAAUAUAGAGAGAAAAAUAAAAAUAAAAAGGAAAAGGAAACAACCCCCAUCUUUCUUGUGCCUCUUCCUUUUUUUUUAAGUUUAAUGUUGGUGUUUGGGUCAACUUGCACGCAUCUCGACUAAUUUCAUGGGCUCUGAAGUUAACAACUAUGUAAGUCUCCAAUGACCAUCAUAUAAACAACCACGGGGCUCGAAUUUAAAACUAUAAAAAAAACAAAUCUCUUAAUCACAUGAUCUUAUUAAUGUACCACCAUUUAGGUAGUUGCCCUUUCCCUUCUUUACAUGGCUUACCCGAUGAAAAAAGCAAACACCCCAUUUUGAUUUUCAUUCCGUACGAGUGAGAAAGAAAGACAGGACAAGGUUUGUUGAGGCUUUUUUUUUGGAACCUCGCUCUGGGAUUAAUUAGCGAGAAUAAGAAAAUUCUAUGCAAAUUAUACAAAAUUUAUUAUUAAUCAUCAAUAUUUAUUCUUAUCAUCAAUAUUGAAUAAUGGUUUAUUUUCUAGUAUAAACUAUGAUGGGUUCGUUUAUAAAAAUAAAUAAAUUGAGGUUUUUCAAUUUCCUUUAAACAUAUCAUAGUUUUAAUACCAUUUAUUUUUACAUUUUAAAAAUAAUUUUUAAAAAAAUUAAAAAUAAAUUUUAUUUUUUAUUUCAAAAUAAUAUUUUUUUAAAUAUUUUUAAAUUAUCUUGAUAUAUUGAUAUUAAAAUUAAUUUUUAAAAGAUAAAUUUUUUCAAACAUAAAGUUUAGCCUGCAGAUCUUCCGCUGAUCCCAUCUCAUUGUUGUAUGCAUCCAAGCUAAGCCAAUUCAAGAAAGAAGAUUUGAAGAAUACCACCAGCAGCAGGAGUAAUACAUUAACAUAACAGCAUUAUGGCAGAAGGAGGGACGACCUCACUGCAAGGGCGAAGGCAUGUUAAAGACUUGGGCGUGCUAUAAUUUAGAUUAAAACUUUAUUAAUAUUUUUUGAUUAGUUUUAUUUAAAAAAAUUGUAAUUCUUGAUUGAAUUAUUAAAAAAAUUUAAAAUUUAUGUGGAGCUUUCUAGAAUAACGUUUUAACUUGGAUUAAAAUUUCAGAAUAUUUUGAGAAAUUCAAAAAUUUGAUGAAAAAUCAUAAUUUAACUAAUUUUAUGUUAAUUGAUGUAAUUUUCAAUCCAACUAUCAAAUUGAGCUGAAAUUUUACGAGAAAUCUUAAAAUAUAUUAAAUAAAAUAUAAUUAAAAUUUUAUGAUGAGUGGAGCUUGAUAAUACUAACAAAAAAAAUCAUCAAAUAAAAACAAAUCAAGAAUAAAAUGAUUAUUUCCAUUAAAAAGUAAAAUAAAUCAACUAUUUAUAUAAUAGCUAAAUCUAUUAAGAUAAAUCGAAAAUAACUAGUAAAAUCAAUGACUUGUAUUGACGAGUGUGUCUAUAUAUACAUAUAGGAACUGCUGAUUCGAUUUGAAUAUGUUAUUUGAUUAGUCUAAUUCAUGAUUUGCAUUGACUCAAAAUUACCACUAGAAAUUCCUAGUUUCGUGGUGCUUUCUCAGCCUGCAAAUGAAUAUAAAGCAUAUCCUUUUAUCCUAUAUAAAGAAUACAAUUAACCUUUUUAUCUUUUAUAAUUAUAAUUAUUGCAUUGCUAAUAAUUUGCACGAAAGAAUAUUGUUUCUCUGAAAAGGGCUUGAGAAAACCCUAAGCAUAGUAUAUAAUCUCUUAUAGGAAUCUCUUUAUUAAAUUAUCAAAAUAUCAAAGUCUGUUUCCAAAGACUAUGACUACAGUUUAUAUAUAGAAACAACCAAAUAUAAAAAUUAUUAAUUUUUAAAUAGAAAAACCAGAGAGCUUGAUAAUAUUUAAUAAAAAAAAUAAAAUAGAAAAAUUAUUCCUUUUUAAGUAGAAAAAAAUUAUAAAGAUUUAAUAAUACUAAAUAAGAAAAAUUAAAAUUUCUACACUAAAUUAAAAAAACAAAAAAAAAACUGAGAAAAUAUUUAUUAUCCCAAUAGUUCUUAUAUUAAAAUCUCAUUUAUCAUAUGUUAUAUCUAUCAAAAUAAUAAUAAUAAUAACUUGUGACUUGAACUAAAGCUACAUGCGAAAACUAGAAAAACCCGGUAGAGACCCGUUCUGUUUUUUCAAAUAUGUUUUUUCUUCUAGCUAGAGACCUUUUUUUUUAAUAUAUUUUUCUAUUGGUUACUAAACCAUUUCAAAGUUCACUAUAUAAAUACUAGAAGAAUAUUUUAUUUUUUCAAUAUGGAAUAAAAAAAAUCAUUUUUGUUUACAUACCUCAAUUUAAAAGAAUUAGAUAAUAUUUUUUUAAUAUGAGAUAAAAAAACCUUUUGAAAUAAUCUUUUAAACUUUAUUAUAUGCAACAUGUAUAAUCUAUAUUCAUAUAAAUUAUUUCUUUAAUUUUUUUCAUUCUCAUAUUCAAACUUCCAAUAUUGAGAGAGAAAUUAAAAGGAGCAAAAGGAAACAACCAGUGAGGACAAUAUCCUCCAGCUCAUCAUCAGAUCCCACGAAAGGAACGCAGAAAGACAUUCCCUUUCUUGUCAUCAAGUUUUGAAUCAAAAAGUACUUUCGUGCAUUAUUGUCAUAAAGUUUUUCAAACUUCCAAUAUAGAGAGAGAAAUUAAAAGUAAAAAUAAAAAGAGCAAAAGGAAACAACCCCCACCCCAUCUUUCUUGUUCCCUUUUCCUUCAAUGAAAAAGCAAGCACUAAUGCACCUUCUCCACAAACUACCCCCCAAUUUCGCCACUAUAUAAAUAUAUUAUGGAAAACAAGAUAAAAAGAAAUCUUUCGGUACAUCUAUAUAUAUAUAUAUAUAUAUAUAUUAUGGCUAUGAAAAUAGGUUUGUGGAAAUUUACAUGGUUUGAUUUUGACAGUGUCAGAUUAGACAAUUGCAUGGAAAUGGUCUUCUUAGUUUGCCGUGUGGAAAAUCAUGUCAUUUACGGGACUGCUGGAGAGAGUUUCUAUUGAUAAUUUCACUCGAAAAGUUUUAGUAAUUUACAAAGGAAAUUUCUCCUUUAUAUGAAUUGAAAAACUAUUAUUGACUGACUUCUUGCAAAGUAUUUGCAAGAAAGCUAAAGAAUUAAAGUUUUUCAAUUUUGAAAAUUAUAAUUUAAAAUUUUUAGAAAAAAAUCAAUUAUUUUUAAAAUUGUUUUCAAAAAUACACUACCAGAAAUUCAUCUAAUACCAACGGACUUACCGACAGAAUUAUUCUGUCGGUAAAUUGCGGUGAUAAUUACUGACGGAUACUAAUCCGUCUGUAAUUCAGUUGGUAUAUACCGACGGAAUUAUUCCGUCGGUAUAUACCGACUGAAUUACAGAAGAAAGAUAUAGAAUUAAAAAAAAGCGGGGAUGUUGACGUGACAGUUUUUGCGGGCGAUUUUACCGACGGAAUCAACGAGGGAUUCAAACCCUGAUUUUGUUUAUGAGCAAUUUUGACUAUCUUAGAGGUAGAACUAGGUUCUCUUUAAUCAUAGAACUUGUAGCCUCAUGUCUUAGCUUUCUAACAAGACUAAUCUUGCUUAAAUCGGAGUUUUAUAACUCCAGAUAUAGUUAAAAAUAUGAGGAGAGGUCAGACAGUAACAGUUCAAUGUUUAGACAGUAACAGUUCAAAAAUGAGACAGUAAUAGUUGGACAGUAACAGUUCAAGAACGAGACAGUAACAGUUAAAAAAUGAGACAGUAACAGUUCAAAAAUGAGACAAUAAUAGUUGGACAGUAACAGUUCAAAAAAGGAGACAGUAACAGUUAAAAAACGAGACAGUAACAGUUCAAUGUCUAGACAGUGACAGUUCGGGAUUUAAACAGAAACGGUUCAAAUAUAUAUAUAUAUAUAUAUAUAUGUGUGUGUGUGUGUGUGUGUGUGUGUGUGUGUGUGUGUGUGUGUGAAAUGAGAAAAAUGUAAAAUAUUAAGAAAUGACUGAAAGAAAGACUUAUUGGUUGUUGAUAUGGUUAUAAUAAAACAUAUCCUUGAGUGAGGAAGUAGAGCUUCUAUUGCAGGUAGGUAAUCCGUACCUAUACUUUCUAGUUUAAUUCUAUGAUUUAAUAAGUUAUUGAUGUGAGAUGUGAAUUACCGAAUAUGGGAUAUUAGGAUAAAGGAGGAAAGUUUGCGUAAUGAUGCCGAUAUUUGGAAAGUAUUCUUAAUGUAUGUGUAUUCAAGGUGAACGGUUGUUCUGUGAAUUGCCAAGUGAUGAAAUUAUAAUUGAUAAAGAAAAUAUGAGAAGUGUGAUUUGGGGCGUGAACUAGCAUACAUUUAGUGUAUGUUAGGAUCCCGGGUAAGGGGAUCAAGAUGUAUUGGCUAGCAUACAUUUAGUGUAUGUUAGGAUCCCGGGUAAGGGGAUCACCAUGUAUUGGCUAGCAUACAUUUAGUGUAUGUUAGGAUCCCGGGUAAGGGGAUCACCUUGCAUCGACUCCUACAUGAUGAUGAUGAUGAUAACAGUGAAAUUGGUAUCGGUAAUGUGUUAAGCGGAAAUAAUCAUGGGUGGUUUUAUGAGAUCUUGAAUGGAGGUUGAUAAUAGAAGAGGAAAUGGUUUUUAGUAGUUGAAGGAGAAAAAGUCUCCAAUAAGAACCAAAAGGGAGAAGUGAAUAAAAUAUGAAUGUAUGUUGCCUUUUUAAAUUGCUGGAUAUUUGUAUUGCUAUAUUAUUGUGAUAUUCAUAUUUCAAUAAUAUGUAUUUUAUUUUCAGGACCAUCGCAUGCAUGACAGGAGUAGAUUUUGGCUUAGGUUCUUUUUUUGUAAUUUAGGUUCUAAGGAGUAUACCCUUGUAUUUGGUAAUAUUACAACUUUUAUUUAACUUAAUUUGUAUAAUUGAUGUUUAAACUUGAAUAGAUGAACUUAAUUCGGUAGUUUGUAUAACUAUGUUCCAUUAAGCAUGUUUAUAUCUUUAACCAUCCAUAAUGAUAAUUGUUGUACAAUGUAUAUCAUCAACAUUGUGGUUGAUAUGAAUGGUGAUGUUUGUGGGAUUGAGACCUAAGAUGAUUAGGCUGAAUUGAGUUGGAGAUGCGGUAUAUUAGAAGUGUAAACAGGACGUAUGUCGAUAACUUGGGACCUCCCGGUAUAGGGGAUACUCUGUUAAAAUUUCACUAGACUUUAAUGCAAAUACCAUGAAUAGAUAUAUAUAUAUAAAAUUUAGUCACUCUGUUUAUCAGCUAACAUGAGAUCGUUGCUUUAUCCCUGAUAUGGGAAUGUUACAGGUUCGAUAGAAGUCAUGGAUGAUUGUUCAUGGAUGUAUCGAGAUCCAUGUGUUAAUUUUGACAACAUGUAUUAAUUAAGAUGACAACAUGUAUUAAUUAACUAACAUAGUUAACUAAUACAUGUUUUCAUCAUAAUUUUAUAGAGGUUCGAUAAAAGUCAUGGAUGAUUGUUCAUGGAUGUAUCGAGAUGCACCCCAUGGAUUGCAGAGGAUUCUUUGAAGAAAAUUCAAAUUUUCAUGUUUUCGAUAAUAGUCUUGUUGAUGUUGACGCAGAGGAGUUGAAUGUUGUUUUGAGCUCUAACGGACAAGCAAAUAUCGAUGAAGAUGAUGAUUAUGAUGACAUCCAUAUUGAAGAUUGCGAUGGAGCUGAUGACUAUUCAAUUGAUGACGAAGAAGAAGAAAAUUCUGACUAACUAGCAGAAUCAAGGAAAGUGCAAAGCAUUUUUCUAAAAUGUAAUAUGUAUUAUCGAUGAUAUUUUGUAACAUGAAAUAUUUAUUUGAUAAGUGUUUAAGUGUUUUUGUGUGAUGGGCAGUUUGUAAUUUAAGUGUUUGUAGGAAGGUAAAUAGGCAAUACAAACAAAAGUUUUCAUGCACAGUGCACGAUCACCAACGUCCAUACCGAUGGAUUACAUUUCGUCGGUAUUGCACAGAGAGCUGUAAAAUAUUUAUUGGAAAUGCCACAAUCACCGACGACUUUGCAGAUGGAUUACCGUCCGUCGGCAUUCAACAGAGAGGUUCACUGGAAAUGCCACAAUCACUCACCGACGACUUUGUAGACAGAUUAAAGUCUGUCAGCAUUCCACAGAGAGGUUCACUGGAAAUGCCACAAUCACCGACGACUUUGCUGAUGGAGUAGAGUCUGUCGGCAUUCCACAGAGAGUGGUGGAAAUGCCACAAUCACCGAUGACUUUGCAAACGGAUUACAGUCCGUCGGCAUUGUGUCGGCAGCUCACAAUUAUCGAUAAAUUCACCAACGAACGGUGUGAAUUCCAAAGGACGGGUAAUAAAUGCAUAUCUGAUAGCGUGCAGCUGCCGACGGAAUUACCAACGAACUGCGAAAAAUAUGGAGGGUAAUUAAAAAAUUCUGGAGCAAAAUUCAAAAUUUACCGACGGAGUUAAAUGUUCGUCAGUGAAUCCGUCGGUAAAAUUACGAUAUAAAUGCCAGCGACCGCCCUUUGAGUUCAUUUUUUCAUCUCCUUUGUUUUUAGAGCUUAACUUUUUGUUUUUUUUCCCUCUCAUUUCCUUCAAAUCUCUUGUUUUUUCUUGUAAUCUCUAGUUAUAUCUUCAGCAAAUUAAAAGGUAUGUAUUUCCUCUACUUAAUUUGCUUUAAGAUUUUACUUUUUUAUUUGUUCUUUGUUUAGCAAUUGUUAUUUUUGUUAUGUUUUUUGUUUUGGUGUAUUUUCAUAAUGUAGAUAAAGUCUUACAAUAAACACAUUAUUAAGGUAAGCAUUUUUCAUUCUUAAAGUCUAUAGUUUUUUUUUUAACUUGUUCAAUAUAUUUUGUUGUUUGUUUUGCCAUAAUAAUUAGGGGUGAGCAAAUUCGGUUCGGUUCGGUUUUUAUCUAAAAAACUAACCAAAAUCAAAUUUUGAAAAACUUAAAAAUUCAAACCGGACCCAAACCGGAACCGGUUCAAACCGACCGGUUUCGGUUCGGUUCGGUUCGGUUUUUUUAUCAGGAAAACCGGAAAACCUGUAUUAUUGUUUUUUUGGGCUUUUUCGGGCUUUUUAAUGGGCUUUCUGAUGGGUUUUCUGAUGGGCUUGUAAUUAAUGUAAAUAUCAUCUAAUUUUGUUACAAAAUUCUAUAAUAUAUUUAAUAUUUUUUAUCACUAAAUAUUCAUUUAUAUUAAAUUAUUAGUGCUAAUAUUAUGUUUAAUAUGUUGCACAUCUUUCUAAUAUUUAUAUUUAGGAGUUUGGACUCCUCAUGCAUCAAAAUUUAAAUAACACACACACCAAAUUAAAAUUAAAAUUACAAAGCAUUGCCUUCAAAAUGGGCUUAAAAAAACAACAAAUAACAUUGCCAUAAAAAAUAAAAUACUUCAUGCAAAAAAUAUAAAUCUUCAUUGUGCACAUCAUCUCAAUCAAAAAGCACAACAAGAUGACAAGAACAUUGCACUUUGAUUCCGUAAUACCAUUGACAUCAAAACCUGAAAAUCAAGAUCUAAAAUUAUAACAUGAUAAAAUAAAUUAGAAUAUGUAAAAAUAAAUAGUAGUAUUUUACCAUCAAAGUAACUUUUGAACUAAUUAUCAUUUGUUACUAAAUGUAACUUUCCACCAAAUUCUACAAAAUAAAAAAUUAGACAUGUUAGAUGAUUGCAAACAAUUUAAUUAAUAAAUAACAAAAUAAAAGGUGCAAAUUUCUAAAAACAAUUACCUGACUCAAGGUUUUCGUAGGUUUCAAGAUCAUUUAUCAAGCUUCUAAUAUCAGUUGGAAUUGAUCCAUGAUGAAACCAAUUUUGACAACAAAUGAGUGCUUGAACAGUUGCUGGAGAUAGAGAACUUCGAAAUUGAUCAAGUACACGACCACCUGUGCUAAAUGCUGAUUCAGAAGCCACUGUAGAUAUAGGAAUAGCCAGAACAUGUUGUGCAACCUUUGAAAGUGUCUUAUAUUUCAAAGCAUUACUUUUUCACCAACCCAAAAUAUCUAACUUAUCAUCAUUACGAUCCUCACAACCUUCAAUCAAAUACCUCUCAACCUCAUUUUUAUUUUCCACACUAUCCACCUUCAGCAAAUGUCUUUUGAAUCGAGCCAAAGUGUUAACAUCUACCUCCACAUCAUCAAUAGCAUUAACAUCCUGUUUAUGCCUAUUAUUAUCCACCACUUCAUCAAUUUUCAAAUAAAACUCAUACAAGCUCACCAAAGUAUCUUUCACCUUAUUUGUUAGCAAUUGUGCUUUGUCAUAAUCAUACAAAUCACCAAAACAAAAUUCCACAUAUUUCAACUUCAAACAUGGAUCUAAGACAUUAGCCACAUAUAACAAAAAAUUCUGAUUUACUUCACAACCCCAAUACUUCUCAAACUUUAACAUCAUCUUCAUCGCCAUUCCACUUUAACAAGUUUGUAUGCAUGUAAAUCAAUUCAUUGAAGAAAGAAUUUGAUGUGACAUGCAAUGAGCCAGAAAAUAUCAAUGUAACCAUAUAAAAGAUCUUUAAGAACUUAACCAAAGUUCUUGCAUUUUCCCAAUCCUCCAAACUAGGUGGCCCUAUGUUUUUUUUAUUCCCCUUUGAAUCAACCUCCAAAAAGUAACUCAUAUACCUAAGUUCUCUUUCACCUAACCUCACAAAUACCUUUUCAAACUUUUCAGCAGCUUCUAGCAUAAGAUAAGUUGAAUUCCAUCGAGUUGCAACAUCUAAACACAAUGAUUUCUUACACUCUAUAUGCAACUUUUCAGCACACUUCUUAAAUGCAAGAUGCCUCAACGGUGAAGAUCUCACAAACCUAAUGGCAUUUCGAAUCUUAACAACUGAAUCAUUAAUCUCUUUCAAGCCAUCACACACAAUGAGGUUUACAAUGUGUGCACAACAUCUAACAUGCAGGUGCUCAUUUGACAAUAUAUUAGUUGGCCAAUCUUUCAUCACAUUCUUUAAAUAUGAAAUGGUCACAUUAUUAGAGCUUGCAUUGUCUAAUGUAAUAGUCAACAGUUUAUCAAUCCCCCACUCCAACAAACAAUUCUCAAUAACUUGGCCAAUUGUCUCACCCAUAUGAUUGGAAACUUGACAAAAAUUAAGAAUUCUUUUAUGCAAAUUCCAGUCAUUAUCAAUCCAAUGAGCUGUUAAACAAAUAUAGUUAAUAUUUUGGAUUGAUGUCCAUGUAUCUGUUGUCAAGCACAAUCGUUGACCCCUAAGAGCUGUCCUCAAUCUAUCCUUCUCUUCAACAUAAAGUUUCAAACAAUCUCUCAUAAUUGUAAAACGAGAAGGAAUGUCAAAUCUAGGUUGUAUAGUCCUAGCAAACAAUUUAAAUCCCCGACCCUCCACAAAAUUAAAAAGCAACUCAUCAAUUAUAACCAUCUUUGCUAGUGCUUGUCUACAUUCAUCAUAAUUAUAACCUAUUGCCUUAAGACUUCCCACAUUUUGUUCUCCCAAUUCACCCUUCUCUAUCUUAGGUUCUAAUACCAAAACCUUUUGUUUCUUAUCAAUCACAAAAGGGAACUUCUUGUACACUUUUAAAUGACUCCACAUAUUACUUGUGCCAUUAACAAUAGUAUGACAUGCAUAAUGUUUUCCACAAUAAUUACAUUCAGCUCUAGGGGUUUUAGGAUCAACAUCAAGUUUUGUAAAGUGAUCCCAAGUUUGUGACUUCUUUUUAUCAUCAGCAUUUCUUUUCCUAGAUGAAAGGACUUGAGGUUGUUUACCUUGUGUAUCUGUGGUGGAUCCUGCAUUGGUUGAUUCUACAUUAGGUUUUGAAGUUGGAGAAGUAGUUGAUGUUGGUGUAGUGCCUGUGGAUGAAGCAUUUUGAAUUUGAGUAGUUUCCAUCUGUUAUUAUAUAUGAAAACAUGUUAAAAACCAAUAAUUUAUAAUAGAUUAACAACAGUAUGACAUGCAUAAGUUCAACUGUAAUUUUAAAGAUUAUUUUCACAAGUUAAGUUCUUUUAUUUUGGUUGAUAUGUUGUAAAAACAAUUAUGUUGCUGAGUGCUGAGAUUGUAUUUUGUAAUUUCAAUAGACAAUAAUACAAUACAAUAUAUAUAUAUAUAAACAUUAUUCUCUUUUCAAUAAAUAAAAAAAAUUCAGUUUUCAGAAUUGAUAAAUUACAAUCCACCGAAUCCCCCCUCUUUUUUUUAACACAGAUAAUAAACAUUAUUCUCUGUUUUUUUAGCACACAGCAUUGACAGCACACCAUAAUAAUGGAUUAGCAAUAAUAUUUAAAACAAAUGCCUCUCGGGGAAACUGUAUUUUCCCAUUUUUCUCCCUAAUGUAAUAUCAGGCUCAUAAUACCAAUUCACCGCAUUGGUAUUGCAAGUUUUUAUCAUUUGUUUAGUAUCAUUUUCUUCUUCAGUCAUUUGGCUAUUGACAUAAUGAGAUAAUUUUUCUAAUCUUUUACCAGUACUCCACCUUAGAGUAUGAGUGGAAUUCAAUCUCUAAUGUCUAGCUAAAAGCCUAAAACGGCACAAAGAGGUUUCUUUAGUAAUGAUCAAGUUUUACCACUACCAGUGCCAAUUAUUCCCAUUUCUUUCAGUGAUGUGCUGUUAGCUUUAGCAUUUGGAACAAUCAUAACAUAUUGUCUUUCUCAUGACCAGUGCCAUUUCUACCAGUGCCAAUUAUCUGUGUUUUGUAUAUUAAAUUAACAUGCAAGAGUUUGUAUAUUAAAUUAACCCUCAUUCCGAUAUUAAUCUAGAUUCCAUUAUUUUUUCAUUGCUACUCAUGACCUUAAUAAAACACGAAUUCAUUAACAUAUUGUCUUUCUCAGCAAAGAAAAAACGCAUUGUCUCUGUCAUAAAUCUCUUCUUAAGAAGUUUAUUAAAAAAUAAACAGAAUCACAGAGCAAUAGAGCAUAUGUUCAAAAAAAAAACAGAGACAAAAAAAAAAUCAUACCUGGUGUGACACGAUUCAAGGUCGGGUGUGAGAGAGGGAGGUGACUGCCUCACUGGUUCGCUAAAUCUGGAGUUGGACUCUGGAGGUUCGGUGAGCCGGUGUGGUGUGUGUCCUACGAUUCAAGAUCAGGUGUGACCGUGUGAGAGAGGGACGUGGCUGACUGGGGUUUGAAGAUGAAGAUGGUGGCCGGUGGGAGAGGGAUGUGGCUGACUGGCGUUUGAAGAUGAAGAUGGUGGGAGAGGGAUGUGGCUGACCGGCGUUUGAAGAUGAAGAUGAAGAUGGUGGGAGAGGGAUGUGGCUGGUUGUGGUCCAGUAGAUGAAGAUGGAUUGAUUUCUUACAUAUGUGAAAUUGUGAGUUGUGAGUUGAGGGAGCGGCUUAGGAGAAAGGAGAAGGACGGCUGGAGCAGGAGUAUGGAUGCUAGGGUUAAGAAAAACAACGCGAUUUUUUUUGUAGCUAUUUAUAGUACCCCUUAAACCGAACCGGUUCGGUUCGAUUGGGGUUUUUCCGGUUUCAGGUUUCUAAAACCGAAACCGAACCGAACCAAACCAAAAAUUUUUACAAAAAAUUUAAUCGGUUUUUUUGGUUAUUUUUUUUUCGGUUUUCUCGGUUUAUUCGGUGUCUCGGUUUUUUUUCUCACCCCUAAUAAUAAUUGAACACUUUGUUGAAUUUUAAUUGUUAUUGUUGAAUUUACCUUGCAAUUAGUAAUUGAAUACACUGGAAUGAAUUUAAUUAUUUUAUCUCAAUUUUACUGUAUUUUUGCAUGAUAUGUGUUUAAUUAUUUUGUUGAAUUUUAAUUGUUAUUGUUGAAUUUACCUUGUAAUUAGUAAUUAAAUAUAUUGGAAUAAAUUUAAUUAUUUUAUUUCAAUUUUACUGUAUUUUUGCAUGAUAUGUGUUUAAUUAUUUUGUUGAAUUUUAAUUCUUAUUGUUGAAUUUACCUUGUAAUUAGUAAUUGAAUAUAUUGGAAUGAAUUUAAUUAUUUUAUCUCAAUUUUACUGUAUUUUUGCAUGAUAUGUGUUUAAUUAUUUAGUUGAAUUUUAAUUGUUAUUGUUGAAUUUACCAUGUAAUUACUAAUUGAAUAUAUAAGAAUAAAUUUAAUUAUUUUAUCUCAAUUUUACUCUAUUAUUACAUGAUAUGUGUUUAAUUAUUUCCAUUAAUUUUAAUUGUUAUUUGUAUAGAUGUUAGGUUAUAUGUAAGAUUUUUGAAUGGGGGUCAAUUGGUUGUGGCUAUUGUUAAUAUUUGAAGGUUUGAAAACUUUGGGUAGUCUCCAGUAUAGAAGAGACGCUGCUGAAUUUUUUUUAACAAUCGAAUUUAAUUAUAUAAUUAUUCUUAUAAAAUUGCGUAGAUGUGUAUAAUGAAAUCAACUGUUCGUCGCUCACAUAUGGUCGCAGCUAGUUCUUCUAGCAGCAAGAAUGACAUUUCCUUAGGUGUCAAUCAAGAAGAGGUACCUGCACCACCUACCGAUGCUGCCUCUUGCAGCACGGUUUCACAGCGCAGAGACGGCGUGCCUUCACAGUGGAAUCAAUUUACUUACAAGUACGAGGCACAAUGGAAGAACGAUGUUUCAAUGUAAGUUUGUUUUGAUUUUAGUUUUUUUUUUAAUUAUAACAUAAUUUAUGAACAACUAAUCAAUAUUUCAUUAAUUUAAUUUAUUUUCAGGUUCACAAACAUUGAGACCGUCCGAGUAAUAUCAUCGGCGUUUAAAUCGUCGAUGGAGAUUCCAUUAUUUCAAUGGAGUUAGGUAUCCAGACAUCCUGAAUGGAUACCUAAUAUCGAUGCAUGGUUUGAUAAAUUUGAGGUUGGUGUUAAUUUCUAAUUUCCAGCUUAUUUUUAAUAAAUUAUUAAUAUAAUUAUAAAUAAAUUAUUAUUUUUAUUUUAAAUAAAUUAUGUAUACGUGGCACAAAUUCGAGUAGGACAGCACACAUGAUAAUAUUGUGAGGAGGGUGUGGGAAAAUCAUGCGGCAACUAAGUAACAUCGAAAACAAUAUGAUAUUUUUUAAAAAAAAAAUAUGUUUUAAAAUCUAAUUUGUUACUAUGGAAGUAGGUUGUGUGAUUUUUGGUAUGAAGCACAAAAAAAGGUAAAAAAAAAAAAAACACGAGAGAUAGAGGUCUCCAAGGCUAGAACGACGUGGCGGUUUGGGGGGAUUUCAAACCGCUACACAUCCCGGAAAAUAUUUGGCCGGAAUAUAUUGAGCACGUGACGUCUGAGCGGUUCACACGACGCUCAAAGUCUGGUGCUGACAACCGGAACAGGCAAAUUCAUGGUUCACUGACAACGCACAUCGACGGCUCCGUAUCGUUUGCUACACAUGCAAAACGGAUAUAAGAUUAAUUUAAAUGAAAUAUAUCGUUAAAUAAUUUGUUGUUACUUAAUUAAUUUUUUUUCUUACAGGCUACGUCUCUUGGACGUGAGCCGAGCCCAAUGGAGCUGUUUGUAGAGACGCACAUGCGGAGUCAAGACCGCCAAAAGGGGGUGCAACAGUUCGUUGACAACCGCGCUCAACACUUUGUGGUAUGUUCGUUCAACCAUUUUAUUUCGUAAGUUAUUAUUUUUAUUGAAUUGAAUAUGAUGAUUUUUUUUUAUUUUCAGGAUACCUAUAAUAGUCGUUGAGGGAGAGAUAUAGGGACGAUCCUUCAAUCCAUCCGGAUUUCAAUCCGGAUUUGUGGAUGGCGGUAGGAUCGUCCGGUGGACUCGAUAAAAAUCAGGUGUAUGGGCUCUCCAACACCACGGCCGAGAACUUGCGAGCGGCCAGUAGUGCCUCAACCGUUGGGAGCUCCCAAUCUAAGGAGUCCGUGGCCUUGCAGCAACACACGAGUCAUCUCACCGAGAAAUACGAGCAACUCUCGACGAAUUAUGAACUUCGCCAAAUUAUCAUGAACAUGACAUCACAGAGUGACUUUAUGGUCUCGGGAAAAACCAGCCUCCUCCUCCUCCUCCUCCUCCAGCCCCGCCAUUCUGCUAAUUUAAUAUUUUUUUGGAAACACAUUCAAUUUGUAAUGAAUAUUAUUUAACUUUAUUUUUUUAUUUUUGAUGUUUAAUAAAAUUUUAUUUGCAUAAUAGUUUUUUUUACUAUUAAUUUACAUAUUUUUAUAUUAUUUAUUCUAAAUAAUUUUUUAAAAAACAAAUUUAAAAAACCCCACCAACAGAAUUCAUCCGUCGGCAUUUUACAGAAAGUUGAAAGAUAUUUACUAAAAAAGGCCACAAUCACUGAUGUCUUCACAGACGGAUAGUGUCCGUUGGCAUUUUACUUAGAAUCAAAAAAUAUUUACUGGAAAUACUAUAUUCACUGAUAUUUUCACAGACAGAUUUAUUUCGUUGGUAAAUACCGAGAGUUCAAACAAUGACUUGCAUUGACGAGUGUAAUAAUCUGGAACCACUCGCAAUAAAUAAAGCCACAAAAGGCAGACGAGAGUGUCUAUAUAUAUACAUAUAGGAACUGCUGAUUCGUGGUGCUUUCUCCUGCAAAUGAAUAGAAGACGAGUGUGUCUAUAUAUAUACAAAUAGGAACUGCUGAUUCGUGGUGCUUUCUCCUGCAAAUGAAUAGAAAGCAUAUCCUUUUAUCCUAUAUAAAGAAUACAAUUAACCUCAUUUCAAUAUCCUUGCUUUACUCUUCAGCUAACUUCUCUCUCCCAUUGCUGAAAUUUCAUAGCUAACUCUUUGUUAUAUAGAGGUAUAUAUGGCUAACUCUUCUUUGCUUCUUUCGUGUUUUAAUUUCAUGUCUUUACCAUUAACAAUAAUGUGAAAGCUUUGUUUGUUUCAUGUUUAACUUCAGUUGCUAUUGUCUUAUGCUCUCUCAUUAUUAAGCUUAAACUGUUGUAUCAUCUUCGAUGAUCUUGACAUGUAUCUCUUACUUGUAUUAGCAAGAGAGUAGAUACCUUCUGCAAUUGCUCCAUUGCUAAUUGACUGUGCCUUGAUUUCUGCAGCUGCCAUGACAGAGCCGGAGUCUUCUCGAUCUAUAUCACUAGGGGCCUAUGAUGUCUUCUUGAGUUUUAGAGGAGAAGACACUCGCAAGACAUUUACAGAUCAUCUCUAUACUGCCUUGGUCCAAGCAGGAAUCCACACUUUUCGAGAUGAUGAUGAACUUCCGAGGGGAGAAGAAAUCUCCGAUCAUCUCCUCAGGGCAGUUCAAGAAUCGAAGAUAUCCAUAGUUGUCUUCUCAAAAGGAUAUGCUUCUUCUAGAUGGUGUCUCAAUGAACUUGUAGAGAUUCUGAAGUGCAAAAAUAGGAAAACCGGUCAGAUUGUUCUUCCUAUAUUCUAUGACAUUGAUCCUUCAGAUGUGAGAAAACAGAAUGGCAGUUUUGCAGAAGCAUUUGUUAAACAUGAAGAGCGUUCUGAAGAGAAGUUGGUGAAGGAGUGGAGAAAAGCUCUUGAGGAGGCUGGAAAUCUAUCUGGACGGAAUCUCAAUGAUAUGGCAAAUGGGUAUGCCUUUUUCCCAAAUUUAUGGAGUCAAUAUACUUUACAUUUUUCAAUGUGAAACAAUAAAAUGCUUAAUUGACUCGCUAUCAAUGACUGCCUUUUGUCUAUGAGCAGGCAUGAAGCAAAAUUUAUCAAAGAGAUUAUCAAGGAUGUGUUGAAUAAAUUAGAUCCCAAGUACUUGUAUGUUCCUGAGCACCUAGUAGGUAUGGAUCGGCUUGCUCACAAUAUUUUUGACUUUCUAAGUACUGCAACCGAUGAUGUACGCAUUGUGGGCAUACAUGGGAUGCCAGGAAUCGGAAAGACAACUAUAGCAAAAGUUGUAUUUAAUCAACUCUGCUAUGGAUUCGAGGGAAGCUGUUUUCUUUCGAAUAUCAAUGAAACACCAAAAAAACUUACAGGUCUUGUUCGUUUACAAACGCAACUUCUUCGUGAUAUUUUAAAACAAGAUGUUGCAAACUUCGAAUGUGUUGAUAGAGGAAAGGUUCUGAUCAACGAACGAAUUCGUCGCAAAAGAGUUCUUUUUGUUGCUGAUGAUGUGGCUCGUCAGGACCAGCUAAAUGCUUUGAUGGGAGAGCGAAGUUGGUUCGGUCCGGGAAGUAGAGUAAUUAUUACAACAAGAGAUUCAAAUCUUCUUCGUAAAGCGGAUCAAACAUAUCAAAUUGAAGAAUUGACACGAGAUCAGUCCCUUCAGCUUUUCAGCUGGCAUGCCUUUAAGCACUCCAAGCCAGCAGAAGAUUAUAUUGAGCUUUCGAAGGAUGUAGUUGAUUACUGUGGAGGACUUCCUUUGGCUCUUGAGGUUAUGGGUGCUUGUCUGUACGGGAAAAACAGAGGUGGUUGGAAAUCUGUAAUUGACAAAUUGAGAAGAAUUCCAAACCACGAUAUUCAAGGAAAGCUUAGAAUAAGUUAUGACUCACUGGACGGUGAAGAACUACGAAAUGCAUUCCUUGAUAUCGCUUGCUUCUUUAUUGAUAGAAAGAAAAGGUACGUCGCAAAAGUGCUAGGAGCCCGUUGCGGUUACAAUCCAGAAGUUGAUUUGGAAACUCUCCGUGGAAGGUCUCUGAUUAAAGUUAAUGCCAUUGGAAAGAUAACCAUGCAUGAUCUAUUACGAGACAUGGGAAGGGAGGUUGUUCGUGAAACGUCUCCAAAAGAACCUGGAAAGAGGACCAGAAUUUGGAACCAAGAGGAUGCAUGGAAUGUACUUGAGCAGCAGAAGGUACGUAAGAGCGCAAUGCAUACAUGAAAGCAUAGUCAUGCGUAUUUUCUAGUCAAACUUAUUACAAAUAAUUGUAUGAAAGUUGGAUUGAUUUUUUUUUAGGGUACGGAUGUUGUAGAGGGUCUUGCACUGGAUGUAAGAGCAUCAGAAGCUAAAUCACUGAGCACAAGAUCAUUUGCAAAAAUGAAACGCUUAAAUUUACUCCAAAUCAAUGGAGCACAUCUCACCGGAUCCUUCAAACUGCUUUCUAAAGAGUUGAUGUGGAUUUGUUGGCUUCAAUGUCCUUUGAAAUAUUUUUCAUCUGAUUUUACCUUGGAUAAUCUGGCUGUUCUUGAUAUGCAAUACAGUAACCUCAAAGAACUAUGGAAGGGACAAAAGGUGUGAAACAUUCUACAAUCCCCAAAAUUUCUCCAGUAUGUAAUUUAUAUUUACAUGUUAUGACUUUCUAUGAUUAAUUUUCAUUAUUUUGCCCUCUAUUAAGACAGAUUCUCAACAGGUUAAAAAUCCUCAAUCUCAAUCAUUCUAAGAACCUUAUUAAAACACCAAACUUGCACAGUUCAAGUCUAGAGAAACUAAAGUUGAAAGGUUGCUCGAGUUUAGUUGAGGUGCAUCAAUCAAUUGAAAAUUUGACAAGCCUUGUUUUCUUGAAUCUGGAGGGAUGUUGGAAUCUGAAGAUUCUUCCUGAAAGCAUUGGCAAUGUAAAGUCUCUUGAAACUUUGAAUAUUUCUGGGUGUUCACAACUUGAGAAAUUGCCAGAAUGCAUGGGUGAUAUGGAAUCCUUAACCGAGCUGCUAGCAGAUGGGAUUGAAAAUGAGCAAUUUCUCACUUCAAUUGGACAAUUAAAGCAUGUCAGAAGGUUAUCGUUGUGUGGAUACAGUUCGGCUCCACCAAGUUCUUCUUUGAAUUCAGCAGGUGUUUUGAAUUGGAAACAGUGGCUGCCAACAUCUUUUGGAUGGAGAUUAGUGAAUCAUCUUGAGCUUUCUAAUGGUGGUUUGUCUGAUCGCACAACUAACUGUGUUGAUUUCAGUGGUUUGUCCGCUCUAGAAGUAUUGGAUCUAACAAGAAACAAAUUCUCUAGCCUGCCUUCUGGGAUCGGCUUCCUUCCCAAGCUAAGGCGGUUGUUUGUUCUGGCAUGCGAAUAUCUUGUAUCAAUCCUAGAUCUUCCCUCAAGUUUAGAUUGUUUGGUUGCAUCUCAUUGCAAAUCAUUGAAAAGAGUAAGAAUACCAAUCGAGCAAAAAAAAGAUCUAUAUAUAGAACUACAUGAAAGUCAUUCGUUAGAAGAGAUUCAGGGCAUCGAAGGUCGAAGUAAUAGUUUCUGGUAUAUUUGUUCUAAUCAGUUCAGUCAUUCACCAAAGAAAUUACAGAAAAGCGUUGUUGAGGUACUAUUUCUUUCAGUCUCUUUUGCACACGAAGAAACACACAAUUGGUACAUACAUUGAUUAAUGUCUAAAAUCUCAGCAUUUCUUGAAAUCAAUAUGUAUACAGGCAAUAAUCAUCAUUAUUAUUAUUUUAUUUUAAAAAAUAAAUAUGUUUAAUAAUAUUUUUUAUUUUUCUUAUUUAAUCUAAAAAAUUAAAUAUUAUCUUUAAUAAUAUGUUUUUAUUAAAUAUUUAAAGUCUGAUUGGUUUUAUUUUUUAAUUAUUUCUUGAUUUUAUGAUAAUAUACAGGUAAUGUGCAACGGUCGUCACCCGUAUCGUAUUUCCCCCAUUCGUGGUGAGAUGCCAAAUUGGAUGAGCUGCAGUGGAGAAGGAUGUUCAUUGUCAUUCCAUAUACCUUCAGUCUUCCAAGGCUUAGUUGUUUGGUUUAUCUGUCCACUUGAACCCGUGACAAUUGAAUUCGAUUCUCGCAUUAUUAUUAUUAUAAGAAAUAAAAGCAAUGGUAUUCAAUUGUUUGAAGAUAAACGAACACCAGGAACUGACAUGUUUUUUAUUGAGGGAUUCAUAAGAUACAUAAGUAUAAGUGAAAUGGGAAUGGAAGAUUACUGUGGAGAUGACGAAUUGGAACUCUGCAUUUAUUCAGAGCCAACAGAGCAUGCGGUGCGCCGUCUUCCAUUCUACCCCGUACACAUUAAAGAAUGUGGGGCCCAUGUGAUCGCAAAGAAGUUAAAUUCAUUUGAAGAGUCGGCAAUGGGAAGAGCUACAGUGAUGCCUUCACCAUCGCUGUAUCAUCUGCUUCCUCAUCCCCAUUGUGGUUCAAUUACAGCAUCUACACCUAAGCAAUGGAGUAAUUAUUUAUUUGCGAAGCUGCAAGAAUAUAACCUCAGUUUAACAUUUCAUGGUAAGAACAAAUAUUUCCUUUAGUUAUUUUUAUUCUAUUAUAUUUAAUUUAUGAGAUUAAAUAUUAUCUUUAAUUAUUUCAUUAUUAUUAUUUAAUCUAAAACAUUAAAUAUCAUCUUUAAUUAAAAAAUAUAUAUAUAUUUAAGGCUUUUUGGUAAGAAUACAUAUUUCCUUUAGUUAUUUCUAUUUAAUUUAAGAGAUUAAAUAUCAUCUUUAAUUGUUACAAUAUUUUUCUUAUUUAAUCUAAAAUUUUAAAUAUUUUCUUUAACAAUAUUUUUUAUUAAAUAUUUAGAGUCUACUUGGUUUUAUUUUUUUUCUUGAUUUUAUGAUAAUAUUUUUCUUAUUUAGUAUAAAAAAUAAAUAUUAUCUUUAAUAAUUAGAUCUAUCGAAUAUCACUUAAAAAAUAAAUUAUAACUUUAAUAAUUAUUUUUUGAAAAACAAAAAGCCAACAAUCACUAACAUAUUUUAUUAAAAUCACUUUAGUUUAUUUAGAAAAUAUUGAAAAUUGAUUAUUUUUUUUACAUUAAAAUAAAAAAAUUAAAAAAUGUUUUUAUAUUUUAUUUCAAAGUCGAUAUUUUAAAACAAAAAUGAAAAAGAUGUGAUAUUAACCUUUUUUAUUAUAAAGUAAGUUUUUUAAUUAAAAGUGAUGAGAAUUUGUUCGUAAUAACAAAAUGCAUGUUUAAUUUUCUUUUCAAACUUGGAAUAUAUUUCUAUUGAAUUUGAUGGUUUUUUUAUCUUAAAACACUUGCCAGCAAUCUUGUUUUUUCAAUGCUGCCAUUUAGCAAGUGGAGUACUGUAGCUUUUCCACAUACAUUGAAUAAUAACAGUUUGAAUAAAUAACAAGAAAAUAGAAAUUAGUUUUAUUAAUUUGAACGGUACAUCAUUCAUCGAAUAAAUUACAAAAAAGUAUUAUUGAGAUACUAUUUUUUUCAGUUUCUAUUGCACCAAAAUAAACACAUAUAUUUGUCACAUAUAUUAAUUAAUAUCAAAAAUCUCUGUAUUCCUUGAAAUCAAUAUGUAUACAAGUAAUAAUCAUUAUUAUUUUAUUUUAUUUUAAAAAAUAAAUAUCAUAUUAAAUAAUAUUUUUUAUUUUUCUUAUUUAAUUUAAAAAAUUAAAUAUUAUCUUUAAUAAUAUUUUUUAUUAAAUAUUUAAAGUCUGAUUGGUUUUAUUCUUUAUUUCUUGAUUUUAUGAUAAUAUAUUUAUACAGGCAAUGUGCAACGGUCGUCACCCGUAACGUAUUGCUUCAUUUCGUGGUGAGAUGCCAAAUUGGAUGAGCUACGGUGGAGAAGGAUGCUCCUUGUCAUUCCAUAUACCUCCAGUCUUCCAAGGCUUAGUUGUUUGGUUUGUCUAUCCACUUGAGAAGGAUUGUCAUAACCUAUUUUUAGGUUAUUUUUCAAUAUAUAUAUUUUUUUUUCUUCAAAAAAAUUACAAAAAAAAUCUAAAAAUAUUAUAAAAAAUAUAACAGUAAAAAGAGGAUGUCAGAACGCUCAGAAAAUAGUUAAAAUUUGGUUGAGGAGGUUUAAAAAUAUAAAAAUUAAAAUUUGGUAGUAUUUUAUUAACUGAUGAUAGCCCUGUUGACAAAGAAAAUUCAAUUUGAGAAAAAAAAAGUCUAAAAUCAGAUGUUGAGGGACUCAAUUAAAUUAUAUUGAAAGUUUAAUUGAAUUUAUGGAGGGUUUGAUUGUAAGAAAAAUUGAUUUUGGAGUUAAUUUGGGCUUUAAUUGGAAGAAAUUAAAGUUCUGGGGUCAGAUUAUAUUUUUUUUUAGAGUUGAUUUGGUCAAAUUGGGGGCUUAAUUGCAUAAAUAUUAAAGUUUGAUGGCCAAUCGGGGACUUAAUUGAAGAAAUCUGAGACCAAGGACCAAAAUGCAAAACGCGCGCAAAUUGAAGGAUUGAAUUGAAAUCUAGCGCUUUGGCUCCAAUUUUCAUUUAAAUGAAACAGUGCGUUUUAAGCAAAACGACGUCGUUUCAUGCACUUUCCAAAAAAAAAAAAGAGGACGAAACGGUGCCGUUUUGAGGCGGCACUGUUUCUUCUUCUUCUUCCCCUGGACAUGCAGCAGGGGAAGAGGCGUUUUUGUUUUCUUCUCUUUGUUUCUUCCUCUCCCUCCCCAUGUGCUCUGUUACAACCAAAACCGGUCGCCACUUGCCUCAUGAUGAGAUGCCAAAGCAGUCGUGCCCCGCAAGCGACGCCUCCAUUGGCCACCUCUGUCGGCGCCGUGACAGAGCAGGAGACGUGCGACGCAUGCAUGGGCAACGAUGGGACGGGGCAGGGUCGACCCCGCUCCCCUUGCCCCUAUAAAUAGUGACCCGAAAGGAGAAAAAAAGGAACACGGGAGAAAACAGGGAGGGAAACCGAGAGAGAGAAAUCGAUAGUGUUGAGAGAGAAAUGACUGAAACAGUAGAAACCAAAAAAACCGGGGAUAUCGAUAGGGAGACCGAGAGAGACAGACGGGGAGAAGGAAGAAAAAGGACAAAAGAGGUAAACCGAUGGGGAAGAAGACACUGACUGGUGUCUCUACACAGCGGAGAAGAAGCGCCGCUGCUGGCAUUGGGCUUCACAGUCACCGCCACCGCAACACCACCGAGAACGUUCACCAGCAUCACCGUCAGCUCAGCCAUCCGAGAUCACCACCUCAGGUAAAUUCUCUUCCCCUCACGCCGAUAAUUAUUCAUCUUCUUGCUUGUAGAACGUGCACUGUGCACGUUCUGCAUGCAAGAAGAAAUAAUUAGUCGGUUACCGUGCAUGCGCACAGUAACCGGCUAAUUAAUUAACUAGUUACUGUGCUCAUGCAUAGUAACUAGUCAUUGGUUUCUUCUUCUGCGAGUUGGAACAUCAGCCCAGCCCACGCGACUGGGCUGAGUCCAACCCCCUUUUUUUUAUGCGGGCUGGAACAUCAGCCCAGCCCACGCGGCUGGGCUGAGUCCAGCCCUGUUAACUGCGGCCUGGAACAUCAACCCAGCCCAUGCAGCUGGGCUGAGUCCAGCCUUGUUGCUGGGCCAAUACAGGCCCAACCCAGUUCAUUUCAUUUUUUCUUUUUUCCUUUUUGUUUUGUGUUUUAUAUAUAUAUAUUGUGAUUUUCCCACGGAUUUUUCUACGUCAUUUUAACUAAUAUUGGUCUAUAUUUUUUACUCGGUUUUCAAAAAAAAAAACUUUUGCUUUCAUGCAUACGGCCAAGUCUCUCAAAGCUAAAAAAUCAUAUUGUAUUUUUAUACAACAAAGAAAACUAAAAAAAUAUAUAUUAUUUUAGCAUGCAUUUUAGCUUUAAUAACCAGUUUAUUAAAGUCAUGAUAACUUGGCCAAUAUUUCAAAAAAUCAAAAAAAAUAUUUUGUUUUGUUUUAAUGUCUGGGAUUACGAAUUUAUACGUAAAACGUAUUCCCGAUAUUAAAAAGGUAGUUCUUUUAUAGACAUUAGGCCGGUUAGAUUUUUACCCCAUAAGAUAAGAACCUCCUUACUGAGGAGGGCUUUUCUUGAACCCUAGACAGACCAACAUGAUAAGACCUUAGAUUUUUUAUUAGACAAUAAAACAAUGCAGCUUACCUUAGGUAGGGUGUAUUUGAGGUGCUAAUACCUUCCCUUUGCGCAACCAGUCUCCGUACCCGAUCUCUAAGACCAGUUAGGGUUCCUAGUGAUCAGAAUACUAGGUGGCGACUCUCAUUCCAUUUUUUCACCGCUAAGAGACAAAGAAUUCCUUGUUUUACCAUAUUUUCCAGAAUAGAUAGACAUACCACAUUUGAUGAUGAGGGUGGUGGAUGAUCGCCGCACACGUGCGAUAGAAUGGUGACUCCACUGGGGACCCAUCAAAUCAAUCAACAGAAAAAAAAAUCACCAAGCCGAUGCCGCGCGGGUGACAUGCGACAAGGAUGAUCAUUAUUACUCACGGUCUGGCACUAUUAUUAUUAUUAUUAUUAUUAUUAUUAUUAUAAGAAAUAAAAGCAAUGGUAUUCAAUUGAUUAAAGAUAAACGAAUAGUAGGACCUUUCCUACCAAAAACUGCGGGAUGGAUAAGAUACAUAAGUAGAAGUGAAAUGGAAAAUGGAAGAUUACUGUGGAGAUGACGAAUUGGAACUAUACGUAUAUUCAGAGCCAAGAGGAGAUACAGUGCGCAUCAUUAAAAAAUGUGGGGUUCAUGUGAUCGCAGGGAAGUUAGAUUCAUUUGAAGAGUCGGAAGUGGAAAGAGAUAUAAUGAUGCCUUCACCACCGUUGUAUCAUCUGCUUCCUCAUCUCCAUUGUGGUUCAAUUACAGCGUCUACACCUAAGCAAUGGAGUGACUAUUUAUUUGCGAAGCUGAGUAAAUAUAACCUCAGUUGAACGCUUCAUGGUAAGAACAAAUAUUUCAUUUAGUUAUUUCUAUUUUAUUCUAUUUAAUUUAAGAGAUUAAAUAUUACCUUUAAUUAUUUCAUUAUUAUUAUUUAAUCUAAGAAAUUAAAUAUCAUCUUUAAUAAAAAAAAUUAUUAAAUAUUUAAGGCUUUUUGCUAAGAAUACAUGUUUCCUUCAGUUAUUUCUAUUUUAUUCUAUUUAAUUUAAGAUAUUAAAUAUAAUCUUUAAUUAUUUUAUUUUUCUUAUUUAAUUAAUCUAAAAAAUUAAAUAUGUUCUUUAAUAAUAUUUUUUAAAAAAUAUUUAGAGUCUGAUUGGUUUUAUUUUUUAUUUCUUGAUUUUAUAAUAAUAUUUUUCUUAUUUAAUUUAAAAAAUAAAUAUUAUCUUUAAUAAUUAGAUCUAUCAAAUAUCACGUAAUUAAUUAUAUCAUUAUUUUAUUGGUAGCAACUUAGGAGUCUUUUAAGCCAAAAGAAUAAUAGCUAGGAAGAGCUAAAAUUAGCAAGGAAUAUUUAGAGUCUGUUUGAUUUUAUUGUUUUUCUUUGAUUUCUUAAUAAAAAAAAUCAAAUUCUUGAAAACAAAAAUUGAAAACUUAUACGUUUUGAUUUUGAUUUUAUUUUUGAAAAUGAAAAGCCACCAAUCAAUAGCAUAAUCUAUUAAAAUCACUUUGUUUUAUUUAGAAAAUAUUGAAAACUGAUUUUUUUUACAUUAAAAUAAAAAAUUGAACAAUAUUUUUAUAUUUUAUUUCAAAUUUGAUAUUUUAAAACAAAAAUGAAAACGAUGUGAUAUUAACCUUUUUUUUAUUAUAAAGUAAGUUUCUUAAUUAAAAGUGAAGGUGAUUUGUUUGUAAUAACAAAAUGCAUAUACAAUCAUGCAAAAGUUGUAUUUAAUCAACUCUGCUAUUGAAUUUAAUGGUUUUUUAGGGAACAAAUGAUAUGGAUGAAUGUGAGAGCACAAGAUCAUUUUACAAAGAGAUUGAUUGGUACUUAAAAAUAUAUUUUUAUUAAGGUUUUAUAUCAUCAUAUUGCAUUUAAAGUAUAAUUAAAUUCUCUAAUUUAAGCAUAUUUUAUAAUAACAAGUCUGAUAACAUAAAAUAUAUUUAAUUUAUGGUAAAUGCUCAUUUUGAAUGCAGGCAUAUCUCACAAUUUAAAGGAUUGAUUGAUGUGUUUAACUAUUAAAAGUGAAAAGACAAAAAGAAGGCUAAGCUUAAAGAAGAAAUGUUGGUUCAAUUCAAACUGGAAUAUCAUUAUGUUAUUGAAUCAUAACUAUAGCUAUAGAACAUGGAUUUAGGUUUGGUUUAUAUGGAUGGAAAGCUAAGACAUAGGCCUAAAACUUUCAUGAAGAGUUCAAGAUUCAAAACGGCCCUUUUCAAGUUCAAAUUAUAGCAACAAAAGAGAAGUCGAAAUAUGACUUGUAACCUAGACACUGUUCAGUGUUCAGCCCAUAUCUCGAGUUCUAGAAGUUCAAAUAAUCUCAUUCUUGUUUUGUUGGAAAACUGAGACAAAUGCCCAGAAGUUUCAUGAAGACUAUCUGUUCAAAUUUUGAUGUUAGCAUGUUGUGUUCAGACAAGAAGAUAAUGGUUGUCACCAAGUCAAUAGGUGGCCACCCACUUAAUAAUUAGUCAUUAAAUCAAUAGUUCUGAAUUUUGGACUCUAAAAGAAGGCAUUUGCCAUACAUUUAGACAUCUUGGUGUUCAGAUCAAGAUCUUGCUCUCACUCUCUCUAUUUGUAUUUUGUAAUGUUCAAGUUUUAUUUUAUGUUAUAUUAAUCUCUUAUUUAUGCUUUUCAUUUCUUUUACUAUACUUAGUUAACUUAUAUCAUGUUUAUGUUAUUAUGUUGUUUAUUUAUGUUUUUCUUCUUCAUGAUGUUUAUCUAAGUUAAUUUUGUCAAGGUGAAAAGGGUACACUAAUGGUGUAAGAAUAAGUAUAAUACAAACUCCACAUAGACUUUAAUGUUUAAUACUAACAUGUUUUGUAUUUGUUAUCUUACUCACUCUUUAUACCUUACUUGUUAAAUGGUUAAUCUAAAUUUAUGUUGUACAACCCUUGGCAUAACAAAUACUUGACACUUUCAUAACCUACUGUAUGGUAUAAUCAACACUUGUGCUAUGAAAGGAACUUGAUUUAUUGUUAACAUAAAUUAUCAUCAUGAAUACCUGACCACAUUUACAAGUAUUGGCAUUACUCAAAUAAGAUAAUUAAUAUAAUCAUGUAUGUGGUUUCUAGUUGAGUAAUAAAAAGAGUUUAUACUAUACUUAUUUGAAAUACCUCUAACUUUAACAAUUGUUUUAUCCUUGUUUAAUCCUUACAUCAAUAUCACAUUUCAAAAGUUCUCUUCAACUCCUUUUUAAUUGUUGUUUAUAAUUUUAUAUAAUUCAUCUCCCUGUGUUUCAACCCCGGUCUUGCCGGGUUAUUUAUUACUUUGACACUCCUGCACUUGAUAUAAGACAUCAAUCUCUUGAUCGUGUUAGAGAUGCUUGAAGUUACUCUUUAUUGGUAUGGUAGUUGUUUCUAACGAGUUGAUAAGUAUUUGUUAGCUUGAAGAUUAUUUUCCAAACUUGGAAGUUAUAUUGAAUGCUUUUUGAAAUCUUUUCCAUCCGAUUUGAAAUUGGACAACCUAAUUGUUAUUAUCCAUUAUGUAAUUUAUAUUUUCAAGUUUCAACUUUUGAUGAAUAUUGUAUUGAAUGCUCUUUGAAAUCUUUUCCAUCCGAUUUGAAAUUGAAAAACCUAGUUGUUAUUAUCCAUGACGUAAUUUAUAUUUUCAAGUUACAACUUUUGAUGAAUAUUGUUUCCUUUUUUUCUCACUUCUUGGAAGUAUUCUCAAAAAGAUGAAAAUCCUCGAUCUUAGUUAUAAAUAAAUUGGUUUUCUAGGAAGAGAUUAUUAGGUGGGAUAUAUUAUUUGAGUUGGUUCUUCAUCAUUUAAUGUUAUGAUUUAAGAUAAUUGAUGAAAACUACCAAUACACAAGAAUGUUUAGAAAGCAUCUUUAAUUGGUCUAAUAAGUAAAGUCUUGUUAGUUUUGGCCAUAAGCUAUGUAUUAUUGCUUGUUUUUUACUAUUUUUUUACCUUUUUUGUUUUUUGUAUAUACAACUUUUGUUUUUCUUGCGAGUUUCUCAUUAGCUUUAUGGCACUAACAUCAAUUAAUAAUAAAUCUUGGACUAUUAUUAAAUAAAAAAAAACAUAAACAUUGUUAAAACACCAAACUUGCAUAGUUCAAACCUAGAGAAACCCUAUGCCAAUAAUCUAAUUUAAAAAAAUAAUUAAUUUAUCCUUGUAGUCUUAGAAAAUAGUAUUUAAUCCUUAUGUUUUUACAUUUAUCUUUGAUUUAACCUUUUACAUCUAUUUCAUCUUAUUAUUUUGGUUUACUAAGUAAAGUCUUAGAAACCUAUUUAUGGUCUUAAACAACUUAAAAAGGCUCAAAAACCUAAAAUGAACUCAAACCUGAAAAUCUUCAUGCUGAGAGGUCUGUUUCAUCAAGCAAGGAAAAAGAAAAAAAAAACAUAGGUGAAACUUCCCUCAUCAAAUAAAAUCCAAUGACACUAGGAUUGACUAUUUUGGUGGCUAGAAUAGAAGUCAACGAUAACAUUUUCUUUCCACGUCGGAAUCUAGCAAGUUUCUCUCUUCUCUCACAAAAAAAAACUAAAAAAUAAGGAAAAUAAAGUUUGGUAUUAAAAUCAAAUUUCCGACAACUAAAGAGACCAAUCACCUAUUAACUAAAAACAAUUGGGGACCGAACUAAGUUUUUCAUAUGAAAUAUGAAGUUGACAUCUAUUUUCUCCAUGUUUUUUACUUUGGUUAUCUAUCUUUCAAUCCAACCCUUUCUUCAUAAAAAUAGAAGUAACUUUGUAUUAAUUUGGACUAAAAAAGGUACAAUAGUGCAAAAACAAAUUGAGGAUCAAAUUGAGAAUUAAAAAAUAAUUGAUUAUUUUAAUCUAUAAUGAUAUGUGAGAGAGUGCACAUUAUAAAGUGAAGAGAAAAAACUCCACAUGACUUUGAAACACCUUUGAUGGUUGAUUGAAAUUGGUAAGUGAGUUUCCUCACAUGUUGUUUUUUCGGUUUUGAGUCCAAAUAUGGAGAUUUUAUGAUUUAAGGUAUUUUUCAUGAAUGCAACCCUUCAUGUAUUCAAUAACUUAUUUUCUAGUAUAAACUACGUUUGAAAUAAAAUUGAUAAAAGACAUGUGGUACACAAUUAAUGAUGGCAUGUAUAUAAAAAUAAUUAAAUUGAAAAUUUUCAAUUAUCUUUAAAGAUAUCAUGGUUUUAGUCGGUUAAAUUAUAAAAAAAAUAUUUAAUUUUUUGAUAUAAAUAAUAAUAACAAAUUAGAUAAUAGUAACAAGAAAAUAGGAAUUAGUUUGAAUAAAUGGUACCAGUUCCUAUUAUGAUAUAUCUAGAGAAGAAGUUUGAAGAAUAAAAUGAAGUGAAAUAUUCUUAAUAAAAAAAGAAAAACACAAAAAGAAAUAAAAAAAUAUUCUUAAUAAAUAUAAAAGAUGGGUGAAAUUAGAGAACAAGAAAGAGAUAUAGAAUCUCUUUGUAAGAUUUCUAAAAACUUAAUUACAAUUAUAUUAUAAUUUCUUCCCUAAAAUUAUUUAAAAUAUAGUAUUAGAAUUACAUAAUGCUAGGUUUUAAUAUAUAAUUAAAGAGUUUCUCCUUAACCAAAUAUAAAAAUAUUUUAUAAUUCUUUUGAAUGAAUUAUUAACGGAGGGACUGUUUUGGGUCCCUAUUUAGCUGAUUUUAUUUGAAUAUAUUAUUUGACUAGUCCAUUUAUAGGUUUACUCUACUAUUCUUGCCUUACUGGAACCGGAAAAUUCACUCGAAAUUUCUAGUAGUUUACACAGAAAUUUCCUGUGCUAAACUUCAAAGAAUUUCUUUUCUUUUCAUUUUGUAUUUUCUCAUUUUCUUGGCAUGCGCGCAGCUGCAUCAAGGAAAAAACGUUUCAGAUGCGUGUAAUAAAUCCAAUCGAUGAAUGAGAAAGGGACGCAAAAUAAAGAUAAAAGUGGAAUAUUCUCAUUAAUUGGUCAUCAUUUAAACGUUGGACACAGCCAUCUAUAUGUUGUUUAAAGAAUUUAAAUGGUUAGUCAGAAAGGAUUGCUUUUUAAUUAAAAAUAUAUUAAAAUAAUAUUUUUAAUGCCAAGUAUUUGUUCAACCUCAUUAAUGCUAACGAGUGGACCCAGUUGUUGUGGAAACUUUGCUAGGGAUCUGGAGUGUCAUAAUCCAAAAUUAUUCCUUAAAAUUUAUAUUUUUUCAAAAUAAAAAUCAAAAAAAUAAAAUAAAGGCUGGCAACGUGGAGAAAGCAGGCCGGAAAAUCAAGCUGUAAUUUUUGGAGGAAAUUCAAGGCGUAAUUGUACCCCACUAUGCCCCAAAAUAGAGAGAAAAUAUAAAUUCAAGGUCAAAUUAAAUGAUUAUUUGACAAAUUUGCAUAAACAUUAAGUCCGAUGACAUAAUUAAAUUUUUAAUAGGCCAAUUUGAUUUAAUCACGGGCCAAAUUAAAUUUUAAUUAUGUUUAAGAAUUAAUUUGCGUCCAAUUGAAGGAUUUAAUUAAGUGCAAGGACUUAAUUAUACUUUAAAUGGGUCAAAUUAAUUUUAUUUUGGGCUUAAUUGGUGAAAACUUAAGUUUGGGAGCUUAAUUGAGAAGAUUGGAAUUUUAAGAGACCAAAUUUAAUUCUUACCAAGUUAAUUGAUUGAAAUUAGGGGCCCAAUUGCAAGAACAUUGAAGUUUUGGGGUCAAUUGGGGGUUAAAUUGAAGAAAUUGACAGCUAAGGACCACUCUGCAAAAGGCGAAAACAUUUGGGGACUUAAUUGACAACCACCGGGGCAAAAUUGAAGAAAUUGAAAGUAUAAUGGUCAAUUAGAGGUUAAUUUGACAAAAUUCGAGACCAAGGACCAUAUUGCAAUAGGCGCGUAACUUUGGGGUUUCAAUUGAAGUUUAUCAGGGGCUUAAUUGCAUUAAAUCCAAAGUUAAGGGUUAAUUAGGGGUUCAAUUGAAACCAAUUGAAAGAUGGAGGACUAAGAUGAAAAUAUGUUAAAAUCCCUAAUUCAACUCAAAAUGGCGCCGUUUUAUAUUAAAAAAGAGAGAGAGAGAGGGGACCAGACGACGCGUUGUCGGGUCACUGUUCAUUGUCUUCUUCUUUUACCCGAAAGAAACUGCUUGGGAGCCUUAUUUGCAGGUGCAUUUAAUGCUUGAUUUCUCCAUAAAAUUGAACAAAACUUGCACGAAAAGGAUCCCCUGCAAUUCCUCUACAAACCCAUGUGAACUUUUCAGGAUUAAUGACAGCACAGCUACGCCGGAGAUGGCGUGAAGAGGUCAACUCAGGCAGCCUUUUCCUGCAGAUUUGACAACUCAGGGAGGCUACUUUGAGCCAACAGUUGGGAUCCUUCCCAACAGAAUCAAGAGCUAAAAUUUUACCCCAGUGCAAAAGAGAUUACCCUCUUCGACCGCCUAUAAAUAGAGGCUGAUUUGAUGGCCUGAGGGAGGAAAAAAAAUCGGGUCCAAAAUUUGAAAAAAACAAGCUCCCACUGCCCCCGUUUCUGCAAUUUCUCUCUCUCUCUCCGUCGCUUCAACCACCACCAACCUCAUCACCAGCUUCUCCACCACCAGCUCCAUCACAGUAAGCCACCAACCGACCACCGAGAGCCACCGUGAACCUUUCUCUCUCCUCUGCAAACCGGUUUCUUCUUUCUCCCACAGCGACUCCACCGGCCAAAACUCUCCACCAACGCCGCCAUCAGCCUCUUUUCUUCCACGACCAGACCACCGCCAACUUCACGCCAGGCCAGAGACAGCAGCUUCUUCUCCUCCGCAAGGUCGCCUCCCACUUCACUCCGCCGUCUGCGCAAAGUUGCAUGCAGAACAUGAACUUACUGUUCACGUUCUACAAUUAAUUCAUCCCUCACUUGGGCCGGGCCAUAAAUGUUUGGCUGGGUCUGGCCCGGCCUCAAAAGAAAAGGAGAAAGAAAAUAUGUUGGGCCGAUAUCGGCCCAACCUUUUUGGACCGAGAUCGGCCCAACUGUUUCUGGGUUUCUGCUUGGUCCAGUUACUUGGGCCAUCCCGGCCCACCUGUUUUAAUAAUAUUUAAUUAAUAUAUUAUAUUAUAUUAUAUAUUUCCUUUUAAAAAAAACAAAAAAAUCCAAAAAAAAUUUCAAAAAUCAUUUUUAAAAAAUUACGAUUUUCUCAAAUAUUUUUCUACCACUUUUGUAUAAUAUCGGGUUGUAUAUUUACACUGUAAAAUACAAACCUGGUAUUAAAAUACCCGGUUUUCUCCUAAAUAUUUCAAAAACAAAAUUCAAAACAUUUUCAAAGAGAAAAAAAAUAUUUUGUUGCAUACGGCCAAAUCUUAAAAUUUUUCCAAGCAUAUUUUUCAAUAAAAAAACAAAAAUUGCAUCUUUCUCCAGUUUUGAAAAUAAAAAAAAUGGAUAUCAUAACCAGUUUGUGAAUAUCCAUUAGAAUUUGGCCAACAUGUCAAAACCUUUUUCCAAUCUUUUUAGGGUUCAGAUGCAGACUUUAGUAUUUGUGGAGUGUAAAAUUACACGAUAAAGUACACCCUCAGGUAUUAAAGAUACAAGGUGUAAAUAAAUGCGAUGCUAAAAUUCAGACUUUAGAAUGGUUAGGAUUUAACCUGAUAAAGUAAAGACUUUCUCAUGAAGAGAGAUCUGCCUUAAACCUUAAAAAAGACCAACGAAUAGAAACCCGAUUUAGAAAAAAACAAUCAAACAACAAUGUAGCUUACCUUAGGUAGGGUGCACUGGGGGUGAUGCGUCUUCCCCUUGCACAACCAGUCUCUUACCCAGACUCUCGCAGACCAUAGGUUUCUAGUGAUCAUAAUACUAGGUGGCGACUCCUAAACAUUAAUCAUAAUUUUAUAAUUAAAUCCAAAAAACCUUCCCAACACACAACACCUCACACAGGAGGCACGACAAGAAGCCUUUGCCGUCGCCAGACGACGUCGCGCCCCUUGCGACAUGGAGGAAGAAAAAUGAUUGCAUUGCUAAUAAUUUGCAAGAGAGAAUUCUUUUUCUGAAUAGAAAAAACUAUUAUUUUUAAAAUAAAAACAACUAAAUAGAAAAAUUAUUAUUUUUUAAAUAGAAAAACUAGAAAAGCCUUGUAAUAUUGAAUAAAAAAUAAAAUAGAAAAAUUAUUCUUUUAAAGUAGAAAAAAUUAUGACAAUUUAAUAAUACUGAAUAGAAAUAAAUCAAAUUUUUAAACUAAAUAAAAAUAAUAGAGAAAAAUAUUUAUUAUCCUAAACUUUUUUAUAUUAAAAUCUUAAUUUAUAACAUGAACUGAGUCUACAUGCUAAAAUUAGAAGAACAAAAAAAAAAUGUAACAAAAAAAUUCCAUACAACACAAUUAAUGAUGGGAUCAUAUAUUUUGAGACUAAAAUGAGGUUUUCGAAUUACCUUUAAACAUAACAUAACAUGAUUUUAAUAGAUGUACUGUACAUCAUUUGAAUUUAUUAGAAAAAACAUAUAAUGUAAAGUAUGAACCACUUACCAUUAACUAGAUUUUUCAAUUGGAUUUUUUAUUUAAAUGAAAAGGAAAAUUUAUUUUAUUAUGAAAAAUAUUUUUUAUAUAUAUCUAGUAAUAAUAAAUUAAAGGAUAAUAACAAGAAAAUAACAAUUAGAUCGAAUAAAUGGUACCAAUUUCUAUUCUGAUAUAUCUAGCCAAAGAAUAGAAUGAAUCAAAAUAUUCUUAAUAAAAAAAAUAGAAAACACAGAAAGAAAUAAAAAAAUGUUCUUAAUUAAUAUAAAACUAUUAAUUUACAAAAGAAAUUUUCUGGUACUUUAUACUGUAUAUAAUUUGAAAAAUUGUGACUGACCGACUUACUUGCAAAGUAUUUGCAAGAAAGUUAAAGAAUUAGAGUUUUUUAAUAUUCAAAAUUAUAAUUUUAAAUUCUACGAAAAAAAUCAAUUAUUUUUAAAACUGUUUUCAAAAAUAAAACAUCAACUAUUUAUAUAAUAGCUAAAUAAAACAAUUAAAAUAAAUAAAAAAAUAACUAGUAAAAUCAAGUGAAUAAUCCAAAAAUAACAAGAAAAUAGAGAUAUUUCCUAAAUAUGAUUUCAGUUUGUUGUAUUGAUCAAUUUGCUAACAUAAAUAGCAUAAACGAACUUUAUUCUAAUAGUAUGUUUGAUAUUUAAAAAAAAAAAAAACUUAUAGAUAUUAUAUGGGUUGGCAACCCAUUUUUUAUUAAAUUUUAAAUUUUAUUUGUUUAAAAAUAUUUGUUUAUGUUUUUUAAUUAUUUUAAUAUGAUAAUAUCAAAAAUAAAUAAAUAAAAUUUUUCUAAGUUUUACUACUUCUGACUUGCUUUGACUCGAAAUUAGUGGUGCUUUCUCCUGCGAAUGAAUAGAAAGCAUAUCAUAAAGGUGUGUUUGACAUUGUGUUUUGGAAGUAUUUUUUAAAAAAAUAAAUUUUUUUAUUUUUUUUCUUCAAAUUAUUUUUUUUGUUGAUGUUUUCAUAUUAUUUUGAUAUGCUGAUGUCACAAAUAAUUUUUAAAAAAUAAAAAAAUAUAUUAUUUUGAUGUGUUUUGAAAUGAAAAAACUUUAAAAAGCAACCGCUACCACACUCUCAAACUCCUUUGUUUAUUGAGUCUUACUGUGAAACCUCGUUUUGGGAUGAAUUGAUUGUAAGAAUAAGAAAUUAUGUGCAAAUUAUACAAAAUUUAUUAUUCAUCAUCAAGAUUUAUUAUUUAUUAUCACUAUUGAAUAAUGAUUUAUUUUAUAAUAUAAAUUAUGUUUAAAAUAAAAUUGAUAAAAUUAAAAUACAUGAAACGAGGUCGUAUAUUUUGAAACUAAAUUAAAAUUAUUUUCUUUUUCAAUGAUAUCAUUUGUUAGUUUGCAAGUCCACAUGUCACGAGUCUCCACUGCAUGAAAUUUGCAAAAUCAUAUGGCCCAUUGAUAGAAGGUGUGUUGAAGCAAAAUCUGUUUUAUUGAUUAUCAAUAUUGAAUAAUAGCUUAUUUUCUAGUAGAAACUAUGUUUGAAAUAAAAUUGAUAAAAGACAUGAUAUACAAUUAAUAAUAGGAUCGUAUAUAAAAAUAGGAAAUUUCCUGGUAAUAAAGUCCCAACUUUCGUAGGCGAGCACUAAAGUCCCAAACUUCAAGAAUUUCUCUUCUUUUCCUUUUGUAUCUUCUCAUUUUCUUGGCAUGCGCGCAGCUGCCUCGAGGAAAAAACGUUUCAGAUUCGGAAAAUAAAGAUAAAUGUGGAAAAAAAAAAUCCCAAAUAAAGAUAUCUUUUCGUCCCUUGGUGUCGUGUGAAUACCAUGUGGAUAUCAUUUCAGAAAAUCAAUUCAACCGUUCUCCAAAGAACACUCAUACUCCAAUAUCAGCAACUACCACGAAAGUUACCACUCUAAAUUCCAGCUCAAUAAUUAAGGUUCCAAGAUAAGCCUAAAAAAUAUUUAUUAGGCUUAUCUUAAAGCCUAAUAAAUAUCUAAAAAAAAACAAAAAAACAAAAUUCCACCCUAGGCUGUGAUUAACAGAUUAUCUGAUGGAAACAUGAUGAGCUUUUUUUUAGUGAAUUAAGUUCAAUUAAAAAAAAAUUAAGGUUAAAUUGAUGAUUAAUAAUGAAUUUUGUAUACUUUGCACAGGAUUUUCUUAUUCUCGUCAAUUAAUCUUAAAGCGAGGUUCCAAGAUAAGCCUAAAAAAUAUUUAUUAUUGAUCAACAAUAUUGAAUAAUGGCUUAUUUUCUAGUAUAAAUUAUGUUUGAAAUAAAAUUGAUCAUAAGAGUAGAUGAUAUACAAUUAAUGAUGAAAUCGUAUAUUUUGAGACUAAAUUAAGAUUUUUCAAUUAUCUUUAAAUAUUAUGGUUUUAAUAGGUGGACAAUGCAUUCUUUGAAUUUAUUACAAGUAAUGUGUAAUUUAAAUUAUAAAAAAAUAUUUAUUUUUCUGAUAUACAUGAUAAUAAUAAAUUUGAUGAUAGCAACAAGAAAAUAGAAAUUAGUUUGAAUUAGUACGUUUCUCAUUAACAUUAAUGAUGGAAUCAAAAUCUUUGUUAGCGGUCACCUGUUCGACCUCAGUAAUGUUAACGCGUGGACCCAGCUGUUGUAGAAACUUUGCAAAGGAUCUCGAGGAAGAAAAAUGAUUGCAGUGUAAGACUUAAUUACCGAUUCUAUGAUGGGGAAUAAAUAUGUUUAUAACAGAAUUGUAAGUUAUAAUAUGUAAAAUUUAAUUAACGAUUCUAUUAUACGAAAUAAAUAUGUUUAUAACGUAAUCGUAAGCCUUAAUAAUAAGAAAUCAAUAUCUCCAUCUAUUAAUGUUCCUCAUGUAUUUAUUAUUCUUUUUUAUAUAUAUUUGAUACUUUCAAACUCUACUCACUUUAUAUAGAUUGUGUAAAACUUAAGAGAACUCAGUAAGUGAGUAUAGAGAUCAAAUAACAUUAUUUAUAGCCAAAGCUUCCCUCAAGCUUUAAUGGCUAUAUGUCCCACAUAUUUAUUAUAUCAUGGGUAGUUACAAGUGAAUCACUUUAAGAGCUUAUAAAUGUAAAUGUUACAACUUUAAAAUGAACGAUUUUAAGAGUUUAUAAAUAUAAAUAUUAUAAUUUUUAGAGUGGAUCACUUUUAGUGUGAAGGAGAGUUAGAGAAUCGAUUAUAAUGACUCUGUAAAAAACAGUCAACAUGCAUUGCUAAUAAUUUGCAACGGAGAAUUCUUUAUUGAGAUUUAUUGUUAAACCUCGCUUUGGAAUGAAUUGAUCACGAGAAUAAAAAAUAAUCACUACAUACACCCUUUAACUAUUUUACUUGAAAGUUUCGAUUAUUUCCUAAGCUCCUUUGUUCAUUUUCUUUUUUAUUACCCCUUCAUGCACGACACUUUAUGCCACUUCAUGAUACCCUUGUUUUCAACGUUUUACACUACUUUAAAAGCGUGUUUGGUAGUGUGGUUGCGGGUGCUUUUCAAAUAACUUUUCGUGUCAAAAUACAUGCCAAUGAUAUUUUUUUUAUUUUUUAAAAAUUAUUUUUGACAUCAGCACAUCAAAACGAUCCAAAACAUAUAAACCUUAUUAAAUUUUAAUUUAAAAAAUAUUCAAUUUUUUUGGGAACGCAGCCGCAUCCGCGUUCACAAACGAGUCCUCAAGUCAAUUGUUAGAUACUAAAAACAGCAAGAACUGUACUCAAUCAGCAACCACUGUGAAAUUACCACUCAAAAUCCCAUGAAUAUAUAUAAAAAAGAAUUUUGUCUAGAAAAAUUCUAUCAAAUUCUCUACUUUAUUACUCUUCAAUGUUUUACACUGCUUUAGUUCUAAAAAAACUCCUAGAUGUUAUAAAGCAAGAUAUAUACAACUAUAUAUAUAUAUAUAUAUAUAUAUAUAUAUAUGAAAGUGUAAUAAAUAUUAUAUUUUAAAGUAUUUUUUAAAUAUAUUAAAAUAAUAUUUUUUUAAAAAUAAUUUUGAUAUUAGUAUAUUAGAAUAAUAAAAAAAUAAUUUAAAACAAUAAAAAAUAUUGAAAUUUUUAAAAAAUAUGAUUUGACUGAACUCCAAAACACACGCAUGCUCCCUCAGCAGCCACCACGAAAUUACCACUCUAAAUUCCAGCUCAAUAAUUUAUUCUUUAGCAAUUAUUGCUUGCUCUUUGACAAGUACUGCUUUGCUAAUAAUUUGCAAGAAACUUUCUCAAUUUCCUUCUAUUUUCUUUUUAUCAUGGAAACUUUAAGUCACAUACCACUAAAUUACCGAUAAUUAAAUUUCAAUGUGUAAUUGUGUAGGUUUCAAUUAAAAAUGUUUUAAUUUGAGAAAAUUUGUUAAAAAAAUAGUAUAAAUUAUAUUUUAGAGUUUAUUUUAAUAGUUUAAAUUUUUAGAUGAAUAGUUUUCUAACAAAUAAAGACAUAGUUUUACGAUAAAAUGCAUUUUUUAAAAUGAAAUUAUAUUAAAUUAAGCAUGGUCGAGAUUAUUCAAAUUAUUAAUUAAUUAUAAUUAACUUUAUGUCUUUAGAGGAAACAAAAGGAAAGGACAAAAUGAUUAAUUAAAUUUUUAGAUGAAUUAAUAAAUCUUUACAAAUAAAAGAUAUAGUUUUUCAUUUUUUGAAAUGAAAUUAUAUUAAAUUAAGCAUGCUCGACAUUGUUCAAAUUAUUAAUUAAUUAUAAUUAACUUUAUGUCUUCAGAGUAAACAAAAGGGAAGGACAAAAUUAUCUUCCCCACAACGAUAAACCUAGCCCCCUUUCCAAACCAAUCCUCUAGUAAAUAGAAUGAUGGUCCCAUAAAUUGCUUUAUUCUUUCCAGCCCGCCAAGUAGUUUGGUCUCCCUCACAGGACCUCCUUAGCAUGGGAAUCAUAUGAAUUUCCUUGCUUUUCUUCCUCUACGCGUUACCUUUCACCUUUUAUAAUUAUUAUUAUUGCAUUGCUAAUAAUUUGCAAGAAAGAUUAUGAACAUUUUUUUUAGUGAAAUAAGCUCAUUUCAAAUUAACAAAAUAUAGUUUGUUGAGGCUUGUCUUGAAACCUCACUUUGGAUUAAUUGACAGGAAUAAUAAAAUUUUAUUCAAAUUAUAUAAAAUAUUAGGUGUGGAUGUGCCCUUGCCCAACAAGCUACCAUGACCUUAUCUAGAGUUGGGUGUUAACGAGACAAGCCCUUGUCCAACUCAGAGUUCGGCAUAGAUAUAUCAUGACCCAACAUAAAGUUUGGAUGCGGAAAAAAUAUAAUUUCAUUUUGAAUUAUGAUUUUUGUUGGAUAGUCUUUAAAUAAAUUUUUUUUUUAGAAAAUCAUGACCCAUAUCUGGUUAUCGGAAAAACAAUUAUGGUUGAUUUAGCCUCAUCUUCUCUGCUUGUAAAAUUGGGGCAGAUUAUGGACUUAACCGAGCAAUUACCGCUCAAAAUUCCUAGCAAUUUACAAAGGAAUUUUCCUUGCUUUUUCUCAGUAUAUUAUUAGAAAAACCGUCAUUGACUGAUUUAAUUGUAAAGUCUUUGCAAGAAAGUAAAAAAAUUAGUUUUUUAAAAUAAAAAAUAUAGAGAGAGAAAUAAAAAAUAAAAAAUAAAAAAAGGAGCGAAAGGAAACAACCGCCAUCUUUCUUGUUCCUUUUCCCUUCUUUACACGGCGUCCUCGAUGAAAAUAGCAAACACCCCAUUUGAAUAUAUAAUUAAAGAAAGAAAGAAAGAGAGGAAAAUUCCUUCCUCAAUACUUACCGCUACACGCUUCAGAAAUUCCUUGCUUUUUUUUUUUUUUUUUUCAUCUCUACUUACGUGUUACCUUUUACCUUUUAUAAUUAUGAUUAUUGCAUUGCUAAUAAUUUCCUUGCAUUUCUUUAAUAUAUAAUUAAAGAAAGAAAGAUGUUGAACACUUUUUUAGUGAAUUCAAAAUAACAAAAUAAGGUUGUUGAGGCUUUUCUUGGAACCUAGCUCAGGGAUUAAAUUAUAAAAAAAUAUAUUUAUUUUUCUGAUUAUAUAGCAAUAACAAAUUAAAUAAUAGCAACAAGUAAAUAGGAAUUAGUUUGAAUAAAUGGUACCAGUUCCUAUUAUAAUAUAUCUAGAGAAGAAGUUCGAAGAAUAGAAUGAAGUCAAAUAUCCUUACAUAAUGCUAGGUUUUAAUAUAUAAUUAAAAAGUUUUCCAUGAACCAAAUAAUAAAAAUAUUGUACAACUUUUUUGAAUGAAUUAUUAACAUAGAGGCUUAUUUGAUUUGAAUAUAUUAUUUGAUUAGUCCAUUUAUAGGUUGUCUCUAUUAUUCCUGCCUUGCAUUGCCAGGAAAUUUCACUAGAAAUUUCUAGUAAUUUAAACAGGAAAUUUGCUGGUGAUAAACCUGGAAUAUGAUUUUCAACUUUCGUAGGCGAGCACUGAAGUCCCAAACUUCAAGAAUUUCUUUUCUUUUCCUUUUGUAUCUUCUCAUUUUCUUUCUAGGAAUGUUAUGAGAAGCAGCAGAGUCAAGAGGCCAUUUUUGAUCCUGUGGACCGGAAGUAGUUGCAUAGUUAGUCGUAACCUCUGAUCAAUGGAGUCGUGGGUAAGACUUGGCUAAAUGGCCUAUCUGAUCAGGAAAUUGGCAUUUCGGUUGAUAAUGCAUUUGAGUGGUACCGAUUGGUUGAAGACUUGCAGUUGUCUUUGAAUGGACCGACCUUGAGGGAUUUUAUUGUGGCCUGGAGACCGAGAAGAUCCAUUAGUCUUAUUUGAACCCUUCGGGUGAGACCCACCAUAUGAACUAUUUAAGUUCUGUUUGUGAAGAUAAGAAUAAUUGGCAGAGGCCACAAGCUGCUGAGUUGAAGAUUCCAAACGCCGCAGGUAACUGUCAUGCCCCUCAAGAAUAUCUUGAAGCUCUUCAAAUUAUCCCAAUAGUUCUUAUAUUAAAAUCUCAUUUAUCAUAUGUUACAUCUAUCAAAAAAAAAAAAAUAAUUUGUGACGUGAACUAAAGCUAUAUGUGAAAACUAGAAAUAACAAAUGUAUGAAAAAAAAAUCAGCUGUGAUUAACAGAUUAACGAUGGAAAUUAAGAUGAUGAAUAUUUUUUUGUAAAUUAAUUUCAAUUUAAAAUAACUACAAAGAAGUUAAUUAGGAUUCCUUCCUUGAAAUUAUUAAAAAUAUAGUAUUAGAAUUAUAGAAUGCUAGGUUUUAAUAUAUAAUUUUUAAUAUUAAUUGUUAAAGAGUCUCUCUCGAACCAAAUAAUAAAGAUAUUAUAUAACUCUUUUGUAUGAAUUGUAAAUCUAGGGAUAGUUUUGGGUUUUCCAAUCACAACUUUGGACUAAAAUUAAUAACAAAAUAAAGACCAAAGAUAACGGUAUGUAAAUCUAGGGACCAAAAAUAAUACAACUGCAUUUACUGUAGAUUUCACUUAGAAUUUCUAGUAAAUUACAAAGGAAAUUUCUUGUGCUUUUUAACGUACAUGAAUUGAAAAACUACCAUUGACUGACUUGCAUUGACUGACUUGCUAAGCAUUUGCUGCUCGAAAUUUUCUCCCUAAAAAUUUUCAAGCAAUUUACGGAGCAAAUUUCCUUAUGCUCUCUCUUGUAUAUUAUUAGAAAAAUUGUUUUUAAAAAUCAAUUUUUUUUUAUUUUCCUGAGAUUCUAUUUUUUAGUCGAGUCAAUUUCAAGUUGGGUUCAAUAAUUAUGAUUAAAUUUACUGAAAAAAAAAUAAUUUUAUGUCACUUCAUGAUACCCAUGUUUUCAACGCUUUACACUGCUUUAAUAAAUUGUUACAGUAAUAGCACAGAGAGGAGCGGUUCCAGAAAAAACAAUAAUGGAGAUGAAGCAAAAUCUGUGUUUGAUUUUUUCUUUUUUGUGUUUUCGGUACAUUGGUCAACAAUAGCUUGGAAGAGUUUGGAAUCAGUAACACGUGGACCCAGUUGUUGUGGAAACUUUGCAGAGGAUCUUCACUCUGCAGGAAGAAAAAUGAUUUUAAUAGAUGUACUGUACAUCAUUUGAAUUUAUUAAAAGUAACGUGUAAUGUAAAGUAUGAUUCACUUACCAUUAACUAGUUGGACAAAAAAACUAAACUUUCUCAAUUUCCUUCUAUUUUCUUUUUAUCAUGGAAACUUUAAGUCACAUCUGCGCCUACCACGAAAUUACCGAUAAGUAAAUUUCAAUGCGUAAUUGUGUAGGUUUCAAUUAAAAAUGCUUUAAUUUGAAAAAUUAUGUUAACAAUAAUAUAAAUUAAUUUUUCUUCAAAAUAAAAAGUAAUUGGGUAUUAAUUUAGGCUAUAAAGAUAAAAUAAUAAUAAUAAAAAAGAGUUCGAGGGUAUUCAUUUUAUUAUUUGUUAUGUAACUAUAUAAUCUAAUUUGUUGAUGUGGAAAAUAGCACAAAGUUUUUGACAUGGAUAUUGGUGAGAAGCAAAAGCAGUAUCCACUAUGAGAGCUUUUGUAAACGCGUGGACCCAGUUGUUGUGGAAACUUUGCAAAGGAUCUGCAGGAAGAAAAAUGAAAUUUGCAAAGUAUUUGUGUGUAUUAUAUAAUUGUGUUAAUUUAAGGAUUAUUUUUUAGUUGUAUUAAUUUAGAAAAUAUUUUGUCUCACCGGAAAACUCUAAUUACGUUCGUAUAUUUGUUUUUGGUAACAGAUGCAAUAUGCUUUUUAAUUCAAGAUAUAUUAAAAUAAUAAUUUUUAAAAAAAAAUUAUUUUUUUUAUUUUAGUAUAUUAAAAAUAAAAAAUUUAAAAAUAGUAAUUUAAUAUUUUCUUAAAAAUAUAUUUAAAAAACACUUUUAAUUUUGUUUUUCAACUGUACUAUUCCUUGAAAAAACUCAAACUCUAAAUAAUAUCUUCUACUACAUACUUUCUAAGACUAAAAAUUAAUCUAAAUGUUUUUGAAAAGUAGUUCAACCAAAGUACCAAAUAUGUUUAUAUACUCCAUCUUCAACCACUGUAAAAUUACCACUCUAAAUUACAACUCGGUAUCGAUUACCUUUUAUCUUUGACAAUUAUUGCAUUGCUAAUAAUUUGCAAGAAAAAAUACAUUCUCAAUUUCCUUCUAUUUUUUUUUUAACAUGAAAAACUUUAAGUCACUCAAUCUGCAACCACCAUGAAAUUACCGGUCCGAAUUCCAGCUCAAUAUUUACCGGUACGACACGCUUGAGGAAUUUCCUUGCUUUUCUUCCUCUACGCGUUACCUUUCACCUUUUAUAAUUAUUAUUAUUGCAUUGCUAAUAAUUUGCAAGAAAGAUUAUGAACAUUUUUUUAGUGAAAUAAGCUCAUUUCAAAUUAACAAAAUAUAGUUUGUUGAGGCUCGUCUUGGAACCUCGCUUUGGAUUAAUUGACAGGAAUAGUAAAAUUUUAUUCAAAUUAUAUAAAAUAUUGGGUGCUGAUGUGCCUUUAUCCAACUUAGAAUUGCGACAAGCUACCAUGACCUUAUCUAGAGUUGGGUGUUAAUGAGACGAGUCCUUGCCCAACUCAGAGUUUGGCAUGGAUAUAUCAUGACCCAACAUAAAGUUUGGAUGCAGAAAAAAUAUGACUUUAUUUUGAAUUAUGAUUUUUGUUGGAUGGUCUCUAAAUAAAUUUUUUUUAUAGAAAAUCAUGACCCAUAUCUGGGUAUCGGAAAAACAAUUAUGGUUGAUUUAGCCUCAUCUUCUCUGCUUGUAAAAUUGGGGCAGAUUAUGGACUUAACCGAGCAAUUACCGCUCGAAAUUCCUAGCAAUUUACAAAGGAAUUUUCCUUGUUUUUUCUCAGUUCAUUAUUAGAAAAACUGUCAUUGACUGAUUUAAUUGUAAAGUCUUUGCAAGAAAGCUAAAAAAAUUAGAGUUUUUUAAAAUAAGAAAUAUAGAGAGAAAAAUAAAAAAUAAAAAUAAAAAAAGGAGCAAAAGGAAACAACCCCCAUCUUUCUUGUUCCUUUUCCCUUCUUUACAUGGCGUCCUCGAUGAAAAUAGCAAACACCCCAUUUGAAUAUAUAAUUAAAGAAAGAAAGAAAGAGAGGAAAAUUCCUUCCUCAAUACUUACCAGUACUACACGCUUGAGAAAUUCCUUUCUUGUUACCUUUUACCUUUUAUAAUUAUGAUUAUUGCAUUGCUAAUAAUUUCCUUGCAUUUCUUUAAUAUAUAAUUAAAGAAAGAAAGAUGUUGAACACUUUUUUAGUGAAUUCAAAAUAACAAAAUAAGGUUGUUGAGGCUUUUCUUGGAACCUCGCUCAGGGAUUAAUUAACAAGAAUAAAAAAAUCCCCUGCAAAUUAAACAAAAUUUAUUAUUAAUCAUUGAUAUUUAUUAUUGAUCAUCAAUAUUGAAUAAUGGCUUAUUUUCUAGCAUAAAUAAAAUUGUUAAAAAACAUGAUUACACAAUUAAUGAUGAGAUCGGUUAUAAAAAUGACUAAAUUGAGGUUUUUCAAUUACCUUUAAACGUAUCAUGGUUUUAAUAGGUGGACAGUACAUCCUAUUAUGUAAAUUAUAAAAAAUUAUAUUUAUUUUUCUGAUAUAUAUAGCAAUAACAAAUUAAAUAAUAGCAACAAGUAAAUAGGAAUUAGUUUGAAUAAAUGAUACCAGUUCCUAUUAUUAUAUAUCUGGAGAAGAAGUUCGAACAAUAGAAUGAAGUCAAAUAUCUUUACAUAAUGCAAGGUUUUAAUAUAUAAUUAAAAAGUUUUCCAUGAACCAAAUAAUAAAAAUAUUGUAUAACUUUUUUGAAUGAAUUAUUAACGUAGAGGCUUAUUUGAUUUGAAUAUAUUAUUUGAUUAGUCUAUUUAUAGGUUGACUCUACUAUUCCUGCCUUGCAUUGCCAGGAAAUUUCACUAGAAAUUUCUAGUAAACGAAAUUUGCUGGUGAUAAACCUGGAAUAUGAUUUUCAACUUUCGUAGGCGAGCACUAAAGUCCCAAACUUCAAGAAUUUCUUUUCUUUUCCUUUUGUAUCUUCUCAUUUUCUUGGCAUGCGCGCAGCUGCCUCGAGGAAAAAACGUUUCAGAUGCGGAAAAUAAAGAUGAAAGUGGAAAAUAGAAGCGGGGAAAAAAAUCCCAAAUAUCGACAAACAUCACAAGAGAAGCUUGAUAUCUCUUCGUCCCUUGGUAUCGUGUGAAUGUGGAUAUUAUUUCAGAAUAUCAAUUCAACCGUACUCCAAAGAACACUCAUACUCCAAUAUCAGCAACCACCACGAAAGUUACCACUCUAAAUUCCAGCUCAAUAAUUUAUUCUUUGACAAUUUUACUUCUAAAAAAAAUGAAUUUUUUUUUAUAAUUAUACGCCAUCAGCAACUACCAUUACGACUCCAAAUUCCAGCUCAAUAUCGAUCAACACGUGGCUAAAGAAUUUGUUUCCUUUUUUUUCCUGCACGUGUUACCUUUUUAUCUUUUAUAAUUAUAAGUAUUGCGUUGCUAAUAAUUUGCAAGAAAUAAUAUUCUUUCUCUAAAAAGGGCUUGAGAAAACCCUAAGCAUAGUAUAUAGUCUCUUAUAGGAAUCUCUUUAUUAAAUCAUCAAAAUAUCAAAGUCUGUUUCCAAAGACUAUGACUACAGUUUAUAUAUAGAAACAACCAAAUAUAAAAAUUAUUUUUUAAAAAUAGAAAAAACAGAAGAGCUUGAUAAUAUUUAAUUAAAAAAUAAAAUAGAAAAAUUAUUCCUUUUUAAGUAGGAAAAAAAAAUAUAAAGAUUUAAUAAUACUGAAUAAGAAAAAUUAAAAUAUUCUUUCUCUGAAAAGGGCUUAAGAAAACCCUAAGCAUUGUAGAUAAUCUCUUAUAUGAAUCUCAUCAAAAUAUCAUAGUAUAUUUCCAAAUACUAUUACGUACUACAUUUAUAUAUAUAUAUAUAUAUAUAUAUAUAGAGAGAGAGAGAAAGAGAGAGAGAGAUAGAGAGAGAAACAACUAAGUAGGUAAAGCUUAUGUUUCUUUGUUCUUGUUCCUUUAUAUAUAUACAUUCUCAAUUUCAUAAAAAAAAUUAAUUAGUCCUUGAAAUCUUAAAAAAUAGUAUUUAAUCCUUAUGUUAUUAUAUUCAUCUCUAAUUUAAUUUUUUUCAUCCAUUCAUCUUUUUAUUUAUUUAAUAGCUUAAGUUUUUAGUUAAAAGAUAAAUAGUUUUACUAUUAAAAGCAUUUUUUCGAAAUAAAAAUAAUAUUAAAUUAGGCAUCCUCAACAUUGUUCAAAUUAUUAAUUAAUUAUAAUUAACUUGAGGUUUAGAAGAAACAAAAGGGAAGGACAAAAUUAUCUUCCCCACAACCAUAGACCUAACCCCUUUCCAGACCAGUCCCCUGGUAAAUGGAAUAAUGGUCCCAUAAACAGCUUUUUUUCUUUCCAGCCCGCCAAGCAGACUAAGGCCUGUUUGUUUCUGUGUUUUAAAAGUGUUUUUGAUAAAAUUUAAAAUUUUUUUGUUUUUUUUAUUAACUUCAAAUUAAUAUGUUUUUAGUGUUUUUAAAUCAUUUUGAUGUGCUGAUGUCAAAAAUAAUUUUUAAAAAAUAAAAAAACAUCAUUAGCAUGUAUUUUGACACGAAAAACUAUUUGAAAAGCAACCGCAACCACACUACCAAACACACUCUAAGCAGUUCGGUCUUCCUCGCUGGACCACCUUAGCAUGAGAAUCACACUAGUUGGAAGUAUCUUUAAACCUCAUAAAAAUGAAUAACUGAUAAUAAUAUAAUUGGGAUUUAAAAAAAAUUCAUAAAAAAAUUUCUUAAAAAAAUCCAAAAAAUUAAACCGGACAAAAAUAAACAACCAAUAAUAAUAUAGUUAAAAUGAUAAAAAAGUGUUUAAAAAGCAAUUUGAAACCAAUUAAUCUUAAAAAAAAAAAACCAAAAAGAAACAUGCGAUGAAAACCAAUUCAUGAAAAAGUAAUUGGAUAUUAAUUUAGACUAAAAGGAUGAAAUAAUAAAAACAAAAGGAGAGUUUGAGGGUAUUCAUUGUUCAAAGGAACGCAAAAAUGCAUUCCAAGUAUGAAGUGUUUUAUUGUUAUAAAGUUUUUCAAACUUACAAUAUGGAGAGAGAAAUAAAUAAAAAGAAAAAAUAGCAAAAGGAAACAGCCCCCAUCUUUCUUGUUCCCUUUCCCACGGCCUACUCAAUGAAAAAGCAAACACCCCAUUGGAUUUCCCACGGCCGCCCACGAAAUCCCUUUAUCCUCUGCUGUUAAUUUUUUAAUGACGCAUAUCAGGUGUUUGAUAAAAUUCCUUAGCUGGGAAAGGAAAAAAAACCAUGUUAAGAAUGCUUUAGUCCUUUUCGAGUGGAAAGUGGUGUGAAAGUGAGAAGUACUGUGAGAGCUUUAUACCACUUUCUAUCUUAGACGUAAUGGCUUUGGCAAAAAGAAACCAAUAAAAGUUAGUGUUCGCACUGCUUUAGUCCAAGAGUCUUUCAUGGUUGCAUUGAUUGACUGGAAAAAAUCUCAAAGUUUUUAGAAAGAAACAGCCUUCAUUGCUUUUCGAAACCAAUCUCAGUAAUGUUAACGCGUGGACCCAGUUAUUGUGGAAACUUUGCAAAGGACCUCGAGGAAGAAAAAUGAUUGCAUUGCUAAUAAUUUGCAAGAGAGAAUUCUUUCACUGAAUAGAAAAAAGUAUUAUUUUUAAAAUAACAACAAGUAAAUUUAAAAAUUAGUAUUUUUUAAAUAAAAAACUAAAAAUUCCUGAUAAUAUUGAAUAAAAAAUAAAAUAUAAAAAUUAUUCUUUUUAAGUAUAAAAAAAUAUAAAAGUUUAAUAAUACGGAAUAGAAAUAAAUAAAAAUUCUAAACUAAAUAAAAAUAUUUUCUAUCCCAAAAAUUCUUAUAUCAAAAUCUCAUUUAUCAUAUUUUAUAUCUAUAAAAAACUAAUUUGUCAUGUGGAAUAAGUCUAUAUGCUAAAAUCAGAAAAAAAAUGUUACAAAAACAAAUUCCACAAAAGGCUGUGAUUAAAAAGAUGAUAGAUAUUUUUUAGUAAAUUAAUUUCAAUUCAAAAUAACAAAAUAAGGUUUAUUGAGGCUUACCGUUAAACCUUGCUUUGGGAUGAAUUGAUCACGAGAAUAAGAAAUCAUGUGCAAAUUAUACAAGAUUUAUUAUUAAUCAUCAAGAUUUAUUAUUUAUUAUCAAUAUUGAAUAAUGAUUUAUUUUAUAAUAUAAAUUAUGUUUAAAAUAAAAUUGAUAAAAUUAAAAUACAUGAAACGAGGUUGUAUAUUUUGAAACUAAAUUAAAAUCAUUUUCUUUUUCUAUUAUAUCCUUCAAAAUUAUUUAUUUUAUAAAAAACAAAACUUGUUAGUUUGCAAGUACACAUGUCAUGAGUCUCCACUGCAUCACUUUUGCAAAAUCAUAUGGCCCACUGUAUAUUUUGAAACUUGUUGAAGCAAAAUCUGUUUUAUUGAUCAUCAUCAAUAUUGAAGAAUGAUUUAUUUUCUAGUAUAAACUAUGUUUGAAAUAAAAUUGAUAAAAGACAUGACAUAUACAAUUAAUGAUGGGAUGGUAUCUAAAAAUGAUUAAAUUGGCAUUUUUCAAUUACCUUUAAACAUGCAUAUCAUGAUUUUAAUUGGUGGACAAUACUGUUAAAUAAUAUAUUUAUUUUGUUUUAUUUAUUAAGAUUAAAAUAAUAUUUUUAGCUUAAUCUAUAUAUAAACUCUUUAUAUUUAGAUUAAGCAAAAAUAAUAAUAUAUAUCAGAAUUCUAGUCUCAUUCCUUUUCGUAUUUAUUUUUAUGUUAAUUAAAUUGUUUUAACAAUACAUCAUGUAAAUUAUAUAAAAAUAUAUUUAUUUUUCUGAUAUAUAAAUACCUCUCUGUCCCAUUGCUGCCAUUUCAUAGCUAACUCUUUGUUAUAUUUAACUUCCUCUUCUUUGCUUCUUGCUCAUAACGAUAACUUGAAAGCCUUACGUUCAGAUAGAUAAUCAUUGACUAGCUCAUCCUAUAUCAUUCUAUUCAAUUUAUAUAUGCAGAAAGAAAAACGCAAGCAAUCCAAAGAUGAAGAAAACGCUUCAUCCUCGCGAAAGAGAAGAAAAGCUGACCUCAGUAAGCCUAUAUAAAGAAUACAAUUAACCUCAUUUCAACAUCAUAGUUAACCUCAUUUCAAUAUCAUAGCUUUGGAAUUUCAUAGCUAACUCUUUGUUAUAUUGCUCCAUUGGUAAUUGAUUGUGCCUUGAUUUCUGCAGCUGCCAUGACAGAGCCAGAGUCUUCUCGAUCUAUACCAGAAGGGGCCUAUGAUGUCUUCUUGAGUUUUAGAGGAGAAGAUACUCGCAAGACGUUUACUGAUCAUCUAUAUGCUGCCUUAGAUCAAGCAGGAAUCCACACUUUUCGAGAUGAUGAUGAACUUCCUAGAGGAGAAGAAAUCUCCGAGCAUCUUCUCAAGGCAAUUCGAGAAUCAAAGAUAUCCAUAGUUGUCUUCUCAAAAGGAUAUGCUUCUUCUAGAUGGUGUCUCAAUGAACUUGUAGAGAUUCUUAAGUGCAAAAGGAAGAAAACCGGUCAGAUUGUUCUUCCUAUAUUCUAUGACAUUGAUCCUUCAGAUGUGAGAAAACAGACUGGCAGUUUUGCAGAGGCAUUUGAUAAGCAUGAAGAGCGUUUUGAAGAGAAGUUGGUGAAGGAGUGGAGAAAAGCUCUUGAGGAUGCCGGAAACCUAUCUGGAUGGAGUCUCAAUGAUAUGGCAAAUGGGUAUGCCUUUUUUCCAAAUUUAUGGAGUCAAUAUACUUUACAUUUUUUAAUGUGAAACAAUAAAAUACUUAAUUGACUCGCUAUCAAUGACUUGCUUUUGUCUAUGAGCAGGCAUGAAGCAAAAUUUAUCAAAGAGAUUAUCAAGGAUGUGUUGAAUAAAUUAGAUUCCAAGUACUUCUAUGUUCCUGAGCACCUAGUAGGUAUGGAUCGGCUUUCUCGCAAUAUUUUUGACUUUGUAAGUACUGCAACAGAUGAUGUACGCAUNNNNNNNNNNNNNNNNNNNNNNNNNNNNNNNNNNNNNNNNNNNNNNNNNNNNNNNNNNNNNNNNNNNNNNNNNNNNNNNNNNNNNNNNNNNNNNNNNNNNNNNNNNNNNNNNNNNNNNNNNNNNNNNNNNNNNNNNNNNNNNNNNNNNNNNNNNNNNNNNNNNNNNNNNNNNNNNNNNNNNNNNNNNNNNNNNNNNNNNGAUGAUAGAGGAAAAGUUCUGAUCAAAGAACGACUUCGUCGCAAAAGAGUUCUUGUUGUUGCUGAUGAUGUGGCUUAUCUGGACCAGCUAAAUGCUUUGAUGGGAGAGCGAAGUUGGUUUGGUCCCGGAAGUAGAGUAAUUAUUACAACAAGAGAUUCAAAUCUUCUUCGUGAAGCAGAUCAAACAUAUCGGAUCAAAGAGCGACUUUGUCGCAAAAGAAUCUUGUUGUUGCUGAUGAUGUGGCUCAUCAGGAGCAGCUAAAUGCAUUGAUGGGAGAUCGAAGAUGGUUUGGUCCCGGAAGUAGAGUAAUUAUUACAACAAGAGACUCAGAUCUUCUUCGUGACGCAGAUAAAACAUGUCAGAUCGAAGAAUUGAAACUAGAUGAGUCCCUUCAGCUUUUCAGCAGGCAUGCCUUUAAGGACACCAAGCCAGCAGAAGAUUACAUUGAGCUUUCGAAGAAAGCCGUUGGUUACUGUGGAGGACUUCCUUUAGCUCUCAAGGUUAUAGGAGCUCUUCUGUACGGGAAAGAAAAAGAUAGAUGGGAAAGUGAAAUUGACGACUUGAGCAGAAUUCCAAACCAAGAUAUUCAAAGAAAGCUUCUAAUAAGUUAUGACGCACUUGAUGGUGAACUACAAAGAGCAUUCCUUGAUAUUGCAUGCUUCUUUGUUGGUAUAGAGAAAGAAUACGUCGCACAAGUGCUAGGAGCCCGUUGCCGUCGCAAUCCAGAAGUUGUUUUGGAAACUCUCCGUGAAAGGUCUCUGAUUCAAUUUCAUGAGUGUAUAAUUGAAGAUGAAAGGCAGUUAUCUGGAAGGACGGUAGCCAUGCAUGAUCUAUUACGAGACAUGGGAAGGGAGGUCGUUUGUAAAGAGUCUCCCUUGCAUCCUGAAGCAAGGACCAGAAUUUGGAAUAAAGACGAUGCAUGGAAUGUACUUGAGCAGCACAAGGUAAGUAAGAGCUCAAUGCAUACACGAAAGCAUAGUCAUGCGUAUUUUCUAGUCAAGCUUAUUACAAAUAAUUGAAUGAAAGUUGUAUUGAUUUUUUUUUUAGGGUACGGAUAAAGUUGAGGGUCUUGCACUGGAUGUCAGAGCAUCAGAAACUAAAUCACUUAGCGCAGGAUCAUUUGCAGAAAUGAAAUGUUUAAAUUUACUCAAAAUCAACGGAGCACAUCUCACCGGAUCCUUCAAAUUGCUUUCUAAAGAGUUGAUGUGGAUUUGUUGGCAUGAAUUUCCUUUGAAAUAUUUUCCAUCUUAUUUUACUUUGGACAAUCUAGCUGUUCUUGAUAUGCCGUACAGUAACCUCAAAGAACUAUGGAAGGGAAAAAAGGUGCGAAACAUGCUACAAUCCCUAAAAUUUCUCCAGUAUGUAAUUUAUAUUUACAUGUUAUGACUUUCUAUGAUUAAUUUUCAUUAUUUUUCUCUCUAUUAUAACAGAUUCUCGACAAGCUUAAAAUUCUUAAUCUCAGUCAUUCUCAGCACCUUAUUAAAACACCAGACUUGCACAGUUCAAGUCUAGAGAAACUAAUUCUGGAAGGUUGCUCGAGUUUAGUUGAGGUGCAUCAAUCAAUUGAAAAUUUGACGAGCCUUGUUUUCUUAAAUCUGAAGGGAUGUUGGAGUCUGAAGACUCUCCCUGAAAGCAUUGACAAUGUAAAAUCUCUUGAAACUCUGAAUAUUUCUGGGUGUUCACAAGUUGAGAAAUUGCCGGAACGCAUGGGUGAUAUGGAAUUCUUAACCGAGCUGCUAGCUGAUGGGAUUGAAAAUGAGCAAUUUCUCUCUUCAAUUGGACAAUUAAAGCAUUGCAGAAGGUUAUCAUUGUGUGGAGACAGUUCGACGCCACCAAGUUCUUCUUUGAUUUCAACAGGUGUUUUGAAUUGGAAACGUUGGCUGCCAGCAUCUUUCAUUGAAUGGAUAUCAGUGAAACAUCUUGAGCUUUCUAAUAGUGGUUUGUCUGAUCGCGCAACUAACUGUGUUGAUUUCAGUGGUUUGUCCGCUCUAGAAAAAUUGACUCUAGAUGGAAACAAAUUCUCUAGCCUGCCUUCUGGGAUCGGCUUCCUUUCCGAGCUAAGGGAGUUGUCUGUUAAGGGAUGCAAAUAUCUUGUAUCAAUCCCAGAUCUUCCCUCAAGUUUAAAGAGUGUGUUUGCAUGUGAUUGCAAAUCAUUGAAAAGAGUAAGAAUACCAAGCGAGCCAAAAAAAAGACUAUUUAUAAAGCUAGAUGAAAGUCAUUCGUUAGAAGAGUUUCAGGGCAUUGAAGAUCUAAGUAAUUGUUUCUGGUAUAUUCGUGUUGAUGACCGCAGGCAUUCAACAAGUAAAUUACUGGAGCGUUGUUGAGGUACUAUUUCUUUCCGUCUCUCUUUCGCACAAAAAGAAACACACACAAUUGACACAUACAUUGAUUAAUGUCUAAAAUCUCAGCAUUCCUUGAAAUCAAUAUGUAUAUAGGCAAUAAUCAUUAUUAUUAUUAUUAUAUUUAAAAAAACAAAUAUCAUCUUUAAUAAUAUUUUUUUAUUAAAUAUUUAAAGUCUGAUUGGUUUUAUUUUUUAUUUCUUGAUUUUAUGAUAAUAUAUUUAUACAGGCAAUGUGCAACGGUCGUCACGGGUAUUUUAUUCGCCACACUCCUGGUCAGAUGCCAAAUUGGAUGAGCUACAGGGGAGAAGGACGCUCAUUGUCAUUCCAUAUACCUCCAGUCUUCCAAGGCUUAGUUGUUUGGGUUGAUAAGGAUGAUAAGGAUGCUCACAUUAUUAUUAUUAUAAGAAAUAAUAGAAAUGGUAAUCUCUUGUUUCAAUGUACGAAAUGGUAUUAUCAUCCAAAAACUGGAAGUAUAAGAUACAUAAGAAGAAGUGAAAUGGCAAUGGAAGAUUACUGUGCAGAUGACGAAUUGGAACUAUACAUUUAUUCAAAGCCAUCACCGUUGGCAAUGGCAAUGGCAAUGAAGGAUGCUGUGAUGCCUUCAUUUGAACCGUCUACACCUAAGCAAUGUGGGGUCCAUGUGAUCGUAGGAAAGUCAGAUUCAUUUGAAGAGUUGGCAGUGGGAAGAGAUGCAGUGAUGCUUCCUCAUCCUCGUUGUGGUUCGAUUACAGCGUCUACACCUAAGCAAUGGAUUGACUUUUUAUUUGCGAAGCUGCAAAACCAUAACCUCAAUUUAAGGCUUUUUGGUAAGAAUACAUAUUUCCUUUAGUUAUUUCUAUUUUAAUAUUCUAUUUAAUUUAAGAGAUUAAAUAUCAUCUUUAAUUAUUACAUUUUUCUUAUUUAAUCUAAAAAAAUAAAUAUUAUCUUUAACAAUAUUUUUUAUUAAAUAUUUAGAGUCUGCUUGGUUUUAAUUAUUUCUUUUCUUGAUUUUAUGAUAAUAUUUUUCUUAUUUAAUAUAAAAAAUAAAUAUUAUCUUUAAUAAUUAGAUCUAUCGAAUAUCACUUAAAAAAUAAAUUAUAGCUUUAAUAAUUAUUUUUUGAAAAACAAAAGCCAACAAUCACUAACAUAUUUUAUUAAAAUCACUUUAGUUUAUUUAGAAAAUAUUGAAAAUUGAUUUUUGUUUUUUUACUUCAAAAUAAAAAAAAUUGAAUAAUGUUUUUAUAUUUUAUUUCGAACUCGAUAUUUUAAAACAAAAAUGAAAAAGAUGUGAUAUUAACCUUUUUUAUUAUAAAGUAAGUUUCUUAAUUAAAAGUGAUGGGAAUUUGUUUGUAAAAACAAUCUUGCACAUCUAACUUUCUUUUCAAAUUUGAAAAUUUUAUUAACUUUGAUGGUUUUAUAUGUAUGAAGGAUCUGGAUGGACGUAAUAGCACAAGAUCAUUUGACAUAGAGAUGCUUGAAGUUACUCCAAAUUAGUACGGUACUUUUAUCUAAUGUAUUGAUAUGUAUUUGUUGGCUUGAAGAUCAUUUUCCAAGCUUGGAAUUUUUAUUGAAUGCUCUUUGAAAUCUUUUCCAUUUGCUUUUAUAGUGGACAACCUAGUUGUUAAUUAUUAUCCAUGAUCUAAUUUAUAUUUUCAAGUUAAAAAUUUUGAUGAAUAUUAUUUCAUUUUUUUCCUCACUUCAAAAGAUGAAAAUCCUUGAUGUUAGUUAGUAAUAAAUUGGAGAGAAUAAUAAUAAUUUGUGUGUAUAAGCUGAUUGAAAUGAAGAUUAAAAUAAAGAAGUAAAAAAAAAGAGACUCGUAAAGAUUUUAUGUUAGUACUCAACAUGUCCUUUCUUGUUUUUUUUUUAAUUGGAUUACCUUUGUCUUUGGUUAAACUGCACUUCUUAAAAUAUUUUUGGAUUGUUCUGAUAUCAAAAAUAAUUUUUUUUAAAUAUUAUUUUAAUACAUUUUCAAUUAAAAAAUAUUUUGAAAAACAAUAUCUAACACACUCUCAAACAAGUUAAAACGUUAGUAAUAAAAUAACUUUUACAUAUUUUUCAAGUUUAGUAGAAUAGUAGUGGAAUAAUAUUUUUAAUAUUUAAAAAUUAAAAUUUUUUGUGUAACUGUUUUGUUAAAUUAUAAAGUUAAGGACUCUUUUGUAGUUUACCUUACACUAAAGUUAAUAAAUAAUAACACAAGAAAGGACCAAAGUUAACUACAAUACGAGGAAGUUUCAUACUAAAGUUAAAAUACCUCACACUUUUCAAUGAAACAUUACCUCUCCUGUACAUGAAUAUAAAUAAUUUCGUUGACCGACUCUUAUUUCAUUAAUUAUUGAUUAUUUGGAAGAAGAAAGCGUAUCCCUUCUCACUUUUAGAGCGUAUUUAGGGUAUUUAAGAGCGCAUUAUAAAUCCAGGGACAAUUUUGGGUUUUCUAAUCAGAACUUUGGACUAAAAUUAAUAGCAAAUUAAAUAAGGACCAAAUAUAACAGUGUGUAAAUCUAGAAACCAAAGAUAAUACAGCUGCAUUGACCGGAGAUUUCACUCGAAUUUUGACUAAAAAUUAAAAUUUUAUCAAAUUCUCUACUUUAUUAGUGUUCAUUUUCUUCUUUUUUUUUACCUAUCUUUUCCAACUGUUUAGAAAAUUUUUAUGGAUAAAAUUAGAGGAUAAGAAAGAGAUAUAGAAUCACUUUGUAAGAUUUCUAAAAACUUAAUUAUAUUAUAAUUUCUUCCUUAAAAUUAUUCAAAAUAUAGUAUUAGAAUUACAUAAUGCUAGGUUUUAAUAUAUAAUUAAAGAGUCUCUUCUAAAAGAAAUAAUGAAAAUAUUGUAUAACUCUUUUAGAAUGAAUUGUAAAUCCAGGGACAGUCUUCCUGGUGGUUUUUACUGUAUAUGAAUUGAAGAACUAUCAUUUGCUGAUUUACUUGUAAAGUAUUUGUAAGAAAGCUAAAAAUUAGAGUUUUAAAAUUUCUAAAAUAAAUAAUCUUCUCUAAAAUAAGUUUUUUUUAAUUAUACUUAUAAAAUUAAUUAAAUCUCAGGAUAAUAAGAUAUGUCCGGAUAUUUGGCGACUGANNNNNNNNNNNNNNNNNNNNNNNNNNNNNNNNNNNNNNNNNNNNNNNNNNNNNNNNNNNNNNNNNNNNNNNNNNNNNNNNNNNNNNNNNNNNNNNNNNNNGUAUGUUACAAAUUAAAUAUUAGUAUAUUUUUUUCAAGGUGAUAUCUCUUAUUAAAUCAGAGAUUCUCUCUAUUUUUUACAUGCAAUAUAAUCACGGAAUAAUUAAAUAAUUUGAAAAAUAAAUAAAUUUUUAUUGUGGAAUAAGUAAAUACUAAUAUCUAUAACUAGAAGUAACUAUAAUUAUAAUAUUAAAAAAAAGCAUAAUAAAAUGAAUUUAUUUAUAAAUUAGAUAAGAUUCAAACCAAGGGAAUUAAAGUGUAAAAUAAGGAAAACACCCUUGCCAGUCUAAAAUAAUUGAAGUAAUGAGUAAAUGCAUGAAGCAAGAUAAUUAGUUGAUAUUGUGACUAUUCAAGAUAAUUAUAAUCUAUAGGUAAUUGUAUACUAUAAAUUAAUAUCAACAAAAUAAUUGUAUUUAAUUGUUUGAAGUUAAACAAAAAAACAUACAUUCUCCCUUUCCCUUCUUUACAUGGCUUACUCAAUGAAAAAGCAAGCACUAACGCACCUUCUCCACAAACUACCAUAAAUAUAUAAAUAUAUUAUGAAAACAAGAUAAAAAGAAAUCUUUUGGUACAUAUAUAAAUAUAUUAUGGCUAUGAAAAUAGGUUUGUGGAAAUUUACAUCAUUUGAUCUUGACAGUGUCAGAUUAGACAAUUGAUUGCAUGGAAAUGGUCUUCUUAGUUUGCCGUGUGGAAAAUCAUCUCAUUUACGGGACUGCUGGAGAGAGUGUCUAUUGAUAAUUUUACCUUCUUUUCAAAUCUUUGACACUGCUUGGAUUGACCGGUAAUUUCACUCGAAAAUUUCUAGUAAUUUAUAAAGGAAAUUUCUACUGACUAUUAUUGACUGACUUCUUGCAAAGUAUUUGUAAGAAAGCUAAAGAAUUAAAGUUUUUUAAUUUUUAAAAUUGUAAGAAAAAAAUCAAUUAUUUUUAAAAUUGUUUUCAAAAAUAAAACAUCAACUAUUUAUAUAAUUGCUAAAUCUAUUAAGAUAAAUCCAAAAUAACUAGUAAAAUCAGUGACUUGCAUUGACGAGUGUAAUGAUCUUGACAGCAUCAGAUUAGACAAUUGCAUGGAAAUGGUCUUCUUAGUUUGCCGUGUGGAAAAUCAUGUGAUUUACGGGACUGCUGGAGAGAGUGUCUAUUGAUAAUUUUACCUUCUUUUCAAAUCUUUGACACUGCUUGGAUUGACCGGUAAUUUCGCUCGAAAAUUUCUAGUAAUUUAUAAAGGAAAUUUCUACUGACUAUUAUUGACUGACUUCUUGCAAAGUAUUUGUAAGAAAGCUAAAGAAUUAAAGUUUUUUAAUUUUUAAAAUUGUAAGAAAAAAAUCAAUUAUUUUUAAAAUUGUUUUCAAAAAUAAAACACCAACUAUUUAUAUAAUAGCUAAAUCUAUUAAGAUAAAUCCAAAAUAACUAGUAAAAUCAGUGACUUGCAUUGACGAGUGUAAUGAUCCGGAACCACUCGCAAUAAAUAAAGCCAAAAAAGGCAGACGAGUGUGUCUAUAUAUACAUAUAGGAACCGCUGAUUCGAUUUGAAUAUGUUAUUUGAUUAGUCUAAUUCAUGACUUGCAUUGACUCAAGAUUACCACUCAAGAUUUCGUGGUGCUUUCUCGGCCUGCAAAUGAAUAGAAAGCAUGUCCUUUUAACCUCAUUUCAAUAUCGUUGCUUUACUCUCCAGCUAGCCUGAUACAUAUGAGUCUCGAGACAUACGGCCAUUGAUAGAAAGGUGUGCUGAAGCAAAAUAUUUUUUUAUCUGUAGCGACCUCAAUAAUGUUAAAGCGUGGACCACCAUGAAAUUACCGCUCCAAAUUCCUUGUUCUUUCUAUAUUAUUAGAAAAAUUAUCAUUGACUAAUUUAAUUGGAAAUUAUUUGCGAGAAAGCUAAAAAGAAUUAAAGUUUUUUAAUUUAUAAAAUUAUAAUUUUAAAUUGUAAAAAAAUUCAAUUAUUUUAAAAAAUAAAACAUCAACUAUUUAUAUAAUAGCUAAAUAAAUCUAUUAAAAUAAAUUGAAAAUAACUAGUAAAAUCAAGCAAAUAAUCCAAAAAUAACAAGAAAAUAAAUAUAUUUCCUAGAUCUAAUUUGAUUAUAUUUUUUAUCUUGAUUGACUUACUUGCUAAGUCUUUGAACUUUAAUCUAAGAAUUUGUUUUAUAUUUCUUCAUUUAUUAAUGAAAUAUUACUUCUAUUGUAUAGUUUUUGGUUUCGAGUCGAUCCACCAGAUUAAUAGGUGAACAAUACAUUUUUUGAAUUUAUUAGAAGAAACGUGUAAUGUAAAUUAUAAAAUAAUAUUUAUUUUUCUGAUAUAUAUAAUAAUAAUAAAUUAGAUGACAGUUACAAGAAAAUAAAAAUUAAUUUGAAUAGAUGGUACGAGUUUCUAUUCUGAUAUAUCCAGGGAAGAAGUUCGAAGAAUAGAAUGAAGUUAAAUAUUCUUAAUAAAAAAAGAAAAAAAAAAGAAAAAAAAUAUAUUUUUAAUAAAUAUAAAAGAUGGAUAAAAUUAGAGAACAAGAAAGAGAUAUAUAAUCUCUUUGUAAGAACUUCUAAAAAUUUAAUUACAAUUGAGAAUUUCUUCCUUAAAAAAAUCCAAAAAAAUCCUAUUAUAUAUGAAUCAAGACAACAGUUGAAUAACUAUUACAUAUUUUUCAAGUUUACUUAGAAUAAUUAUUUUAAUAUUUAAAAAUUAAAAAAAUACUGUGUAGUUGUUUUGUAUAAAUUCUAAAGUUGAGAACUCUUUUGUGCUUGGUAAAAUGAAUAACUUUUACAUAUUCUUCAAUGUUUCACACUGCUUUAAUAGAUUGGUACAGUAAAUACCUCACACUACAGUUAAUAAAUAAUAACACAAGAAAGGACCAAAGUAUAUAAAUAAUAGCAUGUUUCACACUGCUUUAAUAGAUUGUUACAGUAAAAGCACAAAGAAGAACGGUUCAAGAUGUGGUAGAAUCACCUUCGAAGUGACUAAAUCUGCUUUAAUAUAUUUGAGAUUCACGCAAUGCCACUCUCAUCGGUAUUCUAAAAGCGAAGAGAAGAGUAGAAGCAAUGUGAUAGCUAUACAGGUGAGACUUAAUAAUUUACAGGUGAUAAUUGUUUUUUAAAAUAUUUUUUUUAUUUGAAAAUGUAUUAAUUUAAUGUAAAAUAAUAAAUAAAAUUUAAUUUUUUUUAAUUGUUUUUUAAAAUAUAAAAACAAAGAGGAUAUAAUCAACCUCUUGAUGUCACUAUUAAUUAUUGAUGUCGAUUGAUGCACAUGCUAACACCAGCGAAGAAUUAAGAGGCCAAUAUGCCAUUUGAUGCGAUAUUGCAAUUCAACAGCCAAGACACCACGGCUGAUAGAUGUAGACAGCGGUAAUGAACAGGAAAAGUUAAAAAAAUUAAAAUAUUUCAUGUCUUCACAGUCGUUUAGAAAAGAAACAAGAUCAAACCUUGGUUUCAUUUUGUCAGUUGACUCCAAGUCAAUGUCUAAAUCUCCUCUAAAUUCCAAACUGGGUCACCCAGCGAAUUAAGGUAUAGAUUUUAUUGGACGACAAUCAUAUUAAUAAAUAUGGGACGACAAAUCACAAACAUAAUCAAUUCAACCGUACUCCAAAGAACACUCAUACUCCAAUAUCAGCAACCACCACGAAGGUUGAAUUACACUACUUGUUAAAUUAAUAAAGUUACUAGUUGCUAUAAAGUAAGAGAUAAGAAAAUAUUGUGUUUUAAAAUAUUUUUGUUUUAAAAUAAUAUUUUUUUAUUUUUAAAAUUUAUUUUUAAUAUUAUUACAUCAAAACUAUAUAAAAAAAAUAUUUCAGAUUAUCAAUUCAACCGUUCUCCAAAGAACACUCAUACUCCAAUACCAGCAACCACUACGAAAGUUACCACUCUAAAUUCCAGCUCAAUAAUUUAUUCUUUGACAAUUAUUGCAUUGCUAAUAAUUUGCAAGGAAACAUACUUUUAACUAUAUUCAAUUCCAGAAUAUUUUUUUUUGAUAAAUAUUUGAGAAAUAUUGAUAAUCUUUUAUCAAGUUUUAUUUUUAUCAUUUUUAUUUGGAAUUAAUUCUAUUAUGUAUUUAAAUGUGUUUAGUUACCUUGUAAACUGUAUGUUAGAGUCCCUCAAAUAUUCUGGCCACAUCAACCACUAUAUUUUAUGCCAAGCAGUAUUUUGUCCUUGAACCCUUUGGCCCUCUAAAUUACCCAAAAAGGACAAUAAUUGAGCACAAGUGGUACAGGUCAGGGUUAAACUCAGCUUGCUAGAGCCAGUUCUCAAUUUUAGGCGCCAGUUCUCAAUUUUAGGCACCAGUUCUCAAUCGAAUUUUAGCAAAAUCUGGGCUAGGAUUUGAAACAAAUGUAGCUAUUUUUUCUCCUUUUAUUAUUAAAAAAUAAUAUUCAUGGAUUAAUUUUCGUAUAAUUUAAGAAAGUAAGUCCUUUAAUCAAAUUUUAGAGUGUUGCAAUUACUACGAAAGGAACGCAAAAAGACAUAAAGUUUUUCGAAGAGAGAAAUAAAAAGGAAAAGGAAAAGGAAACAACCCCCACUCCAUCUUUCCCUUCUUUCCAUGAAAAUCAAUUUUAGGAUUUUGAUUUUCAAUCAGUAUGAGUGAGAAAGAAAGAGAGGACAAGCCGACACUUCAAAGGUCCUCUUUCUCUUUCCUUGCUUUUUUUAACGCGUGGAGCCAGCAGUUGUUGCCACCAAAUUCCUUGCUCAGUAUUUGAAAAUUUUCCUAAUUUUUUUUCCUCUACGUGCUGUUACCUUUUACCUCUUUUAUAAUUAUUAUGAUUAUUGCAUUGCUAAUAAUUUGCAAUAAAGAUGAUGAACAUUUUUUAGUCAAUUCAAAAUAACAAGAUAAGGUUUGUUCAGGCUUUUCUUGGAACCUCGCUCAGGGAUUAGUUAGCGAGAAUAAGAAAAUGCUGUCCAAAUUAUACAAAAUUUAUUAUUAAUCAUCAAUAUUUAUUCUUGAUCAUCAAUAUUGAAUAAAGGCUUAUUUUCUAGUAUAAACUUUGAUGAGAUUGUUUAUAAAAAUAACCAAAUUGAGGUUUUUCAAUUACCUUUAAAUAUAUCAUAGUUUUAAUAGGCACACAGUAUAUUUUUUAAUUUAUUAGAAAAAACAUGUAAUGUAAAUUAUAAAAAAUAUUUAUUUUUCUGAUAUACAUAGUAAUAAUAAAUUAGAUGAUAGUAACUAGAAAAUAGAAAUUAGUUUAAAUAAGUGGUACCAAUUUCUAUUCUAUAUAUCUACGGAAGAAGUUCAAAGAAUAGAAUGAAAUCAAAUAUUCUUAAUAAAAGAGGAAAAAAAACACAAAAAGAAAUAAAAUAUGUUUUUAAUAAAUAUAAAAUAUGGAUAAAAUUAUAGAACAAGAAAGAGAAGUUAGAUACCUCAAAUUUUAGUAAGGAUCCAAUUGGAUUGUUUAAAAGAGGAGAAACUGUCAUUGACUGAUUUAAUUGGAAAGUAUUUACAAGAAAGCUAAAAGAAUUAAAGUUUUUUAAUUUUAAAAUUAUAAUUUAAAAUGGCAAGAAAAAAAUCAAUUAUUUUUAAAAUUGUUUUAAAAAAUAAAACAUCAACAAUUUUAUAAUAGCUAAAUAAAUCUAUUAAAAUAAAUUGAGAAUAACUAGUAAAAUCAAGCAAAUAAUUCAAAACCAACAAGAAAAUAAAUAUAUUUUCUAAAUCGGGUUUGAGUAUGUUUUCUAUCUUGAUUGACUGGCUAACUUGAUAAGUCUUUAUUAAGUGUAAAUCAACUUUAUUCUAAAAGUCUGUUUGAUAUUUUUUUAUUUAUUAAUGAAAUAUUAUUUUUACUAUACAGUUAUUAGAUCCCAGGCUAAUCUACUGGGUCGGUUUAAAUUUAAUAACUAUGGUUCAUAGUCAUAUAGCUAGUAGUUGCACUAAAGCUAAUAAUUUAAAAAAAAUUAAAUAUCAAUAAUUUUUGUUGGCAUCAAAUAAUUAAAAAUGAGAAUUUCAGAGCAGAGGGUUUAAGAAAUAUUAAAAUAGAAGGUUUUGUGUAAUUAUUAGAUAAUUGAAAUCAUCACUAAUCUCCUUUGUUCAUUUUCCUUUUUUAUUACCCUUACCAUGCACAAAACUUCAUGUCACUUAAUGAUACACUUGCUUUCAACGUUUAAACUGUUAAAGAAUAAUAUAAAUUAUAUUAUGAGAUCUUACCUAACAGCUUAAGUUAUUGGGUUGAGAUGGUUCUUUGAUAUGGUAUCAGAGCCUUGAUGAUCAAGCGGUCACGAGUUCGAAUCUCACCAUCUCUAUUUAUUUGAUAAAAAUUAAGCACAAAGUAAUGUGGAUUUGUGCAAGUUUUAAGCCCAAAUGGCUUUCACUUGAGGGAGUGUGUUAAAGAAUAAUAUAAAUCAUAUCCUGGGACCUUACCUAACAGCUUAAGUUAUUGGGUUGGGAUGGUUCUUUGAUAUAAUAGCAACCAUCAUGAAAUUACAACACUAAAUUUAUUCUUUAGCAAUUAUAUAAUGCUCGCUCUUUCACAGUUAUUGCAUUUCUAAUAAUUUGCAAGAAAAUUAACAUUCUUUGUCUCUCAAUCUGCACCUACCAUGAAAUUAACAUCCUUUCUCGACAUUUCCUAGCAAUUUAUGGAGGAAAUUUCCUUGUGCCCUCUCUUAUACAUUAUUACAAAAACUGUCAUUGAUUGAUUGACUUGCAAAAGUAUUUGCAAGAAACCUAAUGAAUUAGAGUUUUUAAAAUUUUUAAAUUAUUAAAAACAUCCAAUUGUUUUUUUUUUAAAUCAAGAAUAAAACAUCAACUAUUUAUAUAAUUACUAAAUAAAUCUAAUAAAAUAAAUUGGAAAUAACUAGUAAAUAAUUCAAAAAUAACUAGAAAAUAAAUAUAUUUUCUAUGAUUUGAGUAUGUUUUUGAUUCACUAAUUUGCUAAGUAUUUGCUAAGCAUAACCGAAAGAAAUUAUUUGCUAAUCACUCACUAAUUCAUCCAUGAUAUGUUCAAAAAAAUGGGUUAAAAAUUGGGUAACAACACCAUAUCUAUUUUAUUGAAAACCCGGGCCUGUAAUUGACCGGAAGAAAACCGAUCAACCCACUAAGUAGAUCUGGAACCUUGAUGACCCAACAAAACCUGGUAGAAAUUCAUUUUUUUUUCAAAUGUAUUUUUUCUUCUAGCUAGAGACCUCUAUUUUUUAUAUAUUUUUCAGUUGGUUACUAACCCAUUUCAAAGUUUACUAUAUAAAUAUUAGAAGAAUGUUUUAUUUUUUUAAUGUGGGAUUUGAAACCUUUUAGUAUAUAUACUCUUUGUUUACUAAAAAAAAAAUUAUGUUUUUUUAAUAUGAAAUAAAAAACCUUUUUGAUUUAAAUACUUCAACUCAAAAAAAUAAGAUAGUAUCUUUUUAAUGUGGAAUAAAAAAAACCAUUUGAAAUAAUCUUUUAAACUUCAUUAUUUAUAACAUGUAUAACUUAUAUCUUUCUUAAUUUUUUCAUAUGAAAUAUUAAAACCUUUAAUAUUUUUUUUUUCUUGGUUGACUUGGAUCAAUCCUUGUAACUCGAGACUCAGCUCCUUGAUUGAGUCGAUCUCGAGUCGGGUUUGAUAAUUAUGAAAAUAUUUAAUGAAAAAAUAUAUUUUUUUUGUAUAAAAAUGAAGGGUAAAAUAUUAAAUUAUGACAUAUAUCAUUAAUUAUUGACAUACUCUUGUAACAAGCAUGAAACUUUAUGUUAUUUCAUGAUACCCAUGUUUUUAACGCUUUACACCGCUUUAAUAAAUUGUUACAGUAAUAGCACAGAGAGAAGAACGGAUCAAGAGAAAAUAAUAAUGUAACCAUCUAGAAAGUGAUGCAAUGAUAAGAAUUUGGAACUAAAGAGUUUGUUUUUUUUUUUUUUUUCAGGUUCGAGUUUUGUGGUUGCUAAUAUAAUAGUUACUGGAGAUUUACAUGAUCGUUAACUUUAGGACUCGUAAGAUUAGUUUCGAGUUUUGUGGUUGCUAAUAUAAUAGUUACUGGAGAUUUACAUGAUCGUUAACUUUAGGACUCGUAAGAUUAGUCAAGAUGCAUGCAAACUGGACUGGAUACCUACAGGAAUCUAAAAAAAAAUAAUAAUGGAGAUGAAGCAAAAUCUCUGUUUGAUUUUUUCUUUUUUGUGUUUUUGGUACAUUGGUCAACAAUAGCUUGGAAGACUUUGGUAGCAGUAAGUAACCUGUUCUUCCUCAAUAAUGUUAACGCGUGGACCCUGUUGUUGUGGAAACUUUGCAGAGGAUCUUAAUAAAAACAAGUAAAUAGAAAAAUAUUAAUUUUUAAAUAUAAAAACUAGAAAACCUGAUAAUAUUGAAUAAAAAAUAAAAUAAAAAUUUAUUCUUUUCAAGUAGAAAAAAAAUAUAAAAGUUUAACAAUAUUGAAUAGAAAUAAAUAAAAUUUUUAAACUAAAUAAAAAUGAUAGAAAAAAAUAUUUAUUAUCUUAAAAAUUCUUAUAUUAAAAUCUUAAUUUAUCACAUGAACUGAGUCUAUAUGCUAAAAUCAGAAGAAAAAAAAAAACAAAUGUAACAAAAAAAAUUCUACACAACACAAUUAAUUAUAGGAUCGUAUAUUUCGAGACUAAAUUGAGGUUUUUGAAUUAUCUUUAAACAGAACAUGAUUUUAAUAGGUGCACUGUAUAUCCUUUGAAUUUAUUAGAAGUAACGUGUAAUGUAAAGUAUGAACCGCGUACCAUUAACUAGCCUUUUCAAUUGGAUUUUUUAUUUAAAUGAAAAGGAAAUUUUGUUUUAUUAUGAAAAUAAUAUUUAUUUUUUGAUAUAUCUAAUAAUAAUAAAAUAGAAAGUAGAUUGAAUAAAUGAUAUCAGUUCCUAUUAUGAUAUAUCUAGUAAAAGAAUAGAAUGAAUUAAAAUAUUCUUAAUAAAUAUAAAAGAUGGGGAAAUUACAUCACACGAAACUACCAAUAAGCAAAUUUUAAUCUGUAAUUAUGUAGGUCUUAAUUACAAGGGUUUUAAUUUAGGAAGUAUAUUAAAAAAUAAUAUAAAUUAUAUUCUAGAAUUUAUUUUAAUAGUUUAAAUUUUGAGAUGAAUUAAUAAGUCUUUACAAAUAAAAGAUAUAGUUUUACAAUAAAAUGCAUUUUUAGAAAUGAAAUUAUAUUAAAUUAAGCGUGCUCGAGAUUGUUCAAAUUAUUAAUUAAUUAUAAUUAACUUUAUGUCUUUAGAGGAAACAAAAGGGAAGGACAAAAUUAUUUUCCCCUCAACGAUAGACCUAGCCCACUUUCCAAACAAAAGGUAAAUAGAAUGAUGGUCUCAUAAAUUGCUUUUUUUCUUUCUAGCUCGUCAAGCAGUUUGGUCUCCCUCACUGGAAAAUCUCCUUUUUCCCUGCCUCUGUGCACGUAGGGGAAGAAGGAGAAUAGUAUCGUUCAAAAUAUCACUGUUUUGAAAUUUUUUUUGAAAAAAAUAAAAUGAAUUUAGGAAUAAUUUAAAAAUAGAUUAUGAUAUUUUCCAUCACUUUUUCUUAUCAUCAACUUCAAUAUGUUGCUUCUUUUUUAAAGGUUUAACACUAGAAAGCCUUUUUUUUGUUUCAUUCUUCAAAUCUUAAUAACAAACGUAUGUAAUAGACAAUUGAUAGUGAAAUGAAAAGGUUAAGGAAGAUGAAAUUGUAAGAAAAGAAAAUAAAUUUAAAAUAUUAUUAUGAAAAAAACAAAAAACAAUAAAAAAUAUGGACCAAAACUUAAAGAUAAAAAAAUUAAAGGUAAAAUUGAAAAAUAAUUCUAGUUUUAUAAAUUAUUAAAAAAAGAUUUCAAAUAUUUAAUGAUGAAAUCGAAAAAUAUUAACUUUAAAAAUUAGCCAGAAAAAUUCAAUAAAUAAUAAAAAAACAAACUCAAGAAAAUCUAAAUCAUUUAUAAAAUUAGUAAAAACUUCCACACUAAGUAAACAAAUAAAAACAAAACAAAUAGAAACAAGGAAGUAAAGUCUGUAAUUAAAUAUAUACGCGGAGACAAAAACAUGGGCAUGUGACAGGAGACAAAAGGGCAAAGGAAGGUCUCUAUCCAACUUCCUUUUCCUUUUUCUUAGAAAAAAAGUGACAAAAUCUGAUAGAACACAGAUUCCAUCUCUUUUUCAUUGGUUUUUUUGUUUUUUUAAUGUUUAUGCAUGUGGCUCAACCUUUCUCAGUAAUUGCAACAUGUUUCUUUGUUGAAUAAACUGCAAUACUGGUCUCCCUCACUGGACCCCUUUAUAAUGAGAAUCACACUAGGAAAUUUAAAAGUAAUUUGAAGUAUUAUUAAAGCCUAUAAAAAUAAAACUGAUAAUAAUAUAGUUGGGAUUUUAAAAAAAAAAUUGAUAAAAAACCAUAUAAAAAGAAAUUUGAAACAAAGUAAUCUUAAAAAACCAAAACAAACAUGCCAUGAAAACAAAUUUAAAAUAAACAAAAUACUUUAAAAAAAAAUAAUUCAACCAUUUCUUCAUAAAAAAAACAGUAAUUGGGUGUUACUUUAUGGUCAAAAAGUACAAUAAUGCAAAAAAAAAAAAAAAAAGAGUUUUAGGAUAUUGAUUUUAUUAUUUGUUAGGUAACUAUGUAAUCUAUACGUUGAUGUGGAAAAUAGGACUAAGUUUUUUUGUCAAAAGAGUAACUGUGUAAUCUAAUAUUCAUCUCUCAAAUCCCUAAUCCAAUUGAUCAUAUAAUUAAAUAAUUGUUUUAAUUAAUAACUAUAAGAAACAAACUCCCUUGUUAGUUCAUUACUUAAAUAAAAACUCAUGAUUGUCUAGCAAAGUAAAUAAAUUACUUAACCGGAUCACCAGAGGAGUUAUUUGCCAAAAUAAAAACUCAUGAUUGAGUUAUAUAACAGUUUAUAAAUCAUGCUAUCAUCUCCAUCACCAUAUAUAAAGCUAGACAAAAUAGGAUAAGACGGGAUUAAAUUUAAUUUUAGGAUAUAUUUGAGAAUAUGAUUGAAUCAUGCUUUUUAAAAUGUUUUUGAAUUAUUUUAAUAUGUUGAUGUCAAAAAUAAAUUUUAAAAAAUAUUAUUUUAAUAUAUUUAUAAUAAAAAAAUAUAUUUUAUAAAGCAAUUUUCACCAUAUUUUCAAAUAAAUUAAAAUUUUUCAAAUAAAUGGAUUGAUAUAUCGAUGACACUCUCUAGUCAGUUUUGAGAAUUUUGAAUCCAAACAAGUGAAUUUAUAUGCAUGCUUGUACAACUUGAUUUUCUCUUUAAUUUAAUCAACAAUAAUUUCUCAUACUCAAUAGAAAUUUGGGUUUAUCAUUAGGGUAAGACAACCUGUAUUUUAAAAUACUAUUGCCAAAAGAUCAUAUUAUUUAUUACCACAAGAAAGGACCAAAGUUAAUAAAUAAUAGCAUGCACGAAACUUCGUGAUACCCAUGUUUUCCACGUUUAAUAGAGUGUUACAGUAAAAGCACAGAGAGAAGAACGGUUCAAGACAGAACAAUAAUGUUAACGCGUGGACCCCAUUUGCUGUUUUUUCCUCUACGUGUUACCUUUUACCUCUUUUACCUCUUUUAUAAUUAUGAUUAUUGCAUUGCUAAUAAUUUCCAAGAAAGAUGAUGAACUUUUUUUAGUGAAUUCAAAAUAAACAAAAUAAGGUUUGUUGAGGCUUUUCUUGGAACCUCGCUCUGGGAUUAAUUAGCGAGAAUAAGAAAAUCCUGUGUAAAUUAUACAAAUUUCCUUGCUUUUUUUUUCCUGCAUGUGUUACAUUUUUAUCUUUUAUAAUUAUAAUUAUUGCAUUGCUAAUAAUUUGCAAGAAAGAAUAUUGUUUCUCUGAAAAGAAGUCUGAAUGUUUUUAGAAAGAAGCAGUCUUCAUUGCUUUUCAAAACCAAUCUCUGGAUCUAUUAACAAAAACUCUAAAUCGCGAGUAAUAGACACAAUUAAUUAUGCAUUGCUGUAAUAAAAUCACGUAUUUAUUUUCAAGUGGGAAAAAAUUAAGCCAUGAGGCCAGGGGUUCUUUGGUCUUUACCUAUUUUCGUUUUGGCCACCGAAUUUUAUUUUUUUUUCAAUAAAAGAGAAGGUUUUGUGUAAUUAUCAGAUAAUUGAAAUCAUCACUAACUCCUUUGUUCAUUUUCAUCUUUUUUUAUUACCCUUAGCAUGAUACACAGAAAAGAAGAACGGUCAAGAGAGAAGAAUAAUGGAGAUUACUGUGGAGAUGACGAAUCAAAAUCUUUGCUUGAUUUUCUGUUGUGUUUUUGGCACAUUGAUCAACAAUAGCUUGGAAGAGUUCGAUAGCAGAGGAAGAAAAAUAAUAGCAGUAACCUUUUCCACCUCAAUAAUGUUAACGCGUGGACCCAGUUGUCGUGGAAACUUUGCAGAGGAAGAAAAAUAAUAGCAGUGACCUUUUCUACCUAAUAAUUUGCAAGAGAGAAUUCUUUCUCUGAAUAUAUAGAAAAAAACUAUUAUUUUUUAAUAAAAACAACUAUAUAGAAAAAUUAUUACUUUUUAGGUAGAAAAACCUCAUGAUAUUGAAUAAAAAAAUGAAAUAGAAAAAUUAUUCUUUUCAAGUAGAAAAAAAUAUAAAAGUUUAGUAAUAUUGAAUAGAAAUAAAUAUUAAAAUUUCUAAACUAAAUAAAAAUAACAGAGAAAAAUAUAUAUUAUCCUAAAAGUUCUUAUAUUAAAAUAUUAAAAAGAACUGAGUUUACAUGCUUUAAACAGAAAAACAAUAAAAAAAACAAAUGUAACAAGAAAAAUUCCACGCAACAUAAUAUAUAUGAUAUAAAUUGAGGUUUUUAAAUUACCUAUAAACAUAUCAUAAUAUAUAUGGUACAUCCUUUGAAUUUAUUAGAAAGAAGCCAUUAACUAGCCUUUUCAAUUGGAUCUUUUAUUUAAAAGAAAAGGAAUAUUUAUUUUAAUAUGAAAAAAAUAUGUAUUUUUUAUAUAUAUCUAGUGAUAAUAAAUUAGAGGAUAGUAACAAGAAAAUAGAAAUUAGAUCAAAUAAAUGAUACCAAUUUUUAUUCUGAUAUAUCUAGCUAAAGAAUAGAAUGAAUUAAAACAUUCUUAAUAAAAAAAAAACAGAAAGAAAUAAAAAAAUAUUCUUAAUAAAUAUAAAAGAUAGGUGAAAUCAGAGAACAAGAAAGAAAUAUAGAAUCUCUUUCUAAGAUUUCUUGUUCCCUUUCCCUUCUUUACACGGCCUCCUCAAUGAAAAAGCAAACACCCCAUUUGAUUUUCAUUCAGUAUGAGAGUGAGAAUGAGAAUGAGAAUGAGAGAGAGGUAAUUUCGACUAUACAUAGAACUCGACAGGACAGAAGACUUAAAGAUAAAAUAGCUUUGAUUUACAACCAUGGCUUCAAGGGCCUGGAAUAGGACCAGGUACAAGUUUGUUUCUAUCUAAGAAAGCAAGAAGCUCCCACUAAUGCAUGCUCUCAACAAACUACCCCCAAUUUCGCCACUACAGCUCAAGUAGCUUUGAGUCAUUCCAACAAGUAGGAAUUGAAUUCAAAGGAAUAAAUCAUUAAAUGCGGAGUUGGUGUUCUCCUGUUUGUGGUUCUGAUAAAUGUAAGAACGGACAGAGAGAAGAAAUAGGAAAAAUCCAUGUAUCUAUUAGUUGGCAGCAGUUAUCAUUCGGCCCUUGCCGCCCACGAAAUCCCUUUAUCCUGCUGUUAAUUUUUUUAAAGACGCGUAUCAGGUGUUUGAUAAAAUUCCUCAACUGGAAAAAAAAACCAUGUUUAGAAUGCUUGAGUCCUUUACAAGUGGAAAGUGGGAACUAUCCACUUUCCCAUUUGAAAUCAUCACUAACUCCUUUGUUCAUUUUCUUCUUUUUUUAUUACCCUUAGCAUGAUACACAGAAAAGAAGAACGCGUGGUUCAAGAGAGAACAAUAAUGGAGGGGAAUCAAAAUCUUUGUUUGAUUUUAUGUUGUGUUUUUGGUACAUUGAUCAACAAUAGCUUGGAAGAGCUUGAUAGCAAUAACCUUUUCGACCUCAAUAAUUAAUGUUAAUGCGUGGAUCCAGUUGUUAUGGAAACUUUGCAAAGGAUCUGCAGGAAGAAAAAUGAAAAGCUUUUCGAACCUACAAUAUAGAGAGAGAAAUAAAUAAAUAAAAAGCUUUUCAAAACCAAUCUCAUGCCAAAUUGGUUUGUCUGUCCAGUACUUGAGCUUGCACACUUCGUUUAUAUUCAAACAAUAUUCUUCCGUUGCUUUUAUUCUUUACAAUAAUGUGAUAGGAAUAACAUUAAUAUUAUUAUAAAGAAAAAACUCCACCCACUUUGAAACACCUUUGAUGUGUUGAUUGAAAUUGACAAGUGAGUUUACUCACAUGUUGUUAUAUUGGUUUUGAGUUCAAAUAUGGAGAUUUUAUGAUUUAUUCACAUGAAUGCAUUCAUUUAUUCACCUAUUAACUAAAUCAUGUAUUCAAUAUGAAUGAUGGGAGAUUUUUAAUGUCUUCUGAAUACAUUCAUUUAUAUAUGAAAAUAAUUUAUGUGUGUGUAUAAGGUUAUUGAAAUGAAGAUUAUUAUCCUCCAGCUCAUCAUCAGAUCACACGAAAGGAACGCAGAAAGACAUUCCCUUUCUUGUCAUAAAGUUUUGAAUAGAAUGCCCAUCAAAAAGUACUUUCGUGCAUUAUUGUCAUAAAGUUUUUCAAACUUCCAAUAUAGAGAGAGAAAUUAAAAAAAAAAAAAAAGCAAAAGGAAACAACCCCCACCUCAUCUUUCUUGUUCCCUUUUCCUUCUUUACAUGGCUUACUCAAUGAAAAAGCAAGCACUAAGGCACCUUCUCCACAAACUACCCCCCAAUUUCGCCACUAUAUAAAUAUUAUGGAAAACAAGAUAAAAAGAAAUCUUUUGGUACAUAUAUAAAUAUAUUAUGGAAAUUAACAUGGUAUCAGAGUAUCUGUGAACUAUUGCUGGGAUUGGGAAGUCAUAAUUUUUGACACGCCUAAUCACAGUCUUUUUUGGAAAAAGAAGAAGAAGCCAGGCUAUGAAAAUAGGUUUCUGGAAAUUUACAUCAUUUGAUUUUGACAAUUGCAUGGAAAUGGUCUUCUUAGUUUGCCGUGUGGAAAAUCAUGUCAUUUACGGGACUGCUGGACAGAGUGUCUAUUGAUAAUUUUACCUUCUUUUAAAAUCUUUGACACUACUUGCAUUGACUGGUAAUUUCGCUCGAAAAUUUCUAGUAAUUUAUAAAGGAAAUUUUUACUGUAUAUGAAUUGAAAAACUAUUAUUGACUGACUUCUUGCAAAGUAUUUGUAAAAAAGCUAAAGAAUUUAAGUCUUUUAAUUUUUAAAAUUAUAAUUUGUUGAGGCUUAUCUUGGAACCUCGCUUUGGGAUUAAUUAGCGAGAAUAAGAAAAUCCUAUGCAAAUUAUACAAAAUUUAUUAUUAAUCAUCUAUAUUUAUUAUUGAUCAUCAAUAUUGAAUAAUGGCUUAUUUUCUAGUAUAAACAAUGUUUGAAAUAAAAUUGAUAAAAGAUAGUAUACAUAAUUAUUAAUGAUGGGAUUGUUUAUAAAAAUGACUAAAUUAAGGUUUUUUAAUUAUCUUUUAACAUUUUAUGAUUUUAAUAGAUGGGCUGUACAUCAUGUAAAUUAUAAAAGAAUAUUUAUUUUUCUGAUAUAAUAAUAAUAAUAAUUAUAAUAACAAUAAUAAUAAUAAAUUAGAUGAUACUAACGAGAAAAUAGGAAUUAGUUUGAAUAAAUGAUACCAGUUCCCAUGAUGAUAUAUCUAAAGUCCUAAACUUCAAGAAUUUCUCUUCUUUAUCUUUUGUAUUUUCUCAUUUUCUUGGCAUGCGCGCAGCUGCUUCAUGGAAAAAACGUUUCAGAUGCGGAAAAUAAAAGCGGAAAAAAAAAUCCCAAAUAUCAGCAAACAUCACAAGAGAAGCUUGAUCUCAACAAGAUGUUGCAGUCCACAGUCUUUCCAUUACAUUAUAAUUACUUCUAAAAAAAAUUAAUUUAAUUUUUAAUUAUAAGCCAUCAGCAACUACCUCAAAAUUACCACUCUGAAUUCCAGCUCAAUAUCGAUUAACAUGUGGCUACAGAAUUUGAAUUAAGUUCAAUUAUACAAAAUCCUGUGCAAAUUAUACAAAAUCCUGUGCAAAUUAUACAAAAUCCUGCUUUAAGUUCUUGGAACCUAGCUCUGAGAUUAAUUAGCGAGGAUAAGAAAAUUCAGUGCAAAUUAUAUAAAAUUUAUUAUUAAUUAUCGAUGUUCAAGAUUUUCUUAAAUGUUAUUUUAUUUUCAUUAUUAUUUAUAAAAAUCCAAAAAAAUUAAGAAAAAGUUUAAAAAUUCAAAAAUAUAUUUUUCUCGAGUCAAUCACAUUUUUCCAUCAAAACCAAGUCCACCGGGUCAAACCAUGUCGACUAGGGUAAAAAAUGAGUUUCGGGUCAAAACCGUCAUUUCCGACCAAAACCGAGCUCACCGGGUCAAUACGGGUCAAACCAUGUCGACCAGGGUAAAAAAUAAGUUUCGGGUCAAAACCGUCAUUUCCGACCAAAACCGAGCUCACCGGGUCAGGACGGGUCAAACCAUGUCGACCAGGGUAAAAAAUGAGUUUCGGGUUGUUUCGGGUCAAAACCGUCAUUUCCGACCAAAACCGAGUCAUUAGGUCAGUACGGGUCAAACCAUGUCGACCAGGGUAAAAAAUGAGUUUCGGGUUGUUUCGGGUCAAAAACUGUUAUUUUCGACCACAACCCGGUUCACCGGGUUGAUACCCAUCAAAUGUUUUUUUUGAUAUUCUAUUUCUUUUUUUGCGGUUGAAACCGGCUUUUUCUAAUACUAAUUUGAAUUUUUAAUUUUACCUAUAUAAAUAUUUAUUAUUAUAUAUAAUAAAACAAAAUCAAUAAUUCAACAAUUUGUCAGCGGAGCAGUUGAUUUUUUUAUUUAAGGUAGAUGGCAGAAGGGAAAGGAAAACAGAAAGAAAGAAAGAAAGAAAGAGAGAAGAGUGUACUAUUCAUAUCUUUUUUAGUUUUUCUUCAUGAGAGUAGGAUAUUGUUUUUUUUUAAAAACAAUAUGGAAAAUAUCAAACAUAUCCCAACCACUGGAUUCAAUAGUGUUAGUUCUGGGCCUUUAAUUUAAUAGGAUACAAUAGGACUUACCACACUAGAUUAAAACCCAAACACAUCUCAGCCCUUGAAAUAAUCUAAGCUUUGAUCCCGUUGCCCCACGUCACCCGGUGUACUGAGAUUUCGGUGCACCGCGUCACACCAGGUCAAACAUCUGCUCAUCCAGACCGUCCGAUCAACCUGCAGAUCGAGCCAAUCACAACCACACGAUCUUUUCAUCAGAGAUCCAACAGAUCACAGGCUUAAGUUGCACCGGUGUAUAGUGCUAGCGCUCACACCGUAGUAUAACCCAAAGCCUCUCUCUCCUAUCGCCGGCGACUCUCUCUCUCCUCCGAUCUCCCAUCUCCGGCUGUAUAAAGCCUCCAAACUACCACAGAAAGGUCGCCAACCUCCUACAAAGCAAAACACCGGCCUUUUUCAGCGUUUUCUCCGCCUUAUCUGGCCGCAAAAAGGCCGCGAUCGUCGCUGGCCAGCGACGCUUCAAGUCGUCGAUUCUCACUCAUCAGCCAUCAACGACCGUCAAGACCACCACCAUCAGAAUCCUCGACAUCAGAUCUACCAGGAUCGACCAUCGGUUGGACAGAAAUCUCACCGGAAAAUCUCGCCGCCGCCAACAGUAACCGCACGUGAGACACGCGCCACCAGUGGCAUUUUCGUAAUUUUUCAAGAAAUCCGAGGGUAUUUAAGUCUUUUACCUGGCACUCAUGUAUUUUUUUUAUCUAACAUUUUUUUAUUUUGUAUAAAAAUUUUCUUGCAUGUAGAAAAAAAAUAAAAAAAAAAUAAAUAUAAAAAACGACGUGGGUCCAACACCCAUCUUAUCAUAUUAUUGGUCGUGGGUGCAAAGCCCAACCUCUCAAGAAUAGUUAUACCUAUUUUUAAUGACAUCAAAAUAUUUGUUUUUAUAAAUAAAUAUUAUUUGUUGACACGUCUCUUUUUAUAGAAAAGGACCGAUGUCAAAAAAAGUUUAAAUACCAAACAAAUAUGGAUUAUGUUUAUAAUUUUGUUUUUUUUGUAAAUCAGACGUAAAUCUCCUUUUUAGGAUUAGACAUCGAUAUUUUAGACGAGUCUUCUAUUUUUAAGGACUGAUGUCAUUUUUAAUGUGUCUCUUAUUUUUAAGGACCGACGUUAACCAUUUUAAAAAAAUAAUAAAAUUACAAAUAAGCUCAAAAUACAAUAUCAUUUGAAACAAAAAAAAAACACAAGUAAAGAUAACUUUUCUUUUGAAAUGAUAAUUUAAGGGUGAUGUCUACCUUCCCUUAAUCAUAACUAACCCAGUACCUAAAUCUCUGGGACCAGUGUCUAAUUUGGGAUUUUUAGUUCCCUCAUAUUACUAGAUGGCGACUCCAAUAAAAUCUUAAUUUCCCCAAUAAAAAAUCUCUUUUUAUUAAAUAAACAAAAAAAGCGGAGCCAACAAAAAAAAUAGAGCCGUCGCCCGACAUUGUGUAUAAGUUUAUAUAAGCUUAUUUGAACUCGUACACGUUAAAGAAUAGUAUUGACCUUGAUAUUAGUUAUAAAUAAAUUGGUUUUUCAGGAAGAUAUUGUUUUAGGUUUAUUUCUUUAUUUAAGCUUGUUGAAUUCUAGGCCUUAUAUGAUAUUAGUUGAUGUGAUUUGGAUUUAUUUUUAAGUUAAUUUGUGUGUGGGUAGUAAUAAGUGUAUAUGAAUAUGAAUUGAAGUAAGUACCUUAACAAAUGUGAUGGGUUGGUGUGAAGCUUUGAUUAAUUGCUAUAUUUUGAUGUCAUGAGCAAAUACCUUAACAAAUUUGAAUAUUUGAAAGAUAAUAAAUAAAUAUUGAAGAAUUGUAUAGAAAGAAUCGUAUCGAAAUUAUGGAAAAUAUGAUUUUGUCCUGAAAUUCUAAAAAACAAUUAUAGUUUGGUCACUGGUUGUAAAUAAUAAAUUUUAAAAUAUUUUUUGAUAAAUAUUGAUGAUUUAUUAUCAAUUUUUAUUGUUAUCAUUUAAAUUUAAAAUUAAAUAUAUUCUGUAUUUAAAUGUGUUUCGUUUCUUUGGAAACUGCAUGUGUUGGGAAAACUAGGGACAACUAACCGGAUCAAUUCAGCGGAAUACAAUUCACAAUUCACAAGUCCCAAUCAUUUUUCCCUCUUUGUGCAGUAAAAACAGAAUCAAACAAUGAACAAAUAUAAUGCAACAAUCACACAAAUCAACGCCAAGAUUUUUACGUGGAAAACCCGAUGCGAGAAAAACCACGGGACCGGAGUCCACCUAAAAACUUCCACUAUCACAAAUAAUGGGUUCACAAUUGUUCUUCCUCAGAUUCAACUAAGGGCUACAACAUAUAUAUAUCAUCAAGAACAACUUAUUCUCGGAUUACAACAAGAUUAAAGAGAGUAAUGUUAGAGAAAAGCUCACAACACUGACAGCCCUGUUUUCUGUCAAAACGACCAGCUUCCACACCACCAAUCUUCAAUCCAACCGUUCAGAAUGAAGAGGAACGUGUCUAGAAGUUUCUGUCAAAAUCUCAGCCCGAUCCAACGGUGAAACAACUGGAAAAUGAAGAAAGAAGACAGACUGCUCUGCUGCCUCCUCUUCUUUCUUUCUCUCGGUUUUCUUCUCCUCUCUUCUCAAAUUUUCUACUACUAUCUACAGUAACCGUUUCAUUUAAUUUAAACCAAAGAGGCAGCCAGCUGCCUCCUUAAUUAAUGUGGUGGUCCCCCAUCACAUGGUGCGGGACCACACAACAGUAUGCUAGAGUCUCUCAAUAUAUUAAAAGGGCUAACUAUAAGGUAAAAUAAUGAUCAGUUUUAGUUAGCUCCUGCGGGACUUUGCAUUCUAUAAUUUAUGCUAUGCAUUCUAUAACCCUUGGCCCUCUAAAUUACCCAAAAAGGACAAUAAUUGAGCUUGGUGAUCUAAGAGCACAAGUGGUACAGUUCUCAAUCGAAUUUUAGCAAAAUCAAGGAUCCAAGAAAUGGCCUCUGUAACAUGGUAGCUAUGAUUUGAAACAAAUGUAGCUAUGUUUUCUCCUUUUAUUAUAAAAAAUUAAUAUUCAUGGAUUAAUUUUCAUAUAAUUUAAGAAAGCAAGUACUUUAAUCAAAUUUUACAUUGACCAUCCUCAAUGUGUUUAAAGUAAAUGUUAAUUACCAAGCUGUUGCAAUUAAACCUGACCGGCCCGGUAGGUUUACUGUUACCUUUUACCUUUUAUAAUUAUGAUUAUUGCCUUGAAUAUAUUAUUUGAUUAGUCCAUUUAUAGGUUGACUCUACUAUUCCUGCCUUGCAUUGACAGUAAAUUUCACUAGAAAUUUCAAGUAAUUUACACAGGAAAUUUCCUGGUGAUAAACCUGGAAUCUGAUUUUCAACUUUCGUAGGCACUAAAGUCCCAAACUUCAAGAAUUUCAGAAUAUCAAUUCAACCGUACUCCAAAGAACACUCAUACUCCAAUAUCAGCAACGACCACGAAAGUUACCACUCUAAAUUCCAGCUCAAUAAUUUGUUCUUUGACAAUUAUUGCAUUGCUAAUAAUUUGCAAGGAAACAUACUUUUAACUACAAGAGUCUGUUUGAUAUUUUUCCAACUUUUACUGUUUCACUUCAAAGUUUCAAUAAUUGUUUUUUCAUUACAUAUUCUUUCCAACGUGUAAUAAUUCGGAACCACUCGCAAUAAAUAAAGCCAGCAAAGGCAGAUGUGUUUGUCUAUAUAUACAUGAACCUGCUGAUUCGAUUUGAACACCCCAUUUCUCCGAUUCAAUAACUUCAGUUGCAAAACUUCUCUCUCCGAUUGCUGCAAUUUCAUAGCUAACUCUUUGUUAUACACAGGUAUAUAUGGCUAACUCUUCUUAGCUUCUUUCUUGUUUUAAUUUCAUGUCUCUACCAUUAACAAUAAUGUGAAAGCUUUGCUUGUUUCAUGUUUAACUUCAGUUGCUAUUGUCCUAUGCUUUCUCAUUAUUAAGCUUAAAUUGCUAAUUGAUUGUUCCUUAAAUUCUGCAGCUGAAAUGAGAGAGUCAGAGUCUUCUCGUUCUAUACCAGAAGGGGCCUAUGAUGUCUUCUUGAGUUUUAGAGGAGAAGAAACUCGCAAGACGUUUACUGGUCAUCUAUAUGCUGCCUUAGAUGAAGCAGGAAUCCACACUUUUCUAGAUGAUGUUGAACUUCCUAGAGGAGAAGAAAUCUCCGAGCAUCUUCUCAAGGCAAUUCGAGAAUCAAAGAUAUCCAUAGUUGUCUUCUCAAAAGGAUAUGCUUCUUCUAGAUGGUGUCUCAAUGAACUUGUAGAGAUUCUAAAGUGCAAAAGGAAGAAAACCGGUCAGAUUGUUCUUCCUAUAUUCUAUGACAUUGAUCCUUCAGAUGUGAGAAAACAGACUGGCAGUUUUGCAGAGGCAUUUGAUAAGCAUGAAGAGCGUUUUGAAGAGGAGUUGGUGAAGGAGUGGAGAAAAGCUCUUGAGGAUGCCGGAAACCUAUCUGGAUGGAGUCUCAAUGAUAUGGCAUAUGGGUAUUCCUUUUCUCUCUAAGAUUCACUUGCAGACGUUUAUGGAGUAAUUUUACAUUACAUUUUUCAAUGUGAAGUUAUAAAAUAUUUCUUUUUAGC